UGGAAACAUCAUCUGCAAACUCAAACUCCAAUAUGAUACUGUUGUUCCAUGGUUUUUCGUGUUAUAACACCGUUAAAAGUUAUGUCUCAAGAUAUUGGUCGUUUUCCCCACAAUCCCAGACUUCAGAUUGGGACCUGAAGAACCAGAAAUCUGGGUUUCCAAGCAAGGAAGUUUUAUCUGGUGGUGAGAGGUUAUGCAGAAAAGAAGUGGAGAUUUUGAUGGGGAACCUGGGGAUUUUUUGCAGCCAAGAAAGUGAAGAACAGUUGAAUGAAUCAUACGGUUGUGAGGAGAUUUCAAGGUUGUUUGAACAAGAGCCAAGCUUGGAAGAAGUGAAGCAAGCUUUUGAUGUUUUUGAUGUGAAUAAAGAUGGGUUUAUUGAUGCAGAGGAAUUGCAGAGAGUUCUAUGUGUUUUGGGGUUGAAACAAGGUUUAAAGCUGGAAAACUGCAACAACAUGAUCAAAACCUUUGAUGAAGAUGGUGAUGGCAGAAUAGAUUUUCAGGAAUUUGUAAAAUUCAUGGAGAACAGCUUUUGCUGAAUCAGUUUCUUUGUUCUUUUUUUUUUAAUCAUUAAAUAUUACAUAUUAUUUUAUAUAUAUAGUUGAUUUUGCUUUCCUUUUUUGGGUGUAAAUGUGAUUAGAAACUGAGAAACUAAUAAACCUGAAAACUGGGAAGAAGUUUAGCUGAUACUUUCUAAUAAAAAAAAUAGCUUGCAGUUACAGACAUCAACAAUUUUUCAAUCAAAUCAAUGGAAAUUAUUUAUUCAAUUAAUGCUUCUAGAAUCCUAACUUGUGAAAAGUAUGAUGAAACGAUAUAUGAACAUUAGAGGAAGCUGUAGACAAGCUAAAAAUCUCUUCUUGAACCAAACCAACUGUUUAGGAGGGCAAUAGUAUAUCUACGACCAAAGGAUUCAGGGUUGAGUUCAAGCCUGUGGUAGGUUAAUGAUAAAGUCUCAAGAACAUCUGCCUUCUGCAACAGAUGCUUGUUAAAUUCAGUCUCAAUUUUAUAGCCAAAGAAGUGAUGUACCAUAAUUUUCUUCACAUUAUCCAGAAUUCCAACUGUUGGUUGCCCAUCUCCAUUGUUUUCAACAAAGAGAUGCUCCAAAGCAAAAGGUGGCCUAUGCUCACCAGUUUCUCCCCGGAAGGAAGAUUUGAACUGCAAAUCCAUCAACAUGUAUGAGAAUUAGUGUUGUAGAUCAGGGAUUUCAAUUGUGAUGUAUGAGAUUUACUGAGGUGAUGGAGACAGGUGAAAACUGUAAAAUAACAUUUGUAAUGAUCGGGUUGUAGGACAUCUCCCCCAUGUCAUCCUAUACCUGACUUACACUUGCAUCAACAAUAUUCUCUUUUAAUACCGUUUAAAUUUGGGAAACACAGAACUCACGUCUAUUUCAAUGCUUCACACUUCAAUCAAAUUAAGACAUAAAUAGAGAGCAACAUUGUUACGAGGAGUCAUGUGACAUCACGACCAUGCGACCAAUCAAGAAGUCAGUAACUGCAAUGAGAUUACACUAUUUUUGCCAACGGACCAAACCAAGCAAAUACCUUCAAAUUUCACCCAUUAUUGUUCACCUCGUGUUCUCUAGCAAGAAACUUUCACAUACCAAGAACAAAAGAAGGGCAUGAGACUUCAAUUAAACAAUCAAAAUUAAUUUAAAACGAAGUAACAAUUAUUUAGUGAGAAAUAAAAACAUUUCAGAAAAUCAAGAAUUCACACCAAGUUUGUUUACAUGGGCAAAAUUUCUUAACCAUGUUCUAAUGACAAAGUCUUGCACACUGUGGCUUCAGCAAUGUUAAACAAUGAAAAGACAGAGAUGUUCAUUAAAUCUCCAUCGACUUUAAAACUGGAGGCAUCAAUUUCUAGAUUGAAACCAUGGUUAUUCAUGCAUCUAACUACAAGGUUAAUACUCAUAUGCUUGAAUAUACAAGUAGGAUCUAUGAAUGUUGGUGACCAAUAGAUUUGAAACCUUAAAUAACAGCUAAAAUUAUAAGUCCAAACUUCUAUAUAGAGCACGAAGAGAGUAAUUAGAAACUUGUGUAUAAUCUACUGCUACCAUUUCUUUCUGCUGCGUAAGACUUCCUCCUCAACCACCACCAAACAAGGUCAUUAUGUUUCUUUUAAUUAGUAAUAUUGUUCUCCUUGUUUUGGUCUUGUUAGCAUGAGUUUUUUCUUCAAUUUUUCUUUUAUUUUAAAAUAAUCUCUCAGUUUUGUAUAUGUUUCUUCUUCUUGUUUGACUUCAUUAAUUAAUUUGGUUUGCCUUUCAAUAUUCUGUUGUGUAGCACUUAUUUCUAUUUUGACAUAUGAUACUCUUAAUUUGAAGCACUUAUUUUUAAUAUGGGUAAAUUACUAUUUUUACUCCUUACUUUUCAAUUUUUUAAGUUAUUUCAUGCAUUUUGUUUAAAUUUAUUUUCUUUUUAUAAUUUUUUAUAUGUUAAAUUUAAAGUUGAUUUCAAAUAAAUUAUCCUUCUAUUUCAAAAUUUUACUUCAUGAAAUUAACUUUUUAUGUUAUAAUAUUAAAAUUACUAAAUAUUAAGUUAUUAAGCUUAAAAUAUAGUUCUAAAAAAUUACACAUAUUAAUAACAUUUAUCAAAUUAAAUUUAUAUUUUUCAAAAAUAAUAAGAAUUAAUUACAUUUAUUGAAUAAAGUAAAGCAAAGAUAAAUAUAAAAUUAUAAAUAAAAUCAAAUAUUAAUAAUUUUAACUGUUGAGUAUGCUUCAUAUUUCAAUCAAAUUUGAGAGAUAAUCUUCCAGUUAAACUCUGUUUAUUUGUUUCAGUCGAACUCUGAUUAAUUUAUAUUAUUUUAUUAUUAUUUGGCCUAUAAAUAGGCUCCUUUAUAACCUUAAGAAAUACAUCCAUUAAAGAUUAGAACUCAUAACCCAUUUUUGGAGAAUUUUGUGUUUACGUGGGUUCUUUAUUUUUGGGUUUCGGGGUUUAGUUUUUAUCUUCAUUUUUAUACUCUUUGUUAUUUUGCCAUUAUAGUAAAAUUUUCUUUGCCCGUAGUUUUUUAUCCUCUUUGGAGGAUUUUUUCAUGUUAAAUUUGUGUGUUCAAUUUCUCAAGUUCUUCCACUAUUUUUUACUUGUUCAUUCCUUAAUCGGGUCGAUCCCCAACAAGUAGUAUCAAGAGCUAGUUCAAUUUUCAUAGAUCAACCAGUUUAGAUAGGGCAGUAACAAGGUUUGACAUUGAGAAGUUCGAUAGUGUCACAAAUUUCAAUCUGUGACAAGUUCGGGUGAUGGCAAUUCUAGCUUAGACCAGCCUGAAAAAGGUCGUUAUCGAGAAAAAGCCUGAGAAUUUAAAUCAGAAAAAAAUAAGAAGAGCUUGAUAAAAAGGUCCUAUCUGCAAUCCAGUUAUGCCUCGCGAAUUGGGUAUUGCAAAAGGUAUUAAUGGAAAAAACCUCAUCCGCCUUAUGGAAAAGGUUAGAAACUCUUUAUGCCACUAAGUCUCUAACUAACCAUUUAGUAUUAAAGCAACAUUUAUUUACGCUUUGCAUGAACGAAUGUGAGCUUCUUAGAUAUCACAUUAGUCAAUUUAUUACUCUCUUGAUUGAUUUAAAAAAUGUUGAGGUUAAGAUUGACGAUAAAGAUCAGGCUAUACUAUUAUUGUGCGUUUUACCCUCUUCGUACAAGUUUUUCAGGGAGACCCUGAUUUAUGGAAAAGACAAACUCUCGUUCAAGGAUGUGAAGGAUCAUUUGUUGAUUAAGACAAACUAAACAAUGAGUUUGGUUCGGAUAGUAAGGCAGAUAGGCAAGCUUCCAUUUUGAUAGUAUCAAAGAAGCGAGACAAAAGGUGCUGCUAUUGUAAGAAGUUAGGUCACAUCAAAGCAGAUUUGUUAUAAACUGCAAAAUAAAAGGCUUGUUGAAAGUAAUGAGGAAGAUAUAGCUGAUACCAAUUUGGCCGAUGAAAGUGGUGAUGAUUUCUUGUUAGUGUCAACAAGUGAUAGCUUCGAGCUUACGUCUGAGUGGAUCCUAGAUUCGGGAUAUUCUUUCCACAUGUGUUCCAACAAAGAAUGGUUCUCCAUAUACAGUUUAGUUGAAGGUCGAGUUGUGCGCAUGGAAAACGAUUCAUCCAGUAAGGUAAUCGGUAUUGGUACUGUUAAAAUUAGGAUGUAUGAUGGGACAAUUAGGACACUCUCAGAUGUCAGUAUGUACCUGAUUUAUGAAAGAAUCUCAUCUCCUUGAGUAUUUUAAACUCGAAAGGUUGCAGAAUCAACAUCGAGUCAAGCGACAUUAAGGUGUCUCGUAGGGCUCUCAUUUUGUUAAAAGGUAAAAGGACCAGCAGUUUUUAUAUUCUGGAAGGUUUUAUAGUGACCGAUGAAACUAGACGUCCCUCAUUUGUUAUGGAGUCGAAGUCAACUCAUUUGAAGCAAAAACAACUUGGUCAUAAGAGGUAAAAAUGUAUGAAUGUAUGACCAUUUCGUUGAAAAGAGGUUCUCUUUUGGAUGUAGGUUUUGAAGUUUAGGGCAGUGCUUUCAUGAAAAUCAGACCCGAGUUAGUUUUGAUUUAGCAAUGUACAAGUUGAAGGCUAGAAGUGUUCCAACUUCUAAGCACAGAUUCAGCGAAGUUAAUUCCCUACAUAUUCAAGAUAGGCCCAUGGCGAGCUUUAGCAAAGAUGGCGUUAUAGAAAUACAAGUCAAGGUGGAGAUUUAUUAAGUAUGCCUCAUAUUUCAGUCAAAUUUAAAAGAUAAUCCUUAUUUGUUUCAGUCAAACUCGAAUUAGUCUAGAUUAUUUUAUUAUUAUUUGACCUACGAAUUUAGCCUAUAAAUAGUCUUUUUUACAACCUUAUAAAAUACACCCAUUAAAGAUUAGAACUCAUAACACUUUUGGAGAAUUUUGUGUUUACGUUUUGAGGGUUUUUUGUUUUCGAGUUUCAGGGUUCAGUUUUAUAUUCAUUUUGUACUUUUCAUUCUUUUGCCAUUAUAAUAAAAUUAUCUUCACCCGUGAUUUUUUUAUCCUCUUUAGAGGGGUUUUCUCACGUUAAAUUUGUUUGUUCAAUUUCUCAAUUUCUUCCUCUAUUUUUUACUUGUCCAUUGCUUAAUCGGAUUGAUCCCAACAUUAAUAUUAAAACAAAUUAAUUUAAGAAUAUAUAUAAAAUAAAUAACCUACAAAAUUUAUUAAUAUUAUUAUUUAAAUUAUAAUAAAUUCAUAUUAAAAUUCAAACCAUCAUGAAUUUUUAUAUUGUUUUAAGAUUAAAGAAAAUUAGUUGAAUUUUUUUAAAAAAAAUUGUGAUUACAUUACUUUUUCAAUUUACUAAUGGUUUUUUAGGAAAUUCAUUAAUAAUUUUAAACAAAAUUUAAUGUUAUAAAAAUAUUUUAAAGUUGAUAUAUUCAAAAUCGAAUAUGAAUACAAACUAAUAAUAGUAUUAUAUAAGGUAAAUUACAUGGAUAGUAUUAUAAAAAAUUCGCCAAAAUAAAAAGUUUACAAUUUAAGCAUUCACGUUAUAUAGUUCGUUCAUCUUAGUCACUCCCUUUAAAAACUCUAACAAAAAUCUGAUGGCAUUUUUUUUACACGUGGACCAAUCAUUAGAAAUCACAUGGCACAACGUGUUGCAUACCACUUUAAAGGACUAAAAUAUAAUUUGCCCAAUACUAAUUAUUAACCAAAAUAAAAGAAAAAACAAUAAUUAAAUAAUUCAAAAAACCCAAAAGUCAUCUUCAUCUUUGAUUUUUAUUCAAACCAAUAAGGCCCCCCUUAUUAUAUAGUCCCAUUUCCUGUUUGACCCGGCUCAGCUCAUGAGUACCUCUACUUAGAUCAAGAUAUUUUUUUAACCUUAGAAAUCAGAGUUUUAGUGGAAUUGAAAGGACAAGAUGUGGAAAUAGGAUGUCGAGCUCUUUUAGUUAUAAAAAUAAACUCAACUGAGCUAAUUCUUCCUUAAAAGUCUAAUCUUCUUUUGUACCUAUAGACCAACCAAGAACCCUAGAUCUGUACAAUGAAUCAAACCCACCCUAACAUCAACUUAGACAAUCCCAGAAAUGAUCUAGACCAUGACCUAGAUCCAAUUUUAACUCUGAUUCCAACAAUUGUUGGUCUAACAUCAACGACUAUAAACUCAACUCCUUUUAUCAGAUAUAGAGAAUGUUUGAAGAACCACACUACUAGCAUGGGCAACCAUGUCGUCGAUGGUUGUGGAGAAUUCAUGCUAAGCGACGAAGACGACACCCAAGAAGCCUUUUGAUUCUGCUUCUAGUCCUUGUACUUCUUUAGACUUUUGAAUUUCAAUUAUAUAAAAAAAAUCAUAAAGUGAAAAGAAUAGAUUUGGCAUUAAUAACUUAAAUUUAAUUUAAGUUAAUCAUGAGUUAUUUAUAGUUAGGUCCCUAAAUUAUUACUGAUUUAAUCCUUGAAUUCGAGUUUUGGUAUAUUUGAUUUACUCUAUCAUGAUUGAAUUUAAUUAAUUUUGUUGCUCUUAUAUGUUGAGUUUAGACUUAAUUUAUUUUUAGACAUAUGAUAUUCAAUGUGUUGUAUAAUUUAACCUUUAGUUAAUGAAAAUUAUUAUUAUUCCUCGGAAAUGGAUUGCUGUUAAAAACAUCAUAAAUGACAGACCUGGACAAGUAUUUCACUCAAAUGAUUGAGGAUGUCCAUUGUUUCUAUAAUACUUUCUCCUCAACUGGAUGAGGAUCUUCUAUUUGGAUGAUUCUUUUGUUAUGCAUGGUGGUUCCAUGUUUAUGUAUAUAUUUUCAAUAAUUUUAUAUUCUCAUUAUCAAACCAUCUAAACAAAUGUUUAGGGUUAGUGGGAGAUGUUGAUUUAACUAAAAUUUUCAAAAAUUUUAAUUAUUAAUUUCAGGAUCAAAACAUCCACAAACCAAUGAUAUUAGCACCCCUCAAACAUUGAAAAAAAGGAAAUCAACCCCACACAGUCAUCCGAAAAUGUAGGCACUCUGUUUAUAACCCUCCCCCCACAAGCUAACAUAUGAAUUUAUCUAAUUCAUAGACUUGUAGUAAAGCAUGUAUCCAUCUUCUUUUCCCCUACAUAGGGAGCUUCUACCUAUAGCAAAACUCCUCUUUCCCAAUCAAACUGCAAAAUACGAGCAACAAGAUAACAGCCCUGCCAAACCCUUUGACAUGCAACCUUCAACUGCACAUGGAGACUUGGAAGAACCCACCGGACUACUUUGUUUAACAAUUUCCAUGCUCUCAUCGCAUGAAUUCUGGGGAAGAUUAUCUUCCCUCUCACCAGAUCUGCACAAAAUAAACCUUCUCUUGGAAUUUGAUGUGCAAUUCGGGUUCGGAGAGCUCGAGAAUAAUGGUUCCAAGGACUCCAUUUUAUCAUUGUUACAUUCACGCAACUUCCUCUUCAACCCCGGAACUAGUUUUAGUCCUGCCAUUUGAUAUUGUUAUCAUAACAUUAAUUGUCUAUUCUAGUCCAUAAAACUAGCAACUUAUCUAAAGCCAGAGAUAAUAUUUUGACGUACCGGGCAAAGAGUCAUCGUAUGCACACAACUGGGACCCUGAAUCACCAUAGCUACAGAAACCAUUUGUAUCUUUAUUCGACCCUGAAAUUCUGCAAUUGGAAGAGGGAAGUCUUAAGACAUCUAGACAUUGUGUGCAUAAAAAGUAACACUAUUUAACUUGAAGCAUUCAGAAAACACGGGAUCAUGCUUGAACCAACAAAUAACACAAAGGUAUGAUUACAAGUCAAUACAAAAACAAAUAUGAUCAAGUGAUCAUACUGCUCUUAUUCAGUAAUAUACAAACUGAAAACAAAAUAAGUAGAACAUUGAAUGGCAAUAGAUGAAAAAGAUUACAAUAAGAAUCUUAAAUUGUAACCUAAAAUAGACCGAGUGAUAAUGAAACAGCUAUUAGAACUUUUAUGAUCAUAUAAAGUGCUGAGGAUAUAAAAGCAAACCUGUACAUAUGCUCAACAAAGUCAUCAAUUAAAACGGGCCAAGCACCUGCAAAAUAACCAAACAAGUAAGAUCUACGAGGCAUAAAUACCUGAGAGGGAGCCCAUAAGACAUAUUUCGAGAAAAUUUAUACCUUCAGGAUCAUACCCUUCUAGGGUUUCAUGCACACACCGACUAAAAGCUAAAACUUGCUGCCAUGUAUCCUCAGAAAUAUUGUGCCGCUGAUUUUUCUGAAGUGAAAUGAAAAACAGUACUUUACCUUAAUCGAAAGCUUACAGUAAUUCAUUAGCACAAAUACUUUCAACUUGAACUAAUAGUGCAGUAACAGAACACAUGUCCGACCCAAAGGAUGACUACCAUCCAUAUUGCCAUACAUAACAUGCAAAAGGUUGAAACCAUGUACAAGGAUUUUCAAAGGCUUGAUUAAGUGAAAGUCAAAUUUUAAGAACGCUUCUUAAAUAAUAACAAUUGAAACUAAAGCAGCAGAGAAGUUACUCCCUAUACAAUACAAUGAAGUCUACGAAAAAAUUACAUGGUUUAUUUCAUUUAAUUUGAGUGCACAAUAACAACCAAUAUGACAAUUUUAAUGAAAUUUACUGCAAAAGGUAAACUCAACUCAGACAUCGAAACAAUAACCAAUAGUUUCACAAGAUGCUUCCAAGACAAACAAAAAGGGUUAGCAGCUUAGUAUCAGCCAUACUCAUACCUCAACAAAGUCACACCAUUGGUUAAGCAAACGGAACCUGCCUGCUAAGACUAAUCUCCAAGCAGCAACUGCCCUGCUUACAGCUAUCAAUCAUGCAAAAAAAAAUAUAGUCAAAUCCAAGACCAAAGAAAUUCAUUGUAAUUUAGCUUAUAUAUCCUCACUAUUUACUCCAAAGAUAAAUCAAUAAAAUUAUUUGCAUUUAACUAAGUAGUACACAGUAACUUACUAAUAUUCUUUUGACCAUUUUCUCGGCAUACGAAGAAAACAAAAUCAUAGAAGCACGAGAAUACAGAAAAGUCUACCUACAAGAAACAUCAGAAAGCCAAAUUUCAGUAUGGAUAACACUUGAAAUUAGAGCAUAUAGUCAAUGUAACAACUGAAUACUACAAAUAUACAUCAUAAUAGAGGCUUAAAGUAUACUUAAAUAAGUCCUCUAAAGAACUUCAAGGAAUAGGAAUAUCACCAUCAAGUCGAGCUGUAACAUGAGUUUGAGAAGUUCAUCAAAGAUUGCAUUCCUGUCAAAGGAAACAUAAUAAAAUGUUGAAAAAAAUAACCAAUAACCAAGACUGGAUAUUGAAAAUACACUUAUGCCUUGCGCUAUAAAAUCUUUUUCACUAAAAGAUUAGAUUAAAGUUUUCACUAGUUUAGGCAUUAACAUGAAUGUAUAGGAGGCUGACUGCAACCCAAGAUCAAGUUGCAGUCUUCAAAAUUCAACCUUAAGUCAAGAUGGGAUUGAAAGAUUCCAAUGCUUGAAGCUAAAUUAAAUACAUCUUCAACAAGAACUGCCAAGAACAACACUAAGUUCACAUGAAAUCCCUAAAAUAUCAAAUCAAUUCUUUCAUGCCAAAUGUCUCAAGACUCAUCAACGGAUUCUCGGGUCAUCCUAAUGGCAAGCCAAACUCAGUAAACUUCUAAAUACAGAUUAUAUAUAUAUAUAUAAACAUAUAUACAUACACACAUACAAUCAUGCAUAGAUACAUACAUAUGCCUCUCGCGCAUCCUUGACUCCACCAUCUUUAAGAGUUGGUUCAAUGCGUCCCUAGUGAACUUAGCUCUUUGUGAUUCCUCGCCUUGUCGGUAGCCUUCUCCAUCACAAACAUGCUCAUAUCCUGUUCUAAGUUCUGCAAGACAGUUCAAAAGUUAAAAAUUACUGCAUCAGCCCUUUCGAACAGAGCAACAUUCCAAUCUCAGCACAAUUUUCUGAACAGUUGAAAAUUCUGAAAAUGAAUACAAAUCAUAAAAGAAAAUAUCAAAACUUUAAACAUUUUAACCAAUUCUUUAAACAAACCAAAUUGCAUUAUAUAUAUAUAUAAACAUGCAUUAUAUUGAUGAAAAUUUUGCAUUACUUAUAUUUUGGCCUACUUUUCUAUUGACCUUUUUAGGGUACCAAAUUACACAAUUUUUUUCCAUAAUUAAAUCAAAAUUUGAAUUUUUCUAUUAAAAAGAAAAAGCAUUUUUAACUCUCUUCCCGCACAAUUAUUACCCAACAACACUAAACUGAAACCCCCCUGAUCUAAUUUCCAAUCUUUUUACCCGAAAGUUCACCACUUUUCUUUUGUACACCAACCCAAAAUAUUUCAAAUUUAUAAUUAAAGAACAGCAAAGAAUAAAGAAGUAAAAUCUCAAGAACAAAAAAGAAAAGUGAAAAAUAAAAAAAAAAUACCACAGAAUCGCCGAUAAAUCUCGAAGAUAUCAAACCGAUUCGGACCCAAGGAGUCCAUCGGAUUCUUAACUGUAUCCAGAGCUCCGGCAAGUUAGGUUUCCUUUAAUAUAUUUUGGUUGAGCUUGAAAGAAAUGAAAAAAAAAAAUCGGAACUUUCUCUUUACCGGUAUGGUUUUAAAGAUAAAGUACUCUCUCUUCUAUGCGUUUUACAGAAAUCAAAAUAUUGUCAAGCCUUUCUUUUCCAUUUGGAUUUUGAUUUUAGAGAAAGAAUACUAAGGAAAACAAAAGUUUUGGUUUUACUAUGAGAUUGAACCGGAUCUUACUUCCGGUUCAGGUAAACCAGGGUAUUGGAGUACUAUGUGACGCAGCGAAUAUGCUGUAUCUUACUCUCUUUGAUUUCAUCCGUUUAGAUUUCUUUCAUCAUAUGUAAUGUCAAAAAAAAAAAAAAGAGAAAAAAGAAAAACAAUUCUUUUUUUAAAUAAAAUAAAUAACUAAUAACCUUAUUUAUUCGGUAGCAACUAUAAUAAUAACUUUUAUAACGAAAUAAUGAUAAUUUUUUUGGACUUGAAAUAAUGAUAAUUAAAAUAUUAUUUGCUCUUGGGUUAAAAUGAUAGGUAAAUUAGCAAUGUAUGUCGAUUUUAGAAGAUAAUGAGAGAAAUAGGUCGAUUUUUUUCGAUAUUUAAGAAAACAAGCUGAUUUUGAAGGUUGGCGUGUCUGAAAACAUAUUUUGCAAAAUGUGUUUUCUUUAAUAACUUAAAAUAUCAUCUCUUUUAAACCCCGUGUGUUGACUUGAUGGUCAAGGUGUUCACCGCCCCAUGUGUGGCUUGGGUUUGAGUGACACUAGUCAUGUUGUUAUUAGGGUUUUGCUCUUCUCUUGUAAUUCACCAAAAAAACAAUAUUAGCUCCUUUAGUUAGGUGGUUAAAUAUUAGUUGUUUUGUCCUUGAUUUUCGCGGUUCAAUUCCUCUCUUACUCACAUUUGUAUUUUUUAUUUCAUGUUGUUUUAAUAUUUUGUUUAAUUUUAAUUAAUAAAUAUACUAUUUUCAAGUUUUUUAAUUCAUAUUUUUAAUUAAUAACUCUUUUAUUUAUAUAAAUAAAUUACUAAAUAUGUAAUUAUAUAAAUUAUAUAUUUUUUGUUAUAAAAUAAAAGACAGAGAAUAAAUAACAAAUAGAAUAGGAGAGCAAAGAGAGAAUGUAUUUUAUUGAUCAAUCGAAAUAUUUACAAUGCUUCCCCAAAGUCUCUAUUUAUAGGUAUAAUAAAUAUAAAUAAAGUAGAUAUCUACUUCUAAUCACCAUUAGAGUUUAAUGUACAUCAAAACCUAUCUUGAUCUUGAUGUACAUCCACUUAAGAUAUUUAUAACACUCCCCUUGGAUGUCCAUUGGUAGAUAAUGUGUCUCGUUAAAACCUAAGAUAAAAAUACCGUGUGGAAAAAAAUUCCUGAUGAAAGGAAAAGAGUAUGCAUAUCUAUAAUACACAUAAUAUGUUGCCUCGUUAAAAAUCUUACCAGGAAAGCCUAAUGGAUCAAAACCUCACUUAAGGGAAAAAGAGUACAGCGUGUAUUUACUCCCCUCAUUAAAACAUCACAUAUUUACUUAUAUUCUACGUAUUCAAUCUUGAAUACUAGUUUUUCAAAUGACUAUUUGAAUGUAUUUGCUAAGCAUUUAUAUCACCAUUCUUUUGAAAGUCAUGAGUGAGUGAAAAUUUGGGAGAAAUAUAUUUUAAUCUCUUAAGGAGUUUCACCAAUAAUCAUAGCAAACGUUAAUCAUGAUUCUUCUAUAAAAACACAAAUAAGUAUUUUGGAUCAUUUUAUAAUCCUCCUUCAACUUUUAUUCACUAUGUCAAAUCACCACAUAUAUUCUAAUUAUUUCAAUUAAUAUAAAUGAAUAAUUUCUCGAUAAUUUCAAUAUGCUUCUAGCAUUCUAAAUCCUUUAAGGAUUUUAAUAUUAUAACAGCCCGUUUUUAGUCAAAUCAGAACAGUAGUUUCGGGACCACAAUUCCAAUGUCAAAAUAAUUAUUUUAUUAUUAUUUUAAUGUCUACAGCAUGAUAGUAUGAUUGUGUGAAAUUUUCGUUAAGAAAUUUUAUCGUUUGAGUGCUUAAUUUGAUAAAAAGGACUAAAUCGCGUAAAGUGUAAAACAUGAGUUCUAAUAGCUAAAGGUGUCUAAUAGUUAUAGAACCUUAAAUUGAAGGUCCUUAUGUGAUAAUUAGACCAUUAGUAUGUUAGUGGACAUUUAUCAGAAUGUUAUUGUUGAAAAACAAUGUGUUGGAUUAAUUGAUCAAUUUCGUCGUUUUUUCAUCCGAGGUAAGUUCGUAUGUAAUAAGCAUUAUUAUAUUUGUGUUUUAAAUGCUUUGAUAUUGUACAAAUUGUGAAUACAACCUUGCAGACAUACUCAAUGAUGAUUCGGCAAAUAUGAAAUCCCAGUUGAACCUUAGGAAUAGAUUAGGAUACAAAUGACAUGUCAUUAGGGAUUAUGUGAUUUGGGUGCUGGUCCGUACGUCCUACCGGUGGUUGUGUUAUCCAACAUGUGUUGCGAAUACUCAUCAACUUGUGUGAGCAGCACCAUGUAGCUUUGUCAUGACCGUCAGCUUGUGUAAGCAGACCCGUUGAUAGCUCGAGAGUAAGCAUUAUAUGUGAUACAAGAUUGAGAAGCUUCGACUAUGUAUGUGGCACUUAGGGUGCGAGUUUCCCAUGUAUCUGAUAGUAUUCUAGAUGGUUCAACAGGUAUAUCAAAGAUACAGAUGAGUAUGAGGUCGAUACGAGCUUGUAUAGGUUUGUACAUGAACUAUAUGAUCACCUAAUCAAAGAAGUUGAUGGAAAUUGUGCUUAAUCUUUGGAUUGAAUACAUAUGUUAAGUUAUGCUUUCAACUUGAAUUACAUUAUAUGAUGUUUAUGUUAUUGUAUUGUUGGUUGGUAAGUUUUAUUUAUUUUGCAUACGAGCUUACUAAGCUAUAUAGCUUACACUGUUUACUUUUCCGUGUUUUAUAGUGAUAACAAAGCUAGCUCGGAUUCAAAAAUCAUCAGAGACUUCAUUACACUAUCCAACUAUCACUUUGGUACUUUGGAAUUUAUGUUUUUGGAUAUAUGGCAUGUAUAGGAUUAUGGUCAUUUUGAUAUAUAGUUUGGUAAUGAAUUUGGUCAUUUGAAAUAGCUUGUAAAUGUUAAGUAUUUGGUUUUGUGCAUAGCCAUGUGAGUUGGCUUAUUUUGGUUGAUUUAGUUGUGUGUGUGUGUAUAUAUAUAUGUAAAUGGAAUUUGUCUUGUGUUGAUAAUUGCUAUGCUAAUGCUUGUGGUGGAUGGUUGAUUUUUGAGAAGUUAUAUGUUUGUGAGUUAGGCAUAAUGAUGCAUGUUUGAAAGUGUCCAUUUAGUUGAAAUCUGAAUGUGAAUUUGGUAUAAAUGGAAUGGUCUAUUUUUGUUAUUUAUGUGUAUUGUGGAUGAUGGUAUAGAACUAGUAUGAAUUAGGCUUGAUUUAGUUGGUUUGAUUGCCUAUUUAUGCCAUGUUUUGGUGUCAUUUGGUUUGGUGUAGGUGUAUACAAAUUUGGGUGGUAAGAUGGCUUGGUAAAGAGCCUAUUUUUGUCCACACAGGCAGAGACACGAGCGUGUGUCUCAGCCGUGUGUGACACAUGGUCAAGUUACACGGCUGUAUGUCCCCUAGUGUUGAAUUAAAAAUCAAGCUAGUAUGUUCUACACGGUCUAGCACACGAGCGUGUGACUUGGCCGUGUGGCAUAAGUCAGGGUUUGGCACUUCUUAGCACACGACCUGGCACACGGGCAUGUGUGGCCAUUUUGAAGGGCACACGGGCCGAUCACACUGGCAUGUGGUUGGCCGUGUGACCCAAGUCAAAGAGUUGCAUGGGGUCGAACACGGGCUGGGACACGGCCAUGUAAUCCCAUUUCAAAUGUCUACACGUCUUGUGACACGGACGUGUCUUUGGCCGUGUGAGACACACGGCUGGGCCACACAGGCGUGUAUUCCCUGUAGUUUGGAAAAAUUUUCUAGGUUUUGUAAAAAUUUCCUCAGUUAUCGGUUUAAGUCCUGAACCACCCCGAAUGCAUGUUUUAAGCCCUGUAGGCUCAUAUUAGGGACAAUGUGAAUAAUGAUUGAAUGAUGAUUGUUUGAAAUUAGAAAAUAUAUGUGAAAUGUAUGUUAUUUGCGUUAUAAGUCCGGUAAUGCUCCGUAACCCUAUUCCGGCGUUGAAUACGGGCGAUGGGUGUUACAAAUAUAAAUUUUACUAUAUAGUGAUUAUUGAAAAGGUUGCAACAACAACCAUUAGAUGUAAGUUAAAUCUUUUAUGAACUGCCAGUUUAAUAAUAUAUCUAUAUGUUAUUACAUCUACCACAAAAGAAUAUUAUAUCUUUUCAUAACCAAUGUCAGGGCUUAGUGGAAAACUUUAUAUUUUUAUUGCUUUUGCAAAACUACUUUAUUUGUACCCUCAUUGGCUUUAUACUUUUAGGUAUUUGGACUACUGGUCCAAAAACUUCACGAAUUUAACUGUACUUGAGUUGCAUUUUUCUAUUUUGAACAAUCUAUUCAAUAUCUAUAUUUCUAAAUAGACUUAUUCAAGAUUCUUCUUUCAUUUCAUUAUUUCAACAAUAAUAUUGCAUGCAAAACCACUGUUGAUCAAUUUUAUUAUCGGUUCGACAUUUUCUUGAAUUUACAUAACUUAUUGAGAUAUCUUAUUUUAUUUAUUUUAAUCUUUAAUUUUAGGUACCUGAAUCUCUUCUGGAGUUUUACUUAUUACUUCUGUCUUGUGUCUCUUCCGGAGUACUCGCCUCCACUAUAUAACUAUUUAGAAGAAUUUUCAUCUUUGGAACCAAUCGAUUUACCAUUUAUUAAAACUGAUUGUCCUACUGAGACUUUGAUUCAAAAUAUUAGAUGGUACAUAACACUUGGUUAUUCUCAUUAAGUUUGUGAAUAUAUUUGAAAGUUAACUUGUAAUGAAGUGAGUUAUCCUUUUUAAACUUCUAGUUUAAAUUACUCUCUAUAAGGAUCCAAAUAAUGAUAACUCAUUACAAGCAAUGAUUUCAUUCAGCUAUUAUUUCUCUCCCCCUAAUAUCGGGAAAACUAUCAAAUCAAAAUAGUAAUAAAAAAUCAUGUCAUAAUUGAAUCUUCAAUAUAUUCAAAACAUCUAAUAAUAUAAGAAGAGUUGUAAUUAAUAUAUAUUCUCAACUUUCUUUGAGGAUUCACUCAUCUUUGUGCAUUGUGGUGGAGCAAUUGGAAUAUAUAUGCACAUACAAAAAUUCAAAUAUGAGAAAUAUUUAGCUCUUGACUAAAAGUCAAUUGUAAUGGAAAGUAUUGAUAACUUAUUGGCUUGAUGCGUAUAACACGUAAAUCAACGGAAUCUCAUGUUGAAAUAGGAAGUUUAGUUCUCAUAAGUAAUGGUUUAAAUAUUAAUCAGAGGCGUUCAAUCAAUAAUUUCUCUAAAUCAUUAUGCGCAUAAAUAUAAACUUAUACAAAAGAUUUUCAAACUCAAUCAGUAAAAGACUGAGAUAUAAACUCAUCAAUAUUAGCAAGAUGAAUUGUCUUAAUUGCAUGAUCUAAAAUUAAUUAUUUAAACAAACAAUCUUGCAAACGACAAGUUGCAAGUUGAUAACACAUACGUGAUUAUUUUGUAGAUGCCUCUACCAAAAUCAUAUAAUAACAAAAUCAUCCACGUGGUGAAUGAAUGAGCUUUAGCUAGUAAAUUUCUAAUAAGCAAUUUUCAUUGAGAACAAGAAAUAAAAGAGAAUUGUUUAAAUUAAAGAAUCUUCUGUUUUUCUAAUGAAUAUUCAUAUGAAUUCUCAAUUAAUUUUCACAUCAUAUAUGAUCCAGUAUGGUUUAACUGGUCAUAUCAAGCAGUAAAUGCAUUUGCAUCCUUAAACUUCUGGUUUACUUUAACAUGUAUUUCAAUUGUACUAAUAAUGUCAAUAUAAAUUGUGGCAAAUUAAUGAUUUUAUUGUCAUUCCUUUUACUUUGUAUUUACAUAUAAGUACUAUUGUGACAUUUACUAUUAGAAAUGUCUAAAUCAAUGUGAAGUCUAUAAUGUCACCAAGUCAACAAAUAAAUAUAAUUUCCAAACAAUUAUAUGCAAUAUUCGAUUCAACGAAUAUGCCAAAAUCUUUAAAUCAAAUCAAUAACUUAAUCCUCUCCUUUUUUUUCAUCUUUUUAAAAUAGAUAUUUAUAGCAAUAGUGAUUCAUAUGAAAUAUAAUAUUUUCCUCAUUUAUAAUCUCAAUAUGAUAUCCAUUAUAAUGAAUAUCUUUUAAAACUUAUGCAUUAACCAUCACAAAUUUUGUGCUUUUUUAGAUAUUGAUAUAUUAGCUCUUUUGAAGCUUUUAACUAAUUUUAUAUUACCAAAUAUUGGAAUAAUAUUAGUUUUUAUUUUAUUUUAUGUUUGCGUUCAUUUUGGGAAAUGCAAUAGAUUUACCAUGAUAAAUUUAUAAUCAUCCCAAUAGGUUCUUUAUUUUAUAAUUACCAUCGCAAACAUGCGUGAAUUUCAAAUCAAAAUCUAUCUAUUCAUAUUGUCAUGAUUAGUUUCCAAUUAUAAUAAACAUGGUAUAAUAAAUAAAUCAUAGUAAAAUAUACCUGAAGAUCUGAGUGAUUAAAAGCUCUAAUGAUUAUAGUGCACAAGCCUCAUUUGAAGACUGAAAUUGCAAUAGCUCUAGAAGGCAAUCGACAACAACUUGAGUAGCAAAUUUGGAGUGACCGUAUUAUAAAAUAAAAGAGAAUUGCGUUCAUAAUGUGUUAUAAAAUAAAAGACAAAGAAUAAAGAAAAAGAAAAUGGGAGAGCAAAUAGAGCAUAUUUUAUUUAUCAAUCAAAAUAUUUACAAUACUUUUCAAAAGUCUCUAUUUAUAGGUAUAAGAAGUAUAAAUGAAGUAGAGAUCUACUUCUAAUCACUAUUAGAAUUUAAAGUACAUCAAAAAUUAUCUUGAUUUUGAUGGACAUCUAUUUAAUAAGAUAUUCAUAAUAUUUUUUUAUAUUUAUCAUUGUGUUAGAUUUAUUUUAUUUUUAACAAAUUUUUUUAAUAUAUUUUUUCUUUAUAUAUAAUUUUUUAUAUAUUAAAUAUUUAUUUUCUCCACUUAUAUUGUGGAUACGGUAGUUUACAAUAUUAUAAAAUCAAAUAAUUAUUUCAAGUAUCAUUAUUAUUUUUAUAUGUAAAAUAUUUCAAAUAUCAUUGUUUGUUAUCUAUAUUAAUUAAAAAUUAGAAAAAAAGUUUAAAACAACAUAAAAUAAAAAUUAUAAAUGUAUUUAAGAGAUGAAUCAAACCCAAGAUUUAAGGAUAAAACCUCUAACACUUGAUCAUCUAAUCGAAGGAAAUAAUGUGUAAAGCUAUUAAAGAAAAAAUAUUUUGUAUAACGCAUUUUUAGACACAUCAAAAGAAAACGCUUCUUAAAGGACGUGUUUUCUGUUUCUCUCUCCAAAAUCGACCUAUUCCUUGAUAUAUCGAAAAAAUAAAUCUAAAUCCUUAAUUAUUUUUUAAAAACAACAUUUUCUUCAAAUUUACCCUUAAAAUGAUUGUUUCUAAAUUCUUAGAUUUAUUAUUUAUUCUAAUUCACCUAACACCUUUUUUUUUCAAUUUUACCCUUUAAAUAAAAAUAUAAAAAAGAAUUAUACAACUCUAUUUUCCUAUUUAAUUUCCUGUAAAAAAAAUGUUUGGAUGUUGUGUUUAGUGUGUAUAAAAAUCUUUGAAUGUUCAUCUACUUUCAUUUCAUAUAUUGAAUAUGUCGAUUAUUUGAAAAUUUGUCGAAUUUUGUGAAUAAUGAAAUUAUCAAAACGUUUGGCAUUCGUAAAAACUUAUCUAUGAAGUUAAAAUUAUGCUAUUAUUUUUUAUGUUUAAAAUGAAAAUUUAAUCUUUAUAUUUAAUUUGGAUAUUUUUAAUCUUGUAAUUUAUAAAUUUUAAAAUUUUAAUCUUGAACAAAUAAUAGUCGUAAAAUUCAUUUAGUUAAAGUUUUUUUUUAAAUCUGUUGUGAUAAAUAUAUUACCAUAUAUAUAUAAUGUCAUGACAAUUUAUUGUUUUCAUAUAUUACUCAUAAAAAAAUUAAUUAUGAAUUUAAAGUGCAUUAAGAGUAAAAUUUCAAAUUUUGAAAAAUAUAAAGGCUAACAAAUUAUCUAAUUGGAAAAUAUGGAUUAAAUCUACAACUUUAAAUAUAGUACAAGAUUAAUAGCAAAAUUCAACAAAUUUAACUGCUACCAUUUGGUUAAGAUUAAAAUUUCAAAAUAUGAAAAGUACAAAAACUAAAAUUCACCAUUUCAAAAAAUAUUUAAUCAAAUUAAAGUAUAGGGACUAUCCACAAACUUAUGCAAAGUACAAGGGCACAUAAAAAAAUUAAACCAUUAAUCUAACAUAUAUUGAAUAUGUAUAUUGAACCUUGAAGAAAGGGAAAAAAUAGAGAUUCAUGGUAUGGAAAAAUGGCUCUUGUUUGAUUGUAUGCUUGCUCUUUUAUCACUGUUUGCCUUCUAAUAUUUAUCUUACGGUAAAGUCAGAAAAUAUUUUUAGGGUUGAAAUUAAAUUAUAUCUUUUUAAAAUAGUAAAAAUAUAAUUUUAUUAUUUUAAUUUUUAUAUUUUAUAAUUUUUAAAUAAUUAAAUUAAAUUUUUAUUAUUUUUAAAACAAUUAAAAUAUAAUUUUAUAUUUACAAAUUUAAAUUUUUAUAAAUUUUAAAAUUUUUGAAUAAAAAAAUUUUCAAUUUAAGGAGAUGGAACUGCCAACCGCUUAAUUAUGCGGCUAAUCUACCAUGUACGGUACAAGAAAAAUGGCCUCCUAGAAUCUGAUAAGCAUCAUAAAUUUAUUAAAAAAAUAAAUUUACAAUACAAAAACUGAAUGGACUUUGAAUAUCAGAAAAUAGAGUAAAUAUGAUAGUAGAGUUUUGUAAUUUCGUUUUAAAUAUGCUAGAAGUUUUUGUAAUUGUGUGAAAUUUUAAAUUUAGUUAUAUAUUUUAAUUUUGAGACAUUUAAUUUUUAUAUUUUUUUAUUUAAAAAUUUUGAUUCCUCCAUCAAUUUUAUUUUUAGAAUUGUUGAUGUGAUUGUUAUAAAAAAGAUAAAAAUAACUUUUUUAACUCUUAGUAUUUAUAAUUUUUUGUCAAUUGAAUCCUUAUUUUUUAAAAGUACAUAAACAAUUAUAAAAAAUAUUUUAAAUUAAUUUUUUUGUAUUUUCAAUAAAAAUAUAAAAAUUUUGAAAAAUAAAAAAUCUUAAAAAUUUAAAAUAAAAUUAAUUAAAUAGUCCAUUUUAAAUAAUUUACAAAUGGAAAAUAUAAAAAUUUCCAAAUUUUUUUUUAAAAAAAGUCUUAUUUACUCCAAGUAUGGUAAUAAACUUUUUUUUUAAAUUUUAAAGAAUAAUAUGACAAAAUUAAUGCUUAGAAAUAUUCAUUUGGGUCCAAUGUUGAGAAUAAUAUAGUUUUCAUUAUUCUCAUUAUAAAUUUUUUUAUUAUAGUUGAUAUUGAAUAGUUUUAUAUAAAUUUUAAGAACUAAGAUGUGCUCCAACAAAAUUGAUUUUUUUAAAAUAAAAGAAAUAAUAUUGGGUUUUUAAUAAUAUAAAAUAAUUGAUUAUGAACUAAUAAUUAUUCUGAAUUAUAUUAAUUUCUUAUUUAUUUUAUAUAAUCUAACUCACCUAAAAUUUGAAAGCAACAAGGGGUCAUCUCUUUAAAACUUGUGAUAAUUGUAAACCUACCACAACUACUUUACAUUCAUAAAAUGUAAAUAUAAUUGUUUUCUAUAUUUUUUUAUCUUAAAUCUAUAUUUGUUUUACAUUGUUUAAGAGUCCAGUUAUUAAUGCAUAUCUAAAACUUCAUUUAUAUUGGAGAGGUUUGAACAAAUAUGUAAUGUUCGAAAAUAUGUUUGAAAAAAAAAUAAGUCUAUUUAAAAUAUAAGUUGAAUUUGGACUCUAACAUUUACGACCUCAAUUCAGUCCAAUCUGUUUUCAAAUUUUGUGAUAUUUUAUUUUACAUUAUGUGAUUUAUAUCUAUUAAAAAGUAAAUAUGUAAUAAUAUUUAAUAUUAUAACAUAAGCAAAUUCAUUUUCUUCUAGAAGAAGAUGAUUGGUGAGGGGAUCAAUAGGGCGACCAAGAAGGUGUGGCGAAAAAGGGAUGAUACGGUUGACACAAGUGAUUCGAUGAGUGCAUCUGAUGGGGGUCAUGAGUCUCGUUUAAGGAUGUGCCCUUAGAAGAAGAUAAUAUUAGGAAAAAGGUGCAUGAAGAUGAUGAUAUAGAGCUACAUGAUAGCGAUGUAAUAAUGACAAUUAAUAAUGGUAUCCUGUUUAUUUGCUUAUUAAAAAGAGUGCUUUCCUUGAUUGAGAAAACUAUGAGCUUUACGGUGAUUAUCAAACUGAUGAGAAGGAGGGUAGGGCUUAAUUCUCUAUUGAGUAAGGUAUACGCACUCUGAAAAUAAAAAUCAACAAUUCAACUUAUGGACUUGGAAAAUGACUAUUAUUAAGUUGGAAGAUGAAUAAAGUUCGUGCUAAACAAAAUGGAUGGGAUGCUAGGAGGCUCUCUAUGGUGAGAAGAAUCACUCUUGCUAAAUCGGUUCUUUUAGCUAUUCCCAAUUACUUCAUGAACUCAGUGUUGAUUCCCUUAUUUGUUUGCAGUGAAAUUGAGAAGUUGACUCAGGCAUUCAUUUGAAGCUCAACUAUUGACUCUCAUAAACUGACCCUUGUUAGUUGAGAUCAUUGUUGUAGACCACUUGCUAAUGAUGGUUUGGGUCUUCACAAUUUGAGUAAACUUAAAUUUUUUUUUGUUCAAACUCUGUUUUAAACUUUUAUAUGAUGUUGGAGUAUUUUGGGUUUAAGUUAUGAGAAGUAAAUACAAUGUUGUUCAUAUGUUUGGUGUUUUCUGUCGAGAGUUUGGAAUGAGGUGAUUCAAAAAGUUCAUUAGUUGGUUAGUAAUGGUCAAUUAUUUUACAACGAAAUUAUUUUAAACUAAUGGAAAGAUUAUUUUAAGGGUUCCAUUUUCAACAAUCACCCAAUCUUACCAACUACAAUAAAGAAAAUUCAUGUCUGCAAUCAAUUUUGAAGGAUUUGACAUGAUUAAUAAUUUUUUUUCUUUCUUUUGGGUACAAUGAAUCAAUUCAUACGACCAUUAUACACUUAAUUAAGCAAUUCAUACGACCAUUAUACACUUACCACGAUACUCAGUCAUGCAAUUAACAUGAAUAUGGAAACAAAUAUUUUGAUCUCGAAUCAUAAAAGUAUAAACCGAAUCUUCACGUAACUCGUUGACGAUUCUCGUUUUUUUUUUCUCUCUUGAAGGCUCAGCAUCAUCUUUAGUUACGAACAAUAGUUGAAUAAAUAAACAAUAUCAAAUUUCAUCCAGUUCACAUUCAAAUACAAAGCCAACCAUAUUUUGCAUGCUAUUCAAUUUAGUCCCUAUACUCGAGAUAAACAUAUUUUUCGAUAUAUAGAUUCAGAUUAAAAUUUAAUUUCACAUUCUUUCAUUAGGGACUCUGUACUUCCUAUUCAUGGAAUAAUAUCAUGAAAGGUUUUCAAUUUAUUCAAUUUGGUCCCUAAUGUAACAAAGUUAAUUAACAAGAUUAAUUGGUUUUACAAUUUAGUCUUUAUCAUGAUCUAAUGUUAAUAUCUAUUAAAUUUAAGCCUAAUUCGUCAAAUUCUCAACAAUGAUGACUUAUUAAAAAUUCAUCAAUUGAACAAUUUGAUAUAUGGGCUAGUUAAAUCAAGUUCCCAUGAUUAUAAAUCUAUAAAAAUUAUAAGAAAAAUAGAUUACUUAUGGAUUUUGAUGGUCGAAUGUUGAAACAAAUGGAGGAUUUUUCUUUUUUUCUUUCUAGGGUGGAAUGGCUAAGCUAAAUGAAGAAGAUGUUUCAUCUCCACUAACUUUAAUAUAUAUGCUAAUUAAUCUUAAUUAAUCAUAAUCAAUUUUUUAAUUAAAUUGUUUCUAAGUGCAAAUCAUCAUCACACUACUCGUCUAUUUAUAAUCAGUUUAUUAAUCAUUUUAGUCCUUUGAAUAAUUGUUACUUAAGUCUUCAAGUCUUUUCUUAAUUAAAACUCAAUAGUGAUUGGACUUUUAAAAUUUAGUCCUUAAGUUUUAAUUAAUCAUUUUCUCGAUUAAAUUACUUAACGAAACUUCAAUAUAAUUUUAUGUUAACUCCGUAUAUAUUCUUAUUCUAUAUUUACGAACUCGAUUUAAAAAAAUAAAAUUCCAAAACCAUAUUUUUCCACACCAAUAAAAACUAAUUCAUUACAAAUUUAGUCAACCCAAAAACUCCUCGUAAUAUUAGUUUAUGCUACUAUUGUACUUAAAACUUACCAAGUCAGCCAUUGGAUCAUCAAACUCUUGUAGGUCAAAUCUGGUCUUCAUGUCUUCCUUGUAAGUACCCCAUUCCAACUUAUUAGACCCUCAUUCAUAUUGAGUGUGAUAUAGGUGCCAUUGUAAAGCUUUUCCCUCUAGACCUUCUGUUCAUCUACCACCGAUGCUACGACGAAUUAUUGUUCUAACAUCAUGAGCCAUCCUUUAAAGUCGCCACUGUUAAACUUUGGGCAUUCCCAUUUAAAGGUUCGUUGAAGCCCUAACUCAAUAUAUUGUGGUUGCCUGAAAAUUGGUUGCUAAGCCACCGUGGCUCAUUUCCUUUUGCAGAGCUAGCAGAACCAAAUAACACUGCAGAUUUGUCUGGGGUAUCUUUCUCUGUUAUAAACUCGAAAAAAGAAUUAAGAUCUAACCAGAGUUCAUUGAACCGCUCAUCCCUCUUCUUAUCUAAUGCUUGAAGUUUUGCUUAAGUUUUCAACAGAUCUUGAUGCUGUUGGGAAACUUGAUUCUGUCUGGUGGUAAUGUUGUCUGUCAGCAUGAUGCCAGAGUUAAGGCUUUGAUACCACUGAUGAGGGGUGAAGUUUCAUUAAGAAAAAAAAAUAAUAGAGAAGAAAGAUUCUAUAGACAAGGAAUACAAAAUUUAAGAGAACAUUGAGAAGAGAAAAAUAGGGAAAACUGCCUACUCAAAAGCAUGACUAAUAUAAUUGUUAGAAUUAAGUGACCCGAAUCCUUAUUUAAAUAAAAUACAGUGGUAAAAUAAAAUAAAAGAAGAAUCCAUAUAGAAUUACACUUCUUUUAUUUUAUUUUAGAAUAAGGUUUUUUAAACCUUAUUAAAUUCCAUCUAUUUGAUAUUGAUUAGAAUAAGGUGUUCAGUCUUACUAGAAUAUGGCUUUACAGGCCUAUAAAUAGACAUAGUCUAUUCCUCUUGUAAUGAUUCGAAUUCGACUUAGUAAAUUUUCUUCUCAUCUGCUAGUGGUUUUUUCCCGAAAGAGUUUUCACAUAAAAUUUUUCUAUUCUUUAUUUUAUUUUAUUUUCAAAAAUUGGUAUCCGAGCUUCCGGGUUGUUCAUCUUGAUCAUGGUAAUGACGUCUUUAAAGUAUGAAAUUCCGUUGUUGAAUCGCAACACCAGAUUUGCGUUGUGGCAGAUUAAGAUGUAAACAGUUCUUGCGCAGAUGGAUUUGGAGGAUGCCGUGCUAGGGAUAGAUAAGAUGCCUUCGACAUUAACAGAUGAAGUGAAGAAGCGUAAGGAUCGAAAGGCGUUAACAGAAUCACAGCUGCAUUUGUCCAACAAAAUUUUGUAAAUGUGAUGAAAGAAAAGACCGCCGCUGCAUUAUGGAAGAGGCUAGAACAAAUAUGUAUGUCGAAAACUCUAACAAGCAAGUUGCAUAUGAAGCAACGUCUUUAUGCUCAUCGUUUGGAGGAAGGUGCAUCUGUACACGAACACUGAACAAUGUUUAAAGAAAUUCUCUCAAACUUGGAGGCCAUGGAGGUUCAGUAUGAUAAGUGAGAUUUAGGGUUGAUUCUACUUUGUUCGUUGCCCCCGUCUUACUCAACCUUUAGAGACACGAUUUUAUAUAGCCGCGAGUCUCUCAUAGUUGAUGAAGUUUAUGAUUCUUUGACCUCGUAUGAUAAGAUUAAGCAUCUUGUGGUUAAACCCGACUCUCAGAGAGAGGGUCUCAUUAUUCGUGAGAGACAAGAUCGGAAUGCUGAUGAUAAUCGUGGAAGGACACAGGAACGAAAUCCUCACUGUAAAUCUAAGGAUAGAUCAAAGUCUUCAAACAGAGGUAAAACUUGCAACUUCUACAAGAAGAAAGGGCACAUUAAAUCUGAGUGCUAUAAGCUACAGAAUAAGAUUAAAAGAGAGGCUGCGAAUCAAAAGGAAAAACAACCAGAAAAUUUUGAUGAAGCUGAUGUUGUAGAAGACUACAGCGAUGGUAAACUUCUAGUCGCUUCUAUCAAUGAUUCUAAAGUAAGCGAUGAGUAGAUACUUGAUUCAGGCUGCACCUUCCACAUGAGUCCCAAUCGGGAUUGGUUUACAACUUAAAAAAUAGUGUCUGAAGGUGUUAUUUUGAUGAGAAAUAAUGCUUCGUGUAAAAUCGCAGGUGUUGGAACACUUAAAGUUAAGAUGUUUGAUGGAGUUGUCAGAACACUUAGUGACGUAUGACAUGUUCCAGAAUUGAAAAUAAAUUUAAUUUCGUUGAGUACUAUUCAUUCAAAAGGGUAUAGAUACACAGCUGAAAAUGAGGUUUUAAAGAUUUCCAAAGGUUCCCUUGUUGUGAUGAAAGGGCAGAGAAAUAUUGCCAAGUUAUAUGUUUUGCAGGGUUCUACUGUUACUGGUGAUACAGCUGUCGCUUCCUCUUCAUUGUCAGAUAAUGAUAUUGCGAAACUUUGGCAUAUACGCCUAGGGCAUAUGAGUGAGAAUGGCAUGGCAGAAUUGAGUAAAAGAGGACUUCUUGAUGGGCAAGGAAUUUGCAAACUGAAUUUUUGUGAGCACUGUGUUUUUGGGAAACAAAAGAGAGUUCGACUCACCAGAGGAAUCCAUAACAUGAAGGGAACGUUGGAGUAUAUUCAUUCUGAUCUGUGGGGGCCAUCUAGAGUGCCUUUGAGAGGUGGAGCUAAUUAUAUGCUAACCUUUAUUGAUGAUUUUUCUAAAAAAGUUUGGGCGUUCUUCCUGAGACAGAAAAGCGAUGUGUUUUUCGCAUUUAAGUCUUGGAAAAUUAUGAUUGAAAAAUAAAUGGGAAAACAAAUAAAAUACCUCCGCACAGAUAAUGGCUUAGAGUUCUGUUCUGAUGAGUUUAAUAGAUUGUGCAAAUCAGAAGGGAUCGUGAGACACUUGACAAUUCGCUAUACUCCACGGCAAAAUGGAGUUGCAGAACGAAUGAACAGAAUAAUCAUGGAGAAGGUUCGAUGUAUGUUGUCAAAUGCCAACUUACCGAAGUCGUUUUGGGCAGAAGCAGCCUCUACUACAUGUUUUUUGAUCAACCGAUCUUCAUCCAUUGCCAUUGAGAAAAAGACUCCACAAGAGGUAUGGUCUGGUAAUCCUGCUAAUUAUUCUGAUUUAAAGAUCUCUGGGUGUCCUGCGUAUGCUCAUGUUGAUAAUGGAAAAUUGGAACCGAGAUCCAUUAAAUAUGUUUUUCUUGAUUAUAAAGUUGGUGUAAAAGGGUAUAAGUUAUGUUGUCCUGAAAAUAGAAAAGUUGUGAUUAGCAGAGAUGUUUUUGAUGAAACUGCUAUGCUACCUAACUUAUCUCUUAAAGACUCUUCCAAUAAAGAAAAUCAAAAGUAGGUGGAGCAUCAAAUUAAUACAGAGUCGACUCCUCAAGCCAGUACAAAAAUUGAGAAUAAAAUUACUUCUUUACCAUAAUACUCUAUCGCCAAAAACAAAACUAGAAGAGAAAUUAAACCUCCAAAGAAGUAUGCUGAGGCUGAUCUAGUUGCUUAUGCUUUAAAUGUGGCUGAAGAUAUAGAUGCGAAUCAAGAGUAUCUAAUUAUUCUGAGGUGGUUAGUUGUGAAGACUCAGAAAAAUGGAUGUUUGCUAUGUAAGAGGAGAUUGAAUCACUCCACAAAAACAAAACAUGGGAUCUUGUGAAACUUCUUAAAGGUAAGAAGACUGUUCGUUGUAAAUGGAUGUUUAAAAAGAAAGAAGGGACUCUAGGAGUUGAAGAACCCAGAUAUAAGGCAAGGCUUGUUGCAAAGGGUUACAGUCAAAUUCCAAGAGUGGACUUUACAGAUGUGUUCUCCCUAGUUGUUAAGCAUAGUUCGAUUCGAGCUUUGCUUGGUAUUGCGGCUAUGCAUGAUUUAGAGCUUGAACAGUUAGAUGUAAAAAUUGUAUUUUUGCAUGAAGAACUUGAGAAGGAUAUUUACAUGCAACAACCAAGGGGUUUUGCAGUCUCAGAAAAAGAGGACUAUGUUUGCUUGCUAAAAAAGCCCCUUUAUGGUUUGAAAUAGUCACCAAGAUAGUGGUACAAGAGGUUUGAUUCCUUUAUGACUUCUCAUGAUUUCAAAAGAAUUAGUUUUGACAGUUGUGUUUACUUUAAGAAAAACAGUUAUGGUUCUUUUGUAUAUCUAUUUCUUUAUGUUGAUGACAUGUUGAUAGCAGCAAAAGAUAAAUGAAAGAUAAGAAAGGUCAAAGCCCAACUAAGUGAAGAAUUUAAGAUGAAAGAUUUAGGACCAGCAAAGAAGAUACUUGGUAUGGAGAUUUUCAGAGAUAGAAAAACAAGUAAAUUGUACCUAAGUCAAAAGGAGUACAUUGAGAAAGUUCUUUGCAGGUUCAAUAUGCAGAGUGCUAAGCCUGUUAGUACUCCUUUAGCAGCCCAUUUCAAACUUUCAUCGGUUUUGUCUCCACAAUCAGAUGAUGAGAUUGAGUACAUGCCACAUGUUCCAUACUCUAGUGUAGUGGGAUCUCUCAUGUAUGCUAUGGUUUGUUCACGUCCAGAUUUAUCAUAUGCAGUCAGUGCAGUUAGCAGAUAUAUGGCGAAUCCCGAUAAAGAACACUAGAAAGCAGUUCAGUGGAUUUUAAGAUACUUACGAGGUACUACUGAUGUUUGCUUACAAUUUGGAAUAACUGAAAAUAGAGUCAUUGGGUAUGUUGAUGCUAAUUUUGCUGGAGACCUUGAUAGAAGAAGAUCUCUCACAGGUUAUGUUUUUACAAUCGAAGGUUGUGCAAUCAGUUGGAAAGCUACUUUACAAACUACAGUCGCUUUGUCUACCACUGAAGCUGAGUACAUAGCGAUUACUGAAGCUUGUAAAGAAGCUAUUUGGUUGAAGGGACUCUUUAGUGAACUCAAUGAAGACCUUGAAAUCAGCACAGUAUUUUGUGACAGUCAGAGUGCCCUAUUACUUACAAAAUAUCAAAUGUUUCAUGAGAGAACAAACACAUUGAUGUUCGGUAUCAUUUUGUUCGUGAUAUUAUUACUCGUGGUGAUAUUGUUGUGAGCAAAAUUAGUACUCAUAAAAAUCCUGCAGAUAUGAUGACUAAGUCACUUCCUAUAACCAAGUUUGAGCAUUACUAAAACUUGGUUGGUAUUCAUUGUUGAAGUUAAACCCUUAAGGGGUUUAAUGGAAAAGGUGGAGAACUUGUUUGUUGAGAGUUCGCGAUGAAGAACUUGUUCAUUGAGAAUUCGUGUCAAGGUGGAGAUUGUUAGAAUUAAGUGACCCGAAUCCUUAUUUAAAUAAAAUACAGUGGUAAAAUAAAAUAAAAGAAGAAUCCAUAUAGUAUUACACUUCUUUUAUUUUAUUUUAGAAUAAGGUUUUUUAAACCUUAUUAAACUCCAUCUAUUUGAUAUUGAUUAGAAUAAAGUGUUUUAGUCUUACUAGAAUAUGGCUUUACAAGCCUAUAAAUAGACAUAGUCUAUUCCUUUUGUAAUGAUUCGAAUUCGACAUAGUGAAUUUUCUUUUCCUCUGCCCGUGGUUUUUUCCCGAAAGGGUUUUCCACGUAAAAUUUGUGUGUUCUUUAUUUUAUUUUAUUUUCACAAUAAUAUAUAUCCAGCUAAUUACAUCAAUCAAAAGAACAAACAAAAUAACAGAAGUAAUACAAUAUUCUAAUAGAAUAACAAUGGCGGCUAUAACCGACCAAAUAACAGCAGAAAGAAAAGAUAAAUUCUCAGAACAAUCUCAUUAUAGAUUCGAAUCAUAUUUAAUUUUUUUGACACAAAACUUAAAAUUACACAUAGCUUCUCCCCAACUUAUAAAUAGUAAAAUAAUGAACUUCAAUGCCUCGAACUCACAUGUCAAUCAAGUUAAGGCUUAGUAAAAUAUUAGAAUUAAAGAUUUGUAAUUAAUAAAAAUAUGACAUGUAAAAAUAAAAAAAAAUAAAAUCCAUUUAAUUAAAAUUAAGCACUUUAAAAUUUUUAAAAAAAGUAAUUAAGUGCUUUAAUGGCAAAAUUAUAAAUUAGAAGUUUAUUUGAAUACAAAGAAGCAAAAGGGCUUGUUUGAACAUAAUGUAAUAGUUUGAGGACUUCCGAAUAGUAGCCUAAAUCUUAAUAACAUAACUCUAGCCCUAAACUGCUUCAACUUUGGGGGAACGCCUCCACCGUAUCCUAUAUAUAAUCCUUGGUUUUUUUUUUUUUUUGGUUAUUCAUAAUUAAAAAUUUCUUCUUUCUGUAAUAUUGUUUUCUUUAAUCUUUGAAUUUGAAUUUGUUUAUUUAAUAAACCGGGGCGGGCGUGUCCUCGCUUUGAAGGCUGCCAUGGAAGCAAUUGCGAGGAAAAAAGUGGAAGAAGGGUACGAUUGUUCGAUUUGUUUGGAAAAGUUUAAAGAGGAAGAAGAAGGAAGUGAGAUGCCAUGCAAGCAUGUGUUUCAUUCCGAUUGUGUUGAAAAGUGGCUGCGCAUCAAUCGGUCCUGCCCGGUUUGUCGGUUUGUGAUGCCGGGUGAGGAGGGUGAAAGCAGCGGCGGCGGUGAGGGCAGUAGUAAUUUGGGAAUAUUGGGAUCGGGAAAUCAGGAGAUUGUACAGUCGGUUGUAAGAGUAUCUAGCUUGGCUAAUUUGAUAGCAUUAGCAAUGACGGCUUCAGGUCUGAGGUCGGAACAAUGAUGAUGGUGAGGAGUGUUUAGCUGAAGCAAUACUUUCAGAGAUUUUGUGAACCCAAACUAAUCAAAAUUCUUGCCUUUUUUAUUUAGGAGACUUAAGUGUACAGAGUAGAGUAGAUAAUUAUUAUGAUGAUGCUGAAGCAUACCCUUCUACAGGACUAGUAUUGAGUACCACAAUGAUCUUCCAUACUGGUAGUAGUCAAUAUUGAUUUCAGAUUUUAGGGGUGUUUUGAUUUAUUGAAUAUAAGAUUAUUUUUUUUUUAGGUUGAAAAAUAAAUUUAAAAUUUUGAUAGUUUUUAUUAUUGUUUUAUAAAGUAUUUUUGAAAAUUUUAAUGAAAUUAUUAUUGUUGUUAAAAAAAUGUUUUUGAAAAAAUUAAACAUCAAUUCUAGAUAUAUGUUUUAAAGUAGAAAAUAUAAUAAAAAUACCUUUGCUAAAAAUCAAAAGUUCAAAUUAUUUACUUAGAUUAGAAUUUAAGUUUAAAAUCAAGGUUUUGAACACAAAGUAUUAAUAGGGUUUAUAAGGAUGUAAAAUUAUUUAGCAUGGUAAAUGGUAACUAUAUAGUUUGAUUGGAAGUUAUGAUUUUAGUGUAAUUUUAAAACAAAUUUAUAUACAAUGAUUAUAAUAGUUCAUAUCGCCAAUCAUAAUUUAUAAUUUAUAUUUAUUAUAUCUACUCUUUAAUGUUUAAGAUUUGUUAAUCACCCCAUUGAUUUAGUGGUAAACUUAUGUGAAUUUCAAGCUCAUUAGCAUGAGGUCCAAUUUUUUAUUCUAAUAUUUGUAAAAUCUUUUUUUAUUGUAAAGUAAUUAUUCACUUGUAUAAAAAAUGUUUAAAUUUUUUUAAUUAGAUUUCAAUUUUAUUUAAGAAAAAAGAUAAAAUUUGAUUAAAAAUAAUAAAAAAACAGAGUAAAUUUAUCCAAAAAUUCAAAUUUUGCUCAAAAUAUUAAAUUACUUAAAAAAUUAGUAAUAUUAGGAAGCGUAUAAAGAAGACAUUGGUCUUUACAAGCUACUCAAGCAAGUAAUUGUCGAGCAAGUAAUUGUCGAACCAAGCUUGAGAUAUUGAUCGAGCUAAAUCCAAUAUCUUGACUCAAACGACUUGCAAUUCUAUUGAGCUUUUCAUAAUAAUGGUGUUAAUAUAAAAUUUUAUGCAUAGAUAUUGUCUAUAUUAAUAUAUAUAUUUAUUUAACGGUUGAUCAUUAUUUACAUAAAACAAAUAGUUAGAAAUUUUUAUUUUAUGUCAAAAUUAAUAUGCAUAAUUCACAUGAAUAAAGCAUAAAAUAUGACACUUAGAUUGCUAAAAUAUUAAUUGUAUAAGACUAUACAAAAAAGUUUAAAAUUAUUUUUAUAUUAUUAAAUUACAUUAUAGUCCUUGAUAUAUAUUAUUAACCCUAAACUUAAUUAUUGAGUCAAACUAAAGCUCGAGUUUGAACUUGGCUAUAAAAAUUGAUAAACGAACUUAUUCGAGCUCAAACUCAAGUGGUGAAAUCUCAUGGAUAAUGACAUAUAAUUAAGGUUUACAAUCUUUUUAUCUAAAGAAGAAUCCUGUGAUUUGUAUAUAUCAACAAUAAUGGCCGAUUCAUGCAAGUAGUAGUGCUUAUCCCUUCCCAACCACAUCUUCAAAAAUAUGCUCUAUCCUUUCUUUCUUUUACACUGGUAUGUUCAAAUCAUCUUUAAAGAUUGUAAUGUAAAUCAUAUCCCCAUGCCGUGUCCCUACAUAAAUGUUUUAUGAAAGAUAUAAGAGUUGGAGCAACAUAACAUAGACGCAAUGCAUGAUUAUCUAAUGCCUAUUCAAAUUUCAAGAAUAUUUGUCCGCAAUAGCAUUAGAUAACAUAGACGCAUAGCAUUAGAUAAUAUUUGUCCGCAAUAGCAUCCGUUAUGUCCGCAACCGCGAUAAACGCAAUGCGACCGAAAACGCGACCGCGACCGCAAUUUAAAUCCCUGGGUUGAACCAAUGUUAAACCGACAUGCAAAGCAAAAUCGGUUUAUCCUUUACUGCUAACAGCUUAAAAUCAUAAGAAGGGAAGGAACUAAAUUACCUUUGCGAUAUAUCUGCAUGCUGUUCAUCUAGCCUUUUCUUCCUUUAACGGAAUAUGCUUGAACCAAGGGAAAAUGCACUUUUAGUGCAAACUGGUAAUGCUUCAGCGACAGAAAACAUAAGCAAAUAUAACAAUCGGCUUUGUUAAUAUCGAAUAUGAUAAGAUAUACUACUAUCAAAUGUACACAACAAUAGAAUGUAGGAGAUUCAGCAGAGAAUACUUGCAAGACAUAUAACCUUGUCGAAGUCAUCUGGUUCAGGAACUGUAUGAGCAAUAAUUCUCACUACCCCAAGUUGAUGUAAUCAGCAGUACACUACUAUGAAGCUGAAAAUGUAGGAAAUAUUACUUGUAAAACAGACCAAAGAUUCAAAAGACCUUGUAGCUAAGCCCUAAAGUAUGCCCGAGUGAGAGAGCUAAUCCCGGACCUUGCUCUUGUUCCACAAACCUUUGUGAGAUGACCCAUGGAUCAAACUCAGAGUAAGGACUUAGAUAAUGCUCAUUGCCUGCCCAAGGGUUAAAACAUCAAAUCAGAGUAAGAGGUGGGAGUAACACCUAUAUGGCUUGCAGGAGCAGAAGUCCCCAUCCAUCGAGGAUAAGAUCUGAGGAAGCUUAGAACUCCUUAUCGGACUCCUUGUACGAGCCGCAACACGAUCAAAUAGUUCUCGUAACACAACAAGAAUCAAACAGCUCAACAAAAGCAUGAUUAUCUAAUGCCUAUUCAAAUUUCAAUGAUUUAUAGCUACACAAAAAUAAAUUGCAAAGCUAAGAACACAAACAUAUAAGCUUUAAAACAUAAAUUUCCCUAAAAUAGCUAUAAAAUAAAGGGUUUUCAUUUUCUCCACUAAUAACCCGACUGCAUAUAAUCCUUACAACUUAUUGCUAUGAGAAGCUUAUUUAAAGACAACAUAACUUGCGAAGGCCCUCAAACUCCUCUCAGCAUUAUGAGAUAGUUUCUGUAUUUGAUUUAAAAUUCAUCUAUCUAAUCGUAUCCUUAAACCCUAUUUCUUGAUCUUUCUUUGCUUCUUCAGUCCCGGAACCUCCAAUCUGCCAAUGGAACAUCCACAUUUAGCUCGAAACACAAGCACUGCUCUUCCAUUAACCGGUGCCAGCUUCUUUAACUCGGCUUCCAAUUCCUUAUGACGAUUGUGCAGCAAUUGGAGAAGUUCUUUGGAAACACCAUCUUUAACUGUAGGGCUCAAGUUCUUAACACACUCCUCGGUUUCCAACUGAAUAUCGAAUUCGGUGGCCUUAUUGAGCCCUUUACAGUGAGGGUUCCCACAUUUUCUAGUUGUACAAAGAAGCAAAAUCCAAGCAGCUAUUGCAGAACAAGAAAAACCAAGUCCUAUGGAACCAUAUAUCAUUGGAGAUAUCAUCAUUUCAUCUCUAACCAAAUCAUAUGCAGCUUCAAUGAAUUCAAUCACUUUCAAAGAUACGCAUUUUAUAGUUGGAAACAACAAGAUUCCAAAAGCAGCAAUCACAGCAAUUAAGAUUACAACAUCAACGGCAGCAGAUCUUGAUCUUUCACAAGAGGGGAUUUUUAAACAACUUGGUGGAUUGAAUACCUUUUGUUUCUUACAAAAAUUGCCCUUUGAUGACGGUGAUUUGGGGUUCAUCAUGAGAUCACUUGAAUUCCCAGAAUUUGCCAUUGGAGAAAUCAGGUCAACCGAAUUGCAGACGGAGAUUGAUCUAUGGAAAUAUACCAUUUCAAAUCAAACCCUGAAAUUUAACUCCAAAGAGAACCCAAUAAAUCAAUUUUUCCUUCAACCCUAAACUCCAAAUCCAGACCAAACCCACCUCAUAAAAGCUCAAAAAACAAAGGGAAAUAACUUUAUUAUUUCCACCUCAACAAGAUCAGGUGCUUCAAUUAGCAUCCAAAUGAUUAUAUCCCUUUAAAAGAAAAAAAACACCAAAAAGUUGGGAAAUUUUCAAUCCUAUAUUUAGAUUUGAGAUUGAAUUAUUGAAGAGCAAAAGAAGAAGUGGAACUGAAUUAGAUUAAGACAGGCCGGCUACGGGAAGAGAGAGAAAGGGAACGAAGGAAGUCUCUCUUUAUCAUAAAAAUUUCUUCAGCUAAUAUACAAAAACUAUAGUUGUUUUACACGUUUAAAGAAAAAAAUUAAAAAUGGAAACUUUUUUUUUGGGCUUUUGAUUAUUAGAAUGGGCUUCAACUUUGCUUCUUUCUUCUUCUUUUUCUUUUUUCUUUUUAAUUUUAAAAAGUUAUGUUUUCAACAAUGUCUUCAUGAUUUUUGUGGGUCAUUCUUUAAGCUUUCUUCCAUCUCUUUUUCCUUUAUUUUUUAUUUUAUUUUUUAAUAUUUUAUUUUAUAAAACAUUUCUCACCAAUGGAAUCUAGCUAAAAUACAAAAAGAGCCUAUUUUUUUAAAAAUUACAGGAUUAAGUUGGUUUUUUUUAAAUUUAUGAAAUUAGGCCACAAAAUGGAAAAAUAAAUUAAGGUUAUUUUAUUAUUUUAGGGUUAGAAUUUAGAUUUUUGUUAAGGGUUUAAGAUUAUGGUUUUAUAAGAUUAAGGGUUUUAGGGUUUAUAAAAUAAUGGAUUUAACUUUUUAAAUUUUUUAUAUAUUCUUUAGAAACUUUUUAUAACUUAUUGAGUUAUGAAAUUAAUAUUAUUUUCGAAAAUUUGAAAUUAUUUAGAGCCCAAUUUGGUAUAAUUUUCAUAAAUGACAAGUAGCAAAAGGGUAUUUACAAUAAUCGUAUUUACACCAAUCAUAUAUUUGAAUUAUUCGAAUUGUAAAAUUUAAUUUGAUUUGAAAUCAAAACUCAAAUUACAUUAACUCUUUGUUUGUAUUUUUUUUCUAAAUGGAACUAAGUUUUGAUCACCGUAGUUUACGACAAGUUGAGGUCGAUCAAAAUUUUUCAAAAAAUAUUAUCUCGAGAAUCUCGAAAUAUCUAAUGGGUGAGUGGGAAGUUUGUAGGAGUUGAAUUUGAUAGUGGAAAAACACUCAACAUAAGGUGAGUUUUCAGUGCAAUGUCAGAAAAGUGAAAGUGCGUCCAACUAGAUGCAUUUUUGUGCCAUGCCAGCUAAAAAUGCGUUUAUCUGGUUGCGAUUUCAAUGCAUUUUUCUGACAUUGUAUUGAAAAUGCAUCUAGUUGGGCGCGUUUUCAGUGACAUUUUUUUACAUGUCACUAAAAAUGCACCCUACAUGGAGCAUUUUUCCUCUACCAAAUUUAACAUGUGCAAACUUCCUACUCACCUGUGAAAUAUCUUGGGAAUAUUUUUUAAAUCAAUUGUCACUCACCCCCUACUCUAUAAAAGGAUGACUUUCAGCAUUGGGUGUUAUAAGACAAUUUCGAGCAAACUAAAUCGCACGAAGAAUCGAAAGAAUAGGAAGUUCAUAAGGCGUUUCAUAAGACAGAAUUUGGAGCAAACACCUAAUUGCAUCAACAAAGGUUUGAUUUUUAUUGUUCAUAUAUAAUUACAAUUUUAUUUUUCUGCAUAAUGUUUUUGUUUCCAACAUGUGAAAGAGGUUAUUUCGUUGAAAUGAGCGGACAAAUUAAUGUUGUUGUUUAUUACGAUAGUGAAGUCUAUGACACCGACAAUGGAAUCAUUUUCACAUCAGAGAACACAACACGAUUGGCUUUUAACCCGAACAUACAAUUGCUAAAGUUGCACACAAGAAUUAAGCAAAAAAUUGUUGGAUCCACCCAAUAAGAGUAUCGCCAUUGAAAUAUCGAUUUUGUGUUUCGGUCAACCCCGUCAAAUAUUAUGCAUUCGAUAUCAGAGACGCAAAGGGGAUGAGGCAAUAGUGCGUACACAUAUUACUAGUGGAUCACCAAUACUCAAGUUACAUGCGGAGUUUGCAAACACAGAUAAAGGUGGCCGGAGGUCGACAUAUGUUCCAAUUCAAGAGGCUGGAAUGGAAGAGUAAGUUGAGAGUCUAACGUCACAAUUGUGCAGUGGGUUCAUUGAUUUGUUAGAAAGUUCCCAUUAUGAUAUCCCAGAAUCAUCAAUGGAAAUACACUCAUCGAUUUUAGCCUUAGAUUUCAACCAUGAUAGGUAGAAUAUCCAGCAGUAGGGUUUUGGUGGUAACCCAAAAUACUAGACCCCAACAGGACAACCAAGUAGUAGUUUUGAUUUGAACUUCGGUUAGGCGAUGUUCAACACUAGGAACACUUAUAGGGGAAUGGAAUCAAGUUCCAGUAGUAGGCACUCAGUAGGUGAUUUUGUUUGUUUCAACAACUAUACAAGAAGGGAUGAUGUACUCCCUUCGAACUACAUUAACAAGGGGAUAUCCAACUAUGGACAUGUUGAUAAGUUUGAGAAUAAAGAGGGCACUAAAUUAAAUGUCGAUACAAUCUAUGAUUCAGGGUCAAAUGGUUCAGAAUUGUAUUAUUUUCUAAACUAGAGUCAAUUUUAACUAAACCAGAAUAUAGAAGUUUAAACGGUGAAGGUCCGGGUGAAAAUGUUGAAGAAGAUCCAUGGUUCAAGGCAGAUUCACUUCCGUCCCAUAUGUAUAAUGUGGACCUCUCGGCAGAAGUUGGGUAGGAGUUUGUAGAACUCCCACAUAGAUGAUCAGGCCAUGCGAGUUCUAUGUUGGAUUCGGGUGAUUUAGAAGUGGGAAAAGAGUUUUCCUCUAAAUAUGGUUUUAUCAUAGUGGUAAAGCGAUACAACAUAAAGAAAUAAGUAAACUUCCAUGUUGUUAAAUUACAAUUGGAAAAUUUUGAGGUGAAAUGUGUAAUGCUCGUUUUGCAUGCGUGUGUUGUUGCGGGUACUACGUCAAGACUGUAUUAUAUUUAAGGUAUUGAAUUCCUAAUUUUAAUGUACACGUGUUGUAGGUAUUUCACAAGAUCAUUCGAAAUUGGAUUCGGAAAUAAUCGCGAACAUAAUACUACCUUUGGUGAAAGCGAGUCCUAGGGUUGUUGUGUCGAUUUUAAUUGUAAAUAUUCGUAGCUAGUAUGAUUAAAAGUCGUCAUACUCCAAGGCAUGGGUCGUAAAGAAGAAGGCAUUAAAGAAGAUGCAUAGUGGAUGGAAUGUAUCGUACAAUGAUUUGUGGCAGUGGUGUUAGGUACUAGAGCAAUACAUUUCGAAUUGCGUAACUAAUCUAGAAACAAUGUCUACGUAUUACAACGACCAAUUGGUCCAUGGAUGCGGAGUGUUUCAUCUUUUCUGUUGGACUUUCAAGAAAUGUAGACAAACAUUCCGGUACUAUAAGCCAUUAGUAUAAAUUGACAACACUUUUAUGUAUGAGAGAUAUACGCAUUGAUGUUGUUGGCCGUAGAACUGGUGGUAAUAAAAAAAUCCUACCAAUUGCAAAAACGCCGACGAAAAAUGCUGACGAUUAGGAUUUCUUCCUGUCUAGGUUGAUGAGGUAUGUUGUCCCCUAACACGAUAUAUGCAUCAUCUCUGACAAGGGGCCUAAAAUACUGGCCGCAAUUAAACAAUAAGGAAGCUUUUAAGACUGCACACACCAUAGGUAUUGUUUAAGACAUGUUGUAGCGAACUACUAGAGACAUCAUGAGUCUGAAGCUUAACACUCACAAGUAAUUAACAUAUAUAUAUAUAUAUAUAUAUAUGUAUUUGCCAUUAUUUCAAUUGUCUGAUAUUUAACCGGUCAACAGAUGUUAGGAUGAAUGGAUAAACUAUUCACUUUUCUCGACAGGGUACGAGCUCGUCAAAAACUGUUUCCAUGAAAUGUUGGAAAACUUACAGGCCAUUAACAGUGUCUAUACAAGCUACGUCUCUAGCAUACCCUUCGAUCAAUAGACACAAUCAUAUGAAGGGGGUCUAGAUAUGUGCACAUAAUGACAAACCUGGCAGAAUGCAUCAAUUCCUUAUUGAAGGGAACGCGUCAUAUGCCGAUAACUUUGGUUGUGAAUGAAACAUAUUUCUGUUUGGCAGAAAUAUUUCCAAAGAAAUUAGGGAGGUUAUAACAUUAGCGAACUGUGUGCAUUCAAUGUGUCACUCGUACGAAGACCUAUCGUUUCGAGUUAUGAAGUUCGACAGACCUGAUCAAGGUACUGUCGGGAGAGCGUAUCGUGUACACUUGAGACCACGGACCUGCGACUAUGGGAGAUUUGACCGAAAUGUGCUUGCCAUCUAAACGAAUUAGGGAUUUUUUCAUUACUAAUUUCAAUAAACACAAAAUAAAUUGUAAUACAAAAUUAAUUUAAAAAAACUUUAAUACAAAUUUAAUAAAAAGAGAGAAUUGCAAGGGGAAUAAAAAUUGGUGUGAGAAUUAGGAGGAAAUAGAGAGAAAUCUAAAAGAGAUUUGAAAGAAUAUUGAUAAUGUGAGGGAGAGUUGAAUUGAAAAAUAAUGAAAUUAGGGGUUUAAAUAGGAAAAUAAAAAAGAGACAUUGGGGUGGAGGAGUAGUCAUUAUGAAAACAUUUCCAACUAGAAGUCUUUUCCUUCUAAUUCACUAAAAUACAUCCAACUGGAUGUGCUUUGUUUUUGCCUAAUUUGGUAAAUUUAAAAAAAAAAACAACCAAUCCAAUAAUUUUUCAAAAAAAUCGACAUUUUUCUAUAUUUUACUUAUAGACAAUAUGCUAAAUAUUCUUCAUUAAUUCCUUUCGUUUAGAUCGGGUUUUGAACUUAUACUAGCAUUAAUCCCCCAACUUUGUUAGGGUUUUUAUUUAUAAUUUAUAUAUUUUUCAUUAAUUAAAUAAUAAAUUAUAUAAAUUAUAUUAUACUAAAAAAAUAAAAAAAUAAAUGAUUACUUUUAUUUUUUGCAUUAAGAAUCUAUAUUAUUUAUAUGAAUAUUUAAAAUAUACUUAAAUCUUAUUAUUUAAAAUAAAUAAAAAUAUUUCUCACCUAAGUAGCAGCAUUCGUUUUUCAUUUUAGCUUUUUUCUGAUAUGAUUGGACAUGGAUUAUGAGUAAAUUUAUGAUUUAAUAUGUAUACUAAACCUUAAAUAUAAUAUUUUGAAAAUAAAAUAAAAUAGUCAAAUUUUUAAUAUUUUCUUCAAGCAACGAUGGUAGGAUACUAAACUAUAUAUCCAAUAGUCAGAUACAUAAUUUAAGAAUAAUAAUAAUUCUACAGGUUUUCAUACACAUUGAGUACGAAUCUUAAACUAAUAUACAAGUCACUAUGUGGACUCAACUUCACUCGAUUCUGAUUCUUAAACCUGUAGGGUAAUAAUGUAUGCUAUAUGGUUUUUGUGGGCAUCAAGGAAUAGAUUGAUCCAUGAUAGAGACGCACAAACGCCAUAGGAGAUAAUUGCUAAAGUAGGAGCUUACAUUGGUGAACUCAGUGCUCUAAGGGCCAGGUCGUCUGCAAAUAUAAUUGAAUCAGAGGUCAGAUGGAGUCCUCCGGGCGGCGAUUUCAUUAAGAUUAAUUAUGAUGCAGCAUUUCAAAAGCACUCUCUGAGAUCAUGCACAAGGAUUAUUAUUAGAAAUCAAGUAGGAGAUACUUUGGUAUCCUCAAUAGUACGGAACAAAUACAUACCUACUGAGUUUGCUGUGGAGGCUCUAGCAUGCCUUCAAGCAGUUCGGUUGGGGCUAGAUCUGGAUAGGGUGAAGCUAGAACAAAUUUUUAGGAGCGGAUAAAAUUUUAAUUUUUUAUAGUUUAUAUCUUUAUAAUUUGUAAAAAAUUAAAUUGAUUUUUUAUAAUUUUAGGGUCAAAAUAUAAUUUUACCUUUACUAAUUUAAAAUUUUUAAAAAAUUUUAAGGGCCUAAAUAAUAAUUUUAUAUUUUAGGGGGAGCCGGGUCUCUACCAACCCCUAGCUUUGCCUCUGAAUCUAGAGCUCCAAGAGGUUAUUAUCCAACGAGAUGCUCUUACGAUGGUUAAAAGACUUCUGGAUAAAAAUAAAGAUGGAUCAAUUAUUAGUACAUACAUUGAAAAGUCAAAAUUUCAAGAAAUGCAUGUUUAAGCAUACUUCAAGAAAGGGGAAUGAAACAGCACAUUGCUUGGCGACAGAAUGUUUUAAAAGGGGAGGGACUCUUAUCUUGUUGGAGGAGUGUCGGAUUUUGCAAAACCACAAGUGAAUAAUUUUAGAUUUUGUAUAAAUUUAAAAUUUAAAAUUUAAAAAUUUUAAUAAAAUUUAUUUUAAAAAGUUGUCUACGGUAUUCAACUUUCACUCCGUUUAUAAAAAUUAUUUUAUGAACUCUUUCUACCAUAUUAUUUAUAGUCCCGUCUAAUUAAAAAAGAGUAUAUCAUUUUUUUUUCAUAUCAUAUAUUCAUUAGGAGUAAAUUUCCAAAUAAAAAAUGACUGUCUUUUUUAAUUGAACGGAAUUAUAAAUAAUAUUAAUAGAAAGAGUCUAUAAAAUAAUUUCUUCUAGGAUUCAUUACAAUACAAGGCUUGAACUAAGAAUAAACCCGUGGCUUUUUUUUCUUCUCAUGGCGAAGGAAUAUGAAAACUUAGCUAUUGUAUCCAAUGACCCGUCAUUAGCUAAUAACUCAAAUGUCAAUCAGCUUAAGCUUAUAUGAAUGCCUUCGCAUAAACAAAACCAUGAAAUCUUUUGUAUGCUUUUUUUCUCCUGUUAUAUUUGUAUAACAUCUUUAGGGUUUUUCUUUUAUGUUUUCCUCUCAUUUUUAAUUAAGGGUGGAUAUUAAAUUGAAUUAAAUUGAAUGAACAAAUUUUGAAUUAAUUGAGUUGAUGAUUCUUAUUUUAUCAUUUUAAUUCGAUUCGAUUUUUUUUUAAAUUGAGUCGAGUGAAAUGAAAUUCAAGUUGAGCCGAAUCAAAUGAAAUUGUUCGAGUUAAAUUAAAAAAUUAAAUAUGUCAAAUUAAAAUCUUGCUAUAGUAUAACUAAUUUUACGUUAGAGCAAAUAAAUUUGAAACCAUAUAUAUUUGAAAAAAAUUCAAAGCAAAAUAAGAAAAAAAAAACUAAGAUACUUUAGUAUGAUAAACUUUAAUCAUUAAUUAAUUUAUUUAGGUUCUCAAAAUUAUUAUUUUAGUAGGUUUUUAAAAUUUUAACUUUCUUUAUAUAUUCUUUAGAAUUCUUUAAAAAAUUAUAUAUUUUUUAAAAAUUUAAUUUUAAAAAUUAUUUUGAAUUAUUUUGUAAUUUUUUUAGAGAUCAAAUUGUUCGUUUUCAAAAUUGAUAGGGACCAAAUAGGUAUUUAUACCAAUCCCUAUGCCUAUCCUCCCCCGUAUUGGUCUAGGCAUAAGGAUUGCAAGAAAGAAGAGUUUGAAGCAAGUAUGCUAUGCCAAACACAGACCUCUCCUCUUGGGUCAUUCAAAUAGGCACUGCCUUUUAGCUUUAAACCCUUAAUUCAAGAGACAUAUACUAUCCUCAGCAAUAUUGCUAUCACUGAUCAGAAUUUCAAUAUUUCUGUUGUGCAGGCUCCACUAUAUGGCAAGCACAGAGCAUACUUUAUUGUAAUUCAUUGUUAACUCAUCUAAAGUUUUCUGAGAAGAAGAAGACUUAGAGAAACAGAGAAAUUUAGAAAGCCAUGGAUACUAAAAACACACUGAUAUUUUAUUGAUAGGAAACUCGAUGCCCCUUACAAACUGAUAUCAUCUCCUUUUAUAGCUGAAGGAGAGAUAAUAAAACAAAAUAGUAAACAGUUCUAAAGCACACAGUACUAUAGACAUUAUUACAUAAAGCAAACAGUACUAUAAAGUAGCUGAUCAUGAGUGACUUCUUUUAGCUGUUAGCAUUUGAUUGGGGAUAUUGAGCACUGUCCAUGAAAUCUUCACUAUUUGCUGGCAUAUCCAAAUCUUCAUCCAUAUCCUUAUUAUCGUCUUGUUCUUGGUGCAUCUUUAAGAGACUGAUUUGACUACAAUACCACGGGUAUUCUUGAGACCACUCUGAAGAAUUUGGGAUGCUCUCAUAAUAAUCCUAAAUGGCUUUUAUCCUUUGUGAUAAGGUUUGGAUCUUAUUGGCCAUGUGUCUCAAGGAGCAUCAAUGUCUAGAGGAGGCCAUAUCUCAAAUGGGAUAACCCUAUUGAGCUGGCAAAGGAACUUCUGUAUGAUCCUGUAGUGUAGGUCAGAUUUUCUAAUAUCUUCAUCAAGAACUUUGUGAAUCCAUGCAGUAGGAAAAGAUCCUAACUGAGUUGAUUUUCCCUGUUGAACCAGAGAUUAUGGUUUGUGGAAGAUAAUGAUCAUAUAAUUCCCCUUAUUUUCUUGAUAAUACUGAACAAUCAUGUUUAUCAACUGUGUUAGAGGAUGAAACCAACAUAAAAAAGUAAAAAAAGUUUUUAUGUUGUGGUUCAAUAUUUCCUCUAAUAACUUUCAUCAAAAAAUAACAGAGAUCAGGGAUGAGGAAUUGAAUGGCUAUAUGAUGGAGAUAAGUGAGGUACCACAAGAACCAUUUUACUUCAUUAGGUUGUUCCACAAAUUCAAAUUUGAUAGGAUGAAUGAAGGGAUAAUCAGGAUGCACACCCCAUGGUCUUAGGAUAAGUCCGCUAAAAUUUUUAAAGACUUGAAUUUGAUAUUCAAACAUCAUGUCUUUGGUUUUGGGAUGAAAGUUUCCUUGUUCAAUCAAAGUCAUGACUUCAGGUGGAAAUUUUGGAUUAAGGUUUGGGGCAAUAGGGUAAGAAGUAAGAAAUGGAGAAGAUGAAGAGGAUGGUCUAUACAUCAUGAUGGGUCUGGGCUAGAAAAUUCUUCUGUAGGCGAGGACUUUUGGUUUGGGCCUAGAAAGAAAAUUAGUAAGGACACUUUACUUUCCUUUUAUAUGUCUGGUAUUAAACUUAAAUUGGGAAAACCAUUCAACCCAUCGGAGAAGUUGAGGGUGUGGGACUAUUUUCUGCUUGAACUUGAGCAUUUGUGGAAAAGAUGACAUUUCCAUUUCAAUAAGAAAAUGAUAUCCCGCAAGAUGAAAUUUAAAUUUUUCAAUACCUUUUUUGACUGCAAUGAUUUCUUUGAAAGUGGAAUGGUAAUAGCUUUCUGCAUUUGAAAAUCUUCCACUUUUGUAUCCAUAAAGAUGUCUUUUACCAUUUCUUUCUUCAAGUAGGAUUUCUCCCUAAUAUUUGUUACUGGCAUCUGUUUACAAAAUCCUUUUUCCAUCAGAAGGAAUUUAGAGUGGAGGAAAAUUCUGGUCAACUCUUUCAGUCUUUGAACUGCUCUUGUUUGAGAGGAAGACCAUAAGGGAGAUUCUUUCUUGAGCAUUUUUGUUAGGGGGUUAAUAUAUUUAGAAACUUUAGGAAUAAAAUCUCUAAGAUAAUUAACAAUUCCUAAAAAUUGUUGUACCUGUUUAAAGGACAAGUUUUUAAAUGAAAACUUGAGAAGUUCUUGAGCAAUAUGAGAACCUGGAGAAAAUCUUCCAUCUUUUAGUUCUAUUCCCAGAAAUUCAAUUUCUGGUUUGUUUAUCUGCAUCUUCUUUUUCUGAAAGCAUUAUCCCAUAUUUGAAAAUAAGGGAUUUGAAAUCUUCAAGAAGCUGAGCAUGCAAUUCUUCAUCUUGACUAUAAAGCAAGAUAUCAUCAAUAUAGAUCAAACCAUUUUCCAUCAAAAGAUGAAAAAUCUUUAUCAUUGCUUUCUGAAAAAGUGAAGGAGUUGUUUUUAAUCCAAACGGUAUUACUUUCCACUGGAAAUGUCUGUUAGGAAUACAGAAUCCUAUUUUUUAUCUGUCAUCAGGAUGUAUUCCCAAUUGCCAAAAUCCCUCUUUGAGAUUAAACUUGGAGAAAACUCUUUCUUUAACCAAACUUGAAAAAAAUGAGUUCUUGUUUGGCAGAGGAAACUUGUCAUCUUGGAGGAAAUGAUUAAGAGGUUGAUAAUUUAUUACUAAUCUUAACUUUCUUCUUAUUUGCUCAGAUAUUUUAUUGACAUAAAAAGCUUCACAUGCCCAUUGGGAAUCUGAUGGUUCAAUUAGAUCUUGUUGUUGUAAUUCUUUGCAUUCUUGUUCUGCCAGCAAUAAGUGAUCUGGAUUCAUUCCCUGAUGAUUGGCCUUUGUUGGAUUAAUAUCUUCAUUUUUCUAGAAGGGAAGGUGAAUGAAGAAUUUUGGGGUUUUCCAUAAAGGAUUUGGGCUUUUUUAGGAAUUUUGAAUGAGAAUCUGCACAUGAUUGAGUUUUUAAUUCUUGAAUAAUCUGAAGGAUUUUUUCUGAUUGAAUAGAAAAGAGUUUUGGUGUUUUCACAAAAGGUUGGAAAAGAUUUUUGAAUCUUACUCCAUCUGGGAGUAUUCUUAAAUGUUGGGAUUUUAUGUAGAGGACAAAACCUACUACAAUAUCUUUUCCUGGAAGUUUUGAACUAAGUACUGUAGUUUUAACACAACAACCUAGGAAGAACUGAAUAGUAAUAGGCUUACUAAUGAGAUGGGUAGCAAAUGGAUGAUCAGCAGUAGAAUUAAAGUACCUUACAUGAGGUUUCCACCAUUCUGAAGGUAAAACAUCUAGAUUCAUGAUGGUUUCAGCUGCUCCAGUAUCUAUAAAGGCAAUUAUAGUAAUGGGUUUAUUAUAUUUGUCCAAAUAGAUCUUGACAGGUACUUGAAGAACUGAAUUAUACCAACAGAUAUGUUCUAGACUUUUGCUUGUAUCAUCUGUAUAUCUGAAUAAUCUGACUCUGGCUCUGAAGAUUCACUAAGACAAGCAAGAAUAGCACAAAUUGUCUUAUCUGAUAGUUCAUCUUCAAUGGAGCAAACAGAUUCUAUGUCAUCUUCUUCUCGUAAUUUAAUUCUUGAUUGUCUAACUGUCUGUACGAGGCCUGUUUGGUUUUUGUACAAUUUUUUGAGAAAUGCCCUUUUUGAUUACGAUGAAACAACGAUCAGAUUUUGUUGUUAUUCUUUUCUUCUUGAGAUAUCUCUAUUGAGGUUUCUUUCUUCUUCUCCAUCUUGAAGUAUUUUUUGAAAAUGAAUAUUUUUUGAAAUGUUUCUUUUUCUUUGUGCGACAGUCACAUAGCUGAUCUUUUGCACAUUUAUAUUUCAGAUGAGAAUCAUCACAAGCUUUAUCAAUCUUUUUGUCACCAUGGAGAUAAUCCUUGAAUAUCCUUCUUCUGUUGCAGAUAUCUUCUUAGGCAAUAAAGACCUUUUGUUGAAGUUCUCCAACAGUUAUCUGGAGAAUGUCUUUAUUUUGUCUUUGAAGACCUUGGUUGACUGCAACUUGAAGUGGAUCUGGGAGGGAUGAAAGGAUGACUGGCUUAAGAUUUGGAUUUAAGCCUAAAGCACAAAAUAAUUCAGUUCUUAUUUUAAAGUGCUUUGCUAAAUCCCUUUUGCUGUAUGAACAACAUUUUCUUUUGUAGAAUUCCCUUCUCUUCAAUGUUAACUAAUAUUCAAGGUUUCCUACAAAAUGGUGGUGUAUAAUCUUGAUUGGUUAGGCCAGAUAUUGGAGAACUAGAAACUGCAUUUGAUCAUGUUAAGUAAUAGCAUUCCACCAAUCUCUUAACAUCCCAGUAAAUCUGGAAACAAAUUCCAUGAGGAUGUUGUAAUUGUUAUCUUCAGUUAAUUUGCGAGUUUCUAACCAGGAAUGGAACUCCUGGAUUCUUUCAGGCCAUUUUUCUGCUGUUAAAUCAUCAAGUGUGAAAGUGGUUCUUCCAAUGAAAGUUUUUGGCGUUUGUCUCUAUGGUGCAGAAGAUGAUUCUGGCAUUUCUUGCAUUUCUUCAUCACUUGGCUCUUCCACUUUAGUUGUUUGGAAGGCUUUCAGAAGAUUUUCAUCCUUUGUUUCUGUUUGUUCUUCUGAUGAAUAUUUACAUUCUUCUGGCGUACUUAAAUUUUCCCAUGAAUCAGUUUCAUUAUCUGAUUUUUGUGAUUGAUUGUAGAUUCUAUGUAAUCUUUUAAAAAAGUUGUUAAAGGAUUUUGGUGUUCUUCUUGAAUCAUUAGAGACUUUGAAACUUGUUUUGGAGGCGGUGAUUUUGGUAGAGAUUCUUCUAAAAUUGGCCUCUUUCCAAGCUUAUUUUAUGUCUGAUAAGCUUCACUUUCACUGGGUAUUUUAGCCUUUUUAGUGACUUUUUUCUUUUUCUUUUCAGUUUCUUGCUUUUUAAUUUCCAGAAAAAUUUCAUAUGUACUUAGCAUAAUACGUUUUGGAAAUUCUGGGAAGGUAAUUUUCACUCAUUCUGUUGGAAGAGAACUUUUCUGUCUGAUAGAAGGAAACAGCUCAAUUGUUUCUGCUCUUUAAGUUGGCUCAAGAAUCUUUCUUGUUUCUUGAAGAGUUUCAAUUUGAUCUUUUAAUUUUUGAAUUUCACUUUCUCUCUGUGCAAGAUGAGAGAAGAAAUCUUGUCCUGGUGUUGCUGGUUCUCUUACUACUGCAUCUAGCCUUUUUUACAAAAGAUUAAUAAGAUCUCUGAUCAUUUUGGUAUUGUCAUCUACCUUUGCUUCAAUAGCUGAAAUCUUUGUAUCAAUUCUUUUUAAGGCAUGAUUCUAGGCAAUAGCAUUUUCUGUUUACCAAUUGAGGGUGGCUUCUGCAGCACUAAUCAUGAGUGUAAUUUUUCUCUGAAUACUCUUCAAGAGGGGGAAAUUCUUUAUCAUAUGACAAAGUGCGCUGCAUCAUGCAUGCAACAGAAACUAGUUCUUGAGAAGCAAGAAAGUCUGGGUUUUUCUUAACCCAUUUGUUUAUUUUCUUGUAACAGGAUUGGGGAAAAGGUUUUUGUUUUGAAGGUUUUGGAUUUUGUGGAGGAGGUGAAAGAGAUGGUUUUGAAAGAGGUGAAGAAGGUUUAUAAGGUCUUGGAAGAACCUGUUUAUCUGGUAAAGAUCUAUGAGAUGAAUAAUCAACAAGGUAAACAAAUUUACCAUUAUCCUCUCCAAGCGAACCAAUGUCUGGAUCUCCUUUCAUCCAUCUUCUAUAAAGCUCAGAUUGAGUGGAUUUUUUGUUUUUCUUUUUCUUUCCUAGCUUGGAUGCAGUAUUAUCCAAGUGAUCAAUCCAAGCACUCAUUCUAUCAUCAGCAUAGAAAUCACUUGAACAAUGAAGAUCCCAAGGGCAAUGUCCUGUUUUUUCAUCUUUGAACAUGUACAAAGGUCUUCCUUCAGUAGAAAAGCUUUGUAUCAUACUUCUUUCUGGACCUGGUUCACAUAGUUUUAAAAGAAUCUCUACCAAAAUCACCGCCACCAAAACAAGUUUCAAAGUCUCUGAUGAUUCAAGAAGAACACCAAAAUCCUUUAACAACUUUUUUAAAGGAUUACAGAGAAUCUACAAUCCUAAGAAUUUCAGCAUUGCAGAAUCAAUCACAAAAAUCAGAUACUGAAACUGAUUCAUGGGAAAAUUCAAGUACGCCAGAAGAAUCUGAAUCUUCAUUAGAAGAACAAAUAAAAACAAAGGAUGAAAAUCUUCUGAAAGCCUUCCAAACAGCUAAAGUAGAAUAGCCAAGUGAUGAAGAAAUGCAAGAAAUGCCAGAAUCAUCUUCUGCACCACAGAGACAGACGCCAAAAACUUCUAUUAGAAGAACCACAUUCACUCUUGAUGAUUUACCAGCAGAAAAAUGGCCAGAAAGAAUCCAGAAGUUCCAUUCCUAGUUAGAAACUCGCAAAUUAACGGAAGAUAGCAAUUACAACAUCCUCAUGGAAUUUGUUUCCAGAUUUACUGGGAUGUUAAGAGUUGGUGGAAAGCUAUUACUCAAAAUGAUCAGAUGUAGUUUCUAGUUCUCCAAGAUCUGUCCCAACCAAUCAAGAUUAUACACCACCAUUUUGUAGAAAACCCUGAAGAUUUGUUAACAUUGAAGAGAAGGGAAUUCUACAAAAGAAAAUGUUGUUCAUACAGCAAAAAGGAUUUAGCAAAGUACUUUAAAAUAAUGACUAAAUUAUUUUGUGCUUUAGGCUUAAAUCUAAAUCUUAAGCCAGCCAUCCUUUCAUCCCUCCCAGAUCGACUCCAAGUUGCAGUCAACCAAGGUCUUCAAAGACGAAAUAAAGACAUUCUUCAGACAACAGUUGGAGAACUUCAACAAGAGGUCUUUAUUACCUUAGAAGAUAUCUGCAACAAAAGAAGGAUACUCAAGGAUUAUCUCCAUGGUGACAAAAAGAUUGAUAAAGCUUGUGAUGAUUCUCAUCUGAAAUAUAAAUGUGCAAAAGAUCAGCUAUGUGACUGUCGCACUAAGAAAAAGAAACAUUUCAAAAAACAUUCUUUUUCAAAAAAUACUUCAAGAUGGAGAAGAAGAAAGAAGCCUCAAUGGAGAUAUCUCAAGAAGAAAAGAAGAACAAAAAAAUCUGAUAGUUGUUACAUCUGUAAUAAAAAAUGACAUUUCUCAAAAAAUUGUCCAAAAAACAAACAGGCCUCGCACAGACAGUUAGACAAUCAGAAAUUAAAUUAUGAGAAGAAGAUAAUAUAGAAUCUGUUUGCUCCAUUGAAUAUGAACUAUCAGAUAAGACAAUUUGUGCUAUUCUUGCUUGUCUUAGUGAAUCUUCAGAGCCAAAGUCAGAUUAUUCAGAUAUACAGAUGAUGCAAGCCAAAGUCCAGAACAUUUCUGUUGAUAUAAUUCCAGUUCCUCAUGUACCUGUCAAGAUUCAUUUGGACAAAUAUAGUAAACCCAUUACUAUAAUUGCCUUUAUAGAUACUGGAGCAGCUGAAACCAUCAUGAAUCCAGAUGUUUUACCUUCAGAAUGGUGGAAACCUCAUGUAAGGUACUUUAAUUCUACUGCAGAUCAUGCCUUUGCUACCCAUCUGAUUAGUAAGCCUUUUACUAUUCAGUUCUUCCCAGGCUGUUGUGUUAAAACUACAGUACUUGGUUCAAAACUCCCAGGAAAAGAUAUUGUAAUAGGUUUUGACCUCUACAUAAAAGCCCAACAUUUAAGAACAUUUCCAGAUAGAGUAAGAUUCAAAAAUCUUUUCCAACCCUUUGUGAAAACACCAAAACUCUUUUCCAUUCAAUCAAAAAAAAUCCUUCAGAUUGACAAGAAUUAAAAACUCAAUCAUGUGCAGAUACCCAUUCAGAAUUCCUGAAAAAAUGCCUAAAUCAUUUAUAGAAAAACCCAGAAUUCUUCAUUCACCUUCCCUUUAAGAAAAAUGAAGAUAUUAAUCCAAAAAAGGCCAGUCAUCAGGGAAUGAAUCCAGAUCACUUAUUGCUGGCAGAAUAAGAAUGCAAAGAAUUAUGACAACAAGAUCUAAUUGAACCAUCAGAUUUCCAAUGGGUAUGUGAAGUUUUUUAUGUCAAUAAAAGAUCUAAGCAAAUCAAAGGAAAAUUAAGAUUGGUAAUAAAUUAUCAACCUCUUAAUCAUUUCCUCCAAGAUGACAAGUUUCCUCUACCAAACAAGAACUCAUUUUUUUCAAGUUUGGCUAAAGCAAGAGUUUUCUCCAAGUUUCAUCUCAAAGCGGGAUUUUGGAAAUCAGGAAUACAUCCUAAUGACAGACAAAAAAUAGGAUUUUGUAUUCCUAACAGACAUUUCCAGUGGAAAGUAAUGCCGUUUGGAUUAAAAACAGCUCAUUCACUUUUUCAGAAAGCAAUGAUAAAGAUUUUUCAUCCUUUGAUGGAAAAUGCUUUGAUCUAUAUUGAUGAUAUCUUACUUUAUAGCCAAGGUGAAGAAUCUCAUGCUCAGCUCCUUGAAGAUUUCAAAUCCCUUAUUUUCAAAUAUGGGAUAAUGCUUUCAGAAAAGAAAAUGCAGAUAAACAAACCAGAAAUUGAAUUUCUGAGAAUGAAGCUAAAAGAUGGAAUAUUUUCUCCAAGUCCUCAUAUUGCUCAAGAACUUCUCAAGUUUCCAUCUGAAAACCUGUCUUUUAAACAGGUACAAUAAUUUUUAGGGAUUGUUAAUUAUCUUAGAGAUUUUAUUCCUAAAGUUUCUAAGUAUAUUAACCCCCUAACAAAAAUGCUCAAGAAAGAACCUCCCUUAUGGUCUUCCUCUCAAACAAGAGUAGUUCAAAGGCUGAAAGAGUUGACCCAGAAUUUUCCUCCACUCCAAAUUCUUUCUGAUGAAAAAUAAUUUUGCAAACAGAUGCCAGUGACAAAUAUUGAGGAGUAAUCUUACGUGAAGAAAGAAAUGGUAAAAGACAUCUUUGUGGAUACAAAAAUGGAAGAUUUUCAGAUGCAGAAAUCUAUUACCAUUCCACUUUCAAAGAAAUCCUUACAGUAAAAAAAGGUAUUGAAAAAUUUAAAUUUCAUCUUGCGGGAUAUCAUUUUCUUAUUGAAAUGGACAUAUCAUCUUUUCCACAAAUGCUCAAGUUCAAGCAAAAAAUAGUCCCUCACCUUCAACUUCUCCGAUGGGCUGAAUGGUUUUCCUAAUUUAAGUUUAAUACCAAGCAUAUAAAAGGAAAGCAAAAUGUCCUUGCUGAUUUUCUUUCUAGGCCCAAACCAGAAGUCCUCACCCACAGAAGAAUUUUUCAGCCCAGACCCUUCAUGAUGUAUAGACCAUCCUCUUCAUCUUAUCCAUUUCUUACUUCUUACCCUGUUGCCCUAAACCUCAAUCCAGAAUUUCCACCUGAAGUCAUGACUUUUAUUGAACAAGGAAACUUUCAUCCCAAAACCAAAGACAUGAUGUUUGAAUAUCAAAUUCAAGUUUUUAAAAAUUUGAGAGGACUUAUCCUAAGACCAUGGGGUGUGUAUCCUGAUUAUCCCUUCAUUCAUCCUAUCAAAUUUGAAUUUGUGGAACAACCUAAUGAAGUAAAAUGAUUCUUGAGGUACCUCACUCAUAUCCAUCACAUAGCCAUUCAAUUCCUCAUCCCUGAUCUCCGUUAUUUUCUGAUGAAUGCCAUUAGAGGAAAUAUUGAACCACAACAUAAAAAGUUUUUUUACUUUUUUAUGUUGGUUCCAUCCUCUAACACAGUGGAUGACCAUGAUUGAUCAGUAUUAUCAAGAAAAUAAGGGGAAUUAUAUGAUCAUUAUCUUCCACAAAUCACAAUCUUUGGUUCAACGGGGAAAAUCAACUCAGUUAGGAUCUUUUCCUACUGCAUGGAUUCACAAAGUUCUUGAUGAAGAUAUUAGAAAAUUUGACCUACACUACAGGAUCAUAUAGAAGUUCCUUUGCUAGCUCAAUAGGGUUAUCCCAUUUGAGAUAUGGCCUCCUCUAGACAUUGAUGCUCCUUGGGACACAUGGCCAAUAAGAUACAAACCUUAUCAUAAAGGAAUCUUAAAAGCCAUUUAGGAUUAUUAUGAGAGCAUCCCAAAUUCUUCAGAGUGGUCUUAAGAAUACUCGUGGUAUUGUAGUCAAAUCAGUCUCUUAAAGAUGCACCAAGAAUAAGACGGUAAUGAGGAUAUGGAUGAAGAUUUGGAUAUGACAGCAAAUAGUGAAUAUUCCAUAGACAGUGCUCAAUAUCCCCACUCAAAUGCUAACAGCUGAAAGAAGCCACUCAUGAUCAGCUACUUUAUAGUAUUGUUUGCUUUAUGUAAUAAUGUCUGUAGUACUGUGUGCUUUAGAACUGUUUACUAUUUUGUUUUAUUAUCUCUCCUUCAGCUAUAAAAGGAGAUGAUAUCAGUUUGUAAGGGCAUUAAGUUUCCUAUCAAUAAAAUAUAAGUGUGUUUUUAGUAUCCAUGGCUUUCUAAAUUUCUCUGUUUCUCUAAGUCUUCUUCUUCUUAGAAAACUUUAGAUGAGUUAACAAUGAAUUACAAUAAAGUAUGCUCUGUGCUUACCAUAUAAUGGACCUGCACAACAGAAAUAUUGAAAUUCUGAUCAAUGAUAGCAAUAUUGCUGAGGAUAGCAUAUGUCUCUUGAAUUAUGGGUUUGAAGCUAAAAGGCAAUGCCUAUUUGAAUGGCCCAAGAGGAGAGGUCUGUGUUUGGCAUAGCAUACUUGCUUCAAAUUCUUCUUUCUUGCAACCCCUGUGCCUAUCCUCCCCAGUAUUGGUCAAUAAAAAUUAAGCAGGGGCUAUUGGUAAAUGCUCUCCCCUUGAUUUUUUUACUGUUUUGUUUGCAUUUUUUUUGCAUUAAUUGUUGUCUGUAUACAGUUUUUUGCUAUUUAAAUGAUUUUUUUAUAUUAAAAACAUGUACAACUUACAAUUUUUUAAUUGUAUGGUAACUUUUUAAAUUAUUCAUGAUUUUUUUAACGUUUAAAUGGUUUAAUUGCAAUAAUUAAAUGGUUUAAAACACUUUUUUUUGAACGUUUAAAAGAUUUUUCAUUAAUUAAAAAGUUUCCAUGCAAUAAACCAUUUAAACGUUAAAAAAUACAAUGUUUAAUGGUGUAAAAAAUCUUUAAAUUUUGUCAAAAAAAAUUAAAUCUUUAUUUUUUUGCACUCAAUCGGGUACUUGAAUUUUCAAAAUGCAUAAAAAAGACUCUCAAACUUUUUCAAAAAAAGCAAUUAAGCCCCUACUUUGUUUUUGCACUCAAUUGGGUACUUAACUUUCAAAAUGCAUAAAAAAAACCCUUAAACUUUUUCAAAAAAAAAACAAUGAAGCCCUUUUUUUUUUGCACUCAAUUGGGUAUUUGAACUGUGAAAUACAUCAAAAAGGCCAUUUGAUCAUUAACUUUAAUAGUUGACAGUUAAAUUUAACUACCUUUAAACUUUUUAGUUAAAACCACCUCAUGUUACAACCACAGCGUGACAUGUGAAAAAAAUUAUAAAAAAUAAAUAUCAAUAAAAUUUAUAAAAAAAUAUUAACUUUUAAUAAAAAAUAUAAAAUAUUAUAAAAUUAUAAAAAUCAUAAAAAAUUGUAAACUUUUGUAAAAAUUAUAAAAAAAUUUAUUAAAUGCAUCAAAAAUCUCAUUUAACCAUUAACUUUAAUCGUUGAUAGUUAAAAUAAGCGACCCCCAAUUUUUUUAGUUAAAGUCCUUAUGUGUUGCAAAAUAGCGUGACAUGUGGUGAAAAAUGAUCAAAAUAAAAAUCAAUAAAAGUUAUAGAAAAUUUAUAAAAUAUUUCUUUUAGUACGAUAAUUUUUAUAAUUUUUUACAAAUUUUAUAUUUCUUUACAUUUUUUAUAAUUUUCUUAUGACUUUAUAAAAUUUUAUAAUUUUUUCUAUAUUUCUAUAUAUUUAUAAUUUUUUACGAUUUUUAUAACAUUUUAUAAUUUUAAAUAUUUUUUAAAUAUUUUUUAUUAAAAUUUAUAAUAUUUAUAACUUUUAUUUAUUUUUAUUUUUAUCAUUUUUUUGUCACAUCGCACAUUGUGGUUGUGACACAUGGUGAUUUUAAUUGAAAAAAUUAAGGGCGAUUUCAGUACCCAAUUGAGUGAAAAAGAAGUAGGGGUUUCAUGGGCAUCAAAAUCACUAAAUAUAAAUUCCUACGACAAAAUAACAGUAAUAGCAGUAUAGAAUAGUAGGUCGAAUCCACAGAGAUUGACUAUCUAAUUUUGCCUUUUUCCGUGACCAGAAUCGCUGUCACAGUCAUAGUCGUGCCCACAAUCUAUGCGUAACAAUGCUAAAAAAUAAAAAUAGGGGGUUUAAAUUGAUAAAGAUAAUAAAAUAAGGAGAUAUGAAGUGUAAUAAAAUAAAAUAAAAUCAUAUUUGAAAUUGUAAAUAAAAUAAAUUUAAGCAAAUAAAAUAAAUUGGUAAAUAAAAUAUAUUUUAGCUUAGCCCUAACCUCCGUGUACUCCAAUUUUGAAUCGACCAUUGAAAUAGAUUUUUCCUUCCAAGCGAUAAAUACUUUGUCGAAGCGAUAACCAGGCUAAAACUAAAAAAGGUUUUAUUAAUCAUGGAAAUAAUUGGCAGAAUGAAGUGUUUAAUUGGUUGUAGCCACUAGGUAUUUAUACACACUUCUGGUGCUAAAAUUUAGCUAGAUUUUUUAUAAAUAUUAUCACUAAAUAAAUCAAAAUUUUAAAAAUCAAAUUUAAACUAGAGACUAAAUUCAAACUAAUUACAGAAUUUUAACAAUAUAAAAAAACAUCUUUCAAUUUUUAUCCAACCACUUUUUUUUUAAAUCUUCAACCCUUCAAUCUUUCAAUCAAGUCUUCCUCUUUACUUUUUGUUUCAAGCUAGCCCUUGUCGAAACCAUUUUUAAAUUUUUAAAAACGGGGAUCGACUUUAAAAAUAUGAAUGGAGUCGCCACCAAUCCUUUUUGAGGUGUGAUUGGGCGACCCUAGAAUUGAUCGUUUUAAUAAAACAUUUGGGCUUAUUAAAACAAUGAUUUUUGGUCUGCUAAAUUUGAGAAAACGGGCUCGGGAGUCGGUUACAUACGAGGAAGGGUUAGCACCCUCGCAACGCCCAAAAAUUGGUACCUUAUUUGAUUAGUUAAUGUCUUGAUGUCGAAACUUAAAAAGAUUUUAGAGUACGAUCUUCUUACUUAAAAAAAAACGUAAAUUGAAUAAAAUGUAAAGACCCACUCAUUUCGAAGGAGAAAUAUGCCAUACCCAGUAAGUUAGGGUCUAACACUUCAGACCUUCGGAACUAAGUUAGUCUUUGAUUUUUUUAAAAUUCAUGUAUGAAGGUUCAAGAGAAGGGUAUUUGGUCAUUCGGGACUCAUGAAAAAUUAGAACUCAAUAAGUUAGAGCUCAAUCUUUCAAAACUCCCAAGUGCCAGGUAUUGCCUUGAUUUUAGAAAUCCCUAUCCUCAAAACCGCAAUGCCACACCCAGUAAGUUAGGGUGCAACAUCUUAAAUUCCAAGAAUAGUUUUUUAUUCGAACUUCAUACAAGUAGAUUUAAGAAGGGUACUCGGUUAUUUAGGUUUAACGAGAAAAAUUGGAACCCAGUAAGUUAGGGCACAAUCUUCCCCAGGAUCCUAAAUAUCGAACAUUGCCUUUAUUUUGAAAAUAGUCGAGGAUAAAUCUUUAAAUAAAAUGAAUUUGGGCGGUUGAAACUUAAUAAAAAAAUGAUAACAUGCAAUAUGAAAAUAGCAAUAUAAUAACCCUAAUAACAUAUAUUAAUACCUAAAAUAUAUCAAGCAUAAAGAAAAUUAAGAACAGUAGUAAUAACAGAAGUGAUGAAUAUAAUAACAUGAUAAAUACAACAAUGAUUAAAAAAAAUGCACAAUGGAAUGGAAGAUAAUAAGCCAAUGAUGAUGUUAGAUAUAGUGAUGCAAGUAAAAAAAAAAGAUAAUAAUUAUAGUAAAUUAGUGGUAGUGUAAAAUAAUAAAUAAUAAUAGUUUAGUAUAAAAAUAGUGACCGAUAAGAACAAUGGUAUAUAUAAAAAUAAAUAAAUAAAAAUAUCAUAAUAGGUCUAUUGAUAAUUAUAUUUGAAAAAAAACUUUAGUGAAAAAAAAAUAUAAAAAGUUAUAAAUAAUAAUAAUAAAGUAGUAGUAGUAAAUAGUAAAAAUAAAUAAAGUAUAACAAGCAAAAUAUAGUAAGUAUAACAAUCUAUAUUUAAAAUUAUUAACCUUUAAUAAUAUAUAUAUAUAUAAAUAUUUAAGAUAAAGAGUACAAAAAAUGAUUUUUUUUAAAAUUAAUAUAAUAGAUAAUAUAAUAAAUAUAAUAAAAAUUUAUACAUAAAAUAAUUAGUUUUACUUUUAAAAUAUACAUAUAUAAUAAGCAUAUAACAAAUAUGUAAAUAAGUAAAUAAUAUAAUAAUGUGAAACAACUCAAAUUGAUUAAGUUAAAUAAAAAUAAUAUAAAACAAAAUUUUUAAAAAAUAAUAAUAAUAUAAUAAGUAUAAUAGGUAAUAGUAUAAAAACAGUAUAAUAAAUAGUGGGAUGGAAAAAACUAAAAAACCAGUAGGAUAUAAUAGAAUAAAAAUAAUAAAUAUUACAAACAAAAAACAAUUAAUUUUAUGUUAAAAGUAUUUAAAUAAUCAAAAUGGGGCUUAAUUGAAAUUAAAAUGGGAGUUUUUGGGCCAAAAUCGGAAUUAAAAAGGUUAGGGGGACCACGUUGGACGCGCAUGUGAACUAGGGGGACCAAAAAUGGAAAAUUCUCUUUUGCCCAAUGUACAGCAUUUAAUACAGGACUAAAACGAAGAGGCGCGCAAAUAUUUGGGGCCAAUUUUUAAAAAACAAAAAAGUAGCAUAAAAGGACCCAAUCUAGUGGCCACACGCAAACGAGGGACUAGGUGCGCCAUAAGCCCAAAAAAAUUAAAUGGUCCACUCUCUUCGUAAUUAAAACCAAAAAAGUUGGCUGUUUGCCAUUAACACUAAAAUUAAAGAAACCCCCCCCCCCCCAUUUCUUUAAUCCCAUUCUGCCGAAUUCAAAAAAGAAAACCAAGGGGUUCGGCCCCCUUUCUCCUUUUGCUAGGGCGCAGCGCCCAUCAUCGCAGCGCUUUCCCUCCCCUGCGUGCUCAUCGGCGACCGUCGGAAACCAGGUAAGGCCCUCCUAAAAUCUUUUUAUUUUUUUAAACUCUGUUUUUCAAAAAUACAAGAUAGAUCCACAAAAAGCUCUAAAGAUUAAAAAACUAAAAGAAAAUAUUGUAACCACCUUAUUCUAUUUGAAUGUAUGAAAGCUUUUACUCAAAACUUGUUGUUUUCGUAUAUUUCUCUCUGAUUUUUGUAGUAAAAAAAAACCGAUCGCUUUACAUUGUUUAGAAUUGCUUUUAUAGCCUAGAAAAACAAAUAAAAUCUUCUAUUGGUUGCUAUCUGUUUGCUUCCUGUUACAGGUGUUGUUGCGGAUAUCUCGGAAGCACGAGGCGUGACAAAAAGGGACUGCUAGUAGCGCAUGUCUCGGAGGUGCGGUGGAUGGUGGAGUGGGAUGUUGGUGAGAGGCGUGCGGCGCGAAGGCUCAAGCAACAGCUUUAGGUUUCUGUUUGUUUGGGCCUUGUUUGGGUUUAUUUUUUGGGCCUGUGUUUUAGAUGUAAAUGGGUCUUGGGUUUUGGAGCUUUGGGCCCGGGCAUAAAUUUGGUCCUAUAGCUACCCCUCUUUGCUCAUUGUCGUGUAACGGGAAUAGAGAAAAGAUUUUAGAAGGGCCAAAUUUGACUGGGCUGGCUGAGUCUUGUCUUUUUUGCCGUAACCCACCGUACCUUAUUGCUUCAAAACGCUUCGUUGCUGCUUCACGGAGAUGUGAUCUGCUGUAAUUUGAUCUGCUUUACUCCUACUCAGUAAAGAUAAGAUCUAGUAUGUUUAGCCUGCUCCACUCCUGCUUAGUGAAGAUAAGGCUGGUGGCUGAAAUCUGCUCCAUUGCCGAUACAUGAAGAUAAGAUUCACCAAAAUUUGAUCUGCUCCGCUCCUGCUCAGCGAAGAUAAGAUCUAGUAUAUAGCCUACUCCACUCCUGCUCAGUGAAGAUAAGGCUGGUGGCUGAAAUCUGCUCCAUUGCCGAUACAUGGAGAUAAGACUUGCCAAAAUUUGAUCUGCUUCACUUCUGCUCAGUGAAGAUAAGAUUUGGUAUUUAGCUUGCUCCACUCCUGCUCAGUGAAGAUAAGGCUGGUGGCUGAAAUCUGCUCCAUUGCCGAUACAUGGAGAUAAGACUUGCCAAAAUUUGAUCUGCUUCACUUCUGCUCAGUGAAGAUAAGACUGAUGAUAUCUGUAAUCCUGCUACAUUGUCCUCUGGGGAAUCCAUCUGUAGAAGAGUGAUAUGCUUAUGCUAGAUGAUUAGGAUGUCAUGAUUAAUAUGAAUCAAAUGCUCCUAACUACAUGUAUUAUGGAUGUUAAAUGCACAAAAUGCAAAAUGUCAUGAGAAUGAUCCAUUUUAAUUUUUGGGCUAUCAUCGCUCGUUGUUUACUAAGGUAACAUCCCUGACAUAUGCCUUCUUGUUCAGCUUGGUAGAAGAGGACUUGGAGAUGCGGUUAAUUCCUUAUUUUCUCACACAUUUUAAGCUCGGUGACUUCUAAAUAAUUGUCCUGUUUCAGGUUCUCGUACUGUUUAGAAACCUUUCAGAGUAAUAUGCAAAACCUUCUUCUGAGAGCAUUAUUAGUUUAUUAAUCAUUAUUCAAUAAAAAUACUCGAAAAAGAUUAUAAUGAUAGGUAGAACUGAAAUUUAUUCGAGUCAAAAUUUACGAAAGAUGUAUCAACAAAGAAAGCAGACAUUGUUUGAGAUACAAAAAUGGAUGAAAAGGAAUAGAAUAGAUGCCCCAGAUUUCGCAGUUUGAGCUUCCCUGUACGAACUCCUCGGGGACCCUUUUAAACUUGGCACGCGCUCAAGGGAUCUAUAGCAUUUUGUUAAUGCCCCAAGAUGUAGCUUAUCUCUUCUUUGUCGAUUCAAGUGUAGUGAAACUGCCGCUUGCCCCAGUUUGGAUCGAAAUUUGAAUUGCCCUUUGCGGGUUUUCAACUUUGGUCUCAAGGUGCCCUUUUACGGGUUUUCACCUUGGCCUCUCCUUUUUUUUUGGCGCCCUUUACGGGUUUUCAUCUCAACUACUUCAAGCAAAAUAUCUUUUGACAGAAUCCGAAUUUAUCGGGUUAGGCAAGCUCUUGCCAUCCAUCUCUGCUAGUAUCAAUGCCCCUCCAGAGAAAGCCUUUUUUUACCACAUAGGGUCCUUCCCAAUUUGGCAUCCAUUUCCCCCUGAAAUCUUUUUGCACAGGGAGAAUCUUUUUCAAUACUAAGUCCCCCUCAUGGAACACCCUGGGGCGAACUUUUUUGUUGUAGGCUCGCAUCAUUCUCCUCUGGUACAUUUGACCAUGACGAAUAGCCUUCAGCCUCUUCUCUUCAAUCAAGUUUAGUUGAUCGUAACGAGAUUGGAUCCAUUCUGCUUCAUCUAACUUCAGCUCUGAUAAAACUCGGAGGGAAGGGAUUUCGACCUCAAUAGGUAAAACUGCCUCCAUCCCAUAAACCAAUGAGAAAGGUGUUGCCCCUGUAGAAGUUCUGACAGAUGUCCGAUAAGCAUAAAGGGCAAAUGGGAGCUUUUCAUACCAAUCUUUGUAGGUCUCCGCCAUCUUCCCCACAAUCUUCUUGAUAUUCUUAUUAGCUGCCUCAACCGCCCCAUUCAUUUUCGGGCGGUAUGGUGACGAGUUGUGAUGUUUAAUGUUGAACCGACUGUAGACUUCUGCUAUUACGCUAUUGUUCAGAUUCAAUGCAUUGUCAGAUACGAUUCUUUCUGGCAUACCAUAACGACAUAUGAUCUCCUUCUUCAAGAACUUGCUGACCGCCGACUUGCUGACAUUGGAGUACGAAGUAGCCUCUACCCAUUUGGUAAAGUAGUCAAUGACCACAAAAAUGAAUCGAUGUCCGUUGGAAGCCUUUGGUGAAAUCGGCCCAAUGACGUCCAUACCUCACAUUGAGAAUGGCCAUGGGGAAGUCAUAACAUGGAGGGAUGAAGGAGGCACAUGGAUCUUGUCUCCAUAAAUUUGACACUUAUGGCACUUCUUAGCGUAAUUGAUGCAAUCUCCUUCCAUUGUGGACUAGUAAUAUCCAAAUCUCAUGAUUUGUCGAACCAUUGUGAAACCAUUGGCAUGUGUCCCACAGACACCAUCAUGGACUUCCUCUAGAAUUUUCUUUGCCUCAACAGCGUCAACACAUCUUAGCAACACCUGAUCAUUUCUCUUCUUAUAUAAGACCUCAUCAUCUAGGACAUAGUCACUGGCUAACCUCCUCAAUGUUCUUUUAUCAUUUUCGGUUGCUUGAUCUGGGUACGCACGGCUCUUCACAUAUUGUAAGAUAUCAUGAUACCAAAGAUGAUCAUCUCUCUUCCUCUUCAUCGACAUUACAGCAGUGAGUUGGAGCCUCACAAAUACUCAUUUGAAUUGGCUUCAUAUCCUCCUGUUCACUUACUUUGAUCAUGGAAACUAGUGUAGCCAAGGUGUCAGCCAUCUGAUUCUCGUCUUGCGGGAGGUAAUGAAAGGUAAUAUCAUCAAAAUCUUCAAUUAACUCCAGGAUUAGCUUUCGAUAACUGAUCAAUUUAGGAUCUCUCGUUUCCCACUCGCCUUUAAGCUGAUAAAUUACCAAUGCAGAAUCUUCAUACACUUCGAAUACUUUGAUUUCACGGUCUAUAGCUGUCCAAAUUCCCAUGAUACAUGCCUCGUAUUCUGCCAUGUUGUUUGUGCAGUCAAAAUCCAGCUUGCAAGUGAAUGGAUAAUGAUCUCCAUUUGGGGAUAUCAGUACUGCUCUAACUCCAUUUCCAACGGCAUUUGAUGCUCCGUCAAAAUUUAAUUUUCAAGAAUGAUAGCGAUUGCUACAUACAUUAGAUCUUUAUUGGGGAAACUGAAAUUCAAAGGUUCAUAGUCCUCCAAAGCUCUACUGGCUAGGAAGUUUGCUAUUGCACUCCCUUUCACAGCUUUUUGGUUUACAUAGACUAUGUCAAAUUCGGAGAGCAGAAUCUGCCAUCGGGCCAUCCUUCCAUUUAAAGCGGUUAACUCCAUCAUGUAUUUGAGAGGGUCUAACUUUGAGAUUAGCCAAGUUGUAUGGUACAACAUGUAUUGCCUCAACCUUCGUGUUGUCCAAACCAAAGCACAACAUAACUUCUCAAUUGGCGGAUACCGCAUUUCACACUCAGUGAAUUUUUUACUGAGGUAAUAUAUCGCUCUUUCUUUUCUCCCAGUCUCAUCGUGUUGGCCGAGCACACACCCCAUCGAAUUAUCAAAUAUUGUUAAAUAUAGUAUCAAUGGUCUAUCAGGGCUUGGUGGUGUUAGCACUGGGGGACUGGACAAAUAUGGGGUCACACUUCUCAGUCAGUUGCGAAAUAAACCGUGCAAUAUAGUUUAGUCUCCCUAGGAAACCUCAAACUUCUUUCUGAGUUCGUGGCGGAGGCAGCUCCUGUAUAGCCUUAACUUUAUCAGGGUCGACUUCUAUUCCCUUCUCACUAACUACGAAACCGAGUAACUUUCUGGACCUAGCUCCGAAGGUACAUUUUGACGGAUUGAGUUUUAAUUGGAAUUUUCUCAACCUCAGGAAUAAUUUCCUCAACACUCGCACAUGCUCCUCUUCAGUUCGGGAUUUUACAAUCAUGUCGUCAACGUAGACCUCAAUUUCCUUGUGCAUCAUGUCAUGGAAUAAGGUUACCAUGACUCUUUGGUAUGUGGCUCCUACAUUUUUCAACCCGAAGGGCAUCACCUUGUAGCAAAACGUUCCCCAUAAAGUUAUGAAUGUGGUUUUUUCCAUGUUCUCAAGAUGCAUCUUGAUCUGAUUGUACCCGGAGAACCCAUCAAUGAAGAAGAACAGUGAAUAGCCUAUCGUAUUAUCCACUAGAGUGUCUAUGUAAGGCAAUGGAAAGUUAUCCUUUGGGCUGGCCUUGUUUAAAUCUCUGUAAUUUACACACAUCCGCACUUUCCCAUCUUUCUUAGGGACAAGGACAAUGUUGGCCACCCAUUCUGAAUAAUUGACCACCUGUAGGAAUCCAGCAUUACACUGUUUCUUGACUUCUUCCUUUAUUUUCAUUGCUACAUCGUGUCUCAUCCUUCGGAGCUUCUGCUGAACUGGCUUGCACACCUUUUUUGUAGGGACACAGUGCACUACGAUGUCGGUACUUAGACCAGGCAUAUCCUGGUAUGACCAUGCAAAGACGCCCUUAAAUUCUUGCAACAGCUCAAUGAGGUUCUGUCUUGUUUUCUCGUUAACGCAAAUGCCGAUUUUAACUUCCUUCCCCUCUUCCAAGGCCAUAAUCUCAGUAGUCUCUUUGUGUGACAGGAUCUAUUUCUCUUCUCGCUCCACCAUCCUUAACAAAUAGGGAGAUAAACAACAAUCCUCGUCCUCUUCAAAAUCCUGAAAUCCCUCAAAGUACAUGUCUCGCUCAAAAGGAGAUUUCAGGCUCGCAUUAGCAUUACUCAUGACGUUGACAUCCGGGGGCCUAUUAUGAGUAUAAGAGAAUACCCAAAGAAAAUGAAAUAAAUAAUUCCUUUGUAUGGUAUGAUUGUGUAUAAAAAUAAAAAGAAGAAAGAAUAAUUGCUCGAACCGAUAUAUGAAAAUGUAUUUUUUUAUUGAAAAUAAUAAUGUUUGAACAUGAGCCUAUUUCGUAAAAGAUUCUUAUUGUCCCUAGGCUGGAAGACAACAAGUGGGUUUUGAAUAUUACUCUGUGUUAGCUCUAAAGAUUACAGAAAUUUCUUCCUCAGUCCAGUUAUUUAAAACACUCCCAAGCUCAUAUGGGAAAAUGCCCGAUAAAUUCCUUUCCAUUGCUUCCUCUUCAAACGUGGCGUUGAUGUUCCAAAUUCUCAUCACAUCCUCGACCAUUCCUUCUUUUAUCCUCUCCUGUACAGAAUGAAUAAACCCUCCAGAUACAAAUGUUUGGGAAAUAUGGGGGAAGCUCAUCGGUUCCCACCUGACUUCUGUCCCACUCAAUCUCGCUCUCCGCUGUUCUUGUUUCCUUUCAAACUCCUUCUUCACUUGGCUUGCAUCUGGCCUGUAUCUCAAACUGAAGCGAUCCCACUUGCUAACCAAGACUGGCACUCUAACUUAUCCACGGAGGUGCCUCCCGAGUCCUCUGCCAGGUAACGACCAUUUCCUAACUGUCAGCUGUAGGCUCAUUUUUGUAGCCCCUGAUAUCUUAAGUAUCGGAAUCCUACUUCCUUCAGCUAUAAACGUUGUGUUUACAAACUCUAACGAUCGAAAUGAACAUUUAACCGCUUUGUUGUCAUUCUCUACGUAGGGUGCAUCACUGGUAACUGACGCAAUAAUGUCCUCAUCUGCAUUUAUUAUUAUUAGCCGACCCUCAAUAACCAUCUUUAGCUUCUGGUGCAGCGAGGAUGGCACUACCCCAGCUGAGUGAAUCCAAGGUCUUCCUAAUAGACAGUUAUAGGAAGGCUUAAUAUCCAUCACGAGGAAAUCUACCUCGUACGCGUUUGGGCCAAUCUGAAGAGGUACCUCUAUCCUUCCCAUUACUUUUCUUUCUGUGCCAUCAAAUGCUCUUACUAUGUUCUGACAUGUCUUCAUAUGGGAACUGUCUAUAGUUAAACGGUUUAACAUAGCCCAAGGCAACACAUUCAAUGCAGACCUAUUAUCAACUAGUACUCCGGGUAGCGUAUACCCCUUGCAACGUGUAGUGAUAUGCAGAGCCUUAGUAGACCCCCUACCCCCUGGCGGUAUCUCAUCAUCGCUGAAGGAGAUGAAAUUGUCAGCACUUAUGUUGCCGACAAGACGAUCCAAUUUGUUAAUCGAAAUGUCAUCCGCAACAUAGGUUUCAUUCAACACUUUCAUCAAUGCGUUGCGGUAGACCUCUGAAUUUAACAGCAGAGCUAAUACCGAUAUGCGAUCCGGUUGUUGGUGUAGUUGUUCCACAACACUAUACUCUAUAUGUCUUAGGAACUUCAAGAACUCAUUGGCUUCAUUUUCCAUUACUGGCUCAUUAACCAGUGGUUCUGAUAUCUCUACUUCUUGCUUGAGCAUGACGGAUUUCCCUUUUGCUGGUUUGGCUUCUGUGUUUGGCGUGUUAAUCGAACCCUCAUUCUCUGUAACUGCUAUACUACAAUUAUAAUUCCAAGGCACCCUAUGGCUAUCUUUAUAAGGGGAAGUUGUUGGCCUUUGGAUUAUAACUCUUGGUGUAACUCUUGCUUCUACUUCACUAAUUCUGGGCUUCGAAAUAAUUAUCACUGGACGGCUGGCUCUGUAGGCUUCUUCACCUGACUCUCCUCCUAGAGAGCAUACAUCCUCCUCUUCGACAGACUCGAGAAACUCCAAUUCCUUAUUAUCCAUUAGACCCUGCACUAGGGCCUUGAACUCAAUACAAUUUUGGAUCUCGUGAUCUUUCUCAUGAUGGAACUCACAGUAGUUCCGUAUAUCUUGGAUUUUAUCCCCCAACCCCUGCGGAACUAAACCUCUCUUCUGCAUUUCCUUCCAAACUAGCUUCAAUGGGGUUCUCACCUCUGCGAUAUUCAGCUUGACUUUCCUCCCCAUAUUCUCAAUUAUAGCGUUUAUCCCUUUAUCAGUAUGACUGGGCAAUGGAUUUCUCGUACCAGAUGUAUCAUCAAAUUUUACAACACCUACUUUGAUAAGCCUUUCUACGUACCUUUUGAACGAGGUACAAUUUUCUAUCGAGUGCCCCGUAAUCCCUGCGUGGUAUUCGCACUGAGCAUUUGUAUCAUACCAUUUAGGGUAUGGGGGUUGUAACGGUUCUAAUUGGAAAGGGGCCACUACGUGUGCGUCGAACAACUUUUUGUAUAGCUCCCUCUACGUCACUGGUAUAGGAGUAAACUGGAACCUCUUUGUAUUCUGCCUUGUGUUAGGCUCUCGCCUUUGGUAUGGCCUGCUGGCUUGUGACUAUCGUUCUCGAUUGAUUAACGGUGACAGGUUUUGAAUAGCCUGAGCUUACGUUGCUUACCUCGUUUUCCUUUUUCUUCAGGGCUGACCUUCUCGUGCUUUCCCCCGUUUCUAUCUUCCCGCACCUUAUUGCAUUUUCUAUCAUUUCGCCAGACAUCACUAUAUUUGCGAAACUCUUAGUUGCGCUCCCCAACAUAUGAUUAAUGAAAGGUUCCUUCAAGGUAUUAAUAAACAUCAUAGUCGUUUCUUUUUCCAGCAGUGGUGGUUGGACUUGCGUAGCGACUUCCCUCCACCUCUGGGCGUAUUUCCUGAAGCUUUCACCUGACCUUUUCUCCAUGUUCUGUAAUGUAAUCUUGUCAGGUGCUAUAUCAGUCACAUGGCCAUACUGUUUCAUGAAGGCUUGCGCCAAAUCCUUCCAUGAUUUGACCUGAGCACGGCUCAACUAAUUGUACCAUUUUGCUGCGGCCCCGGUCAAACUAUCCUGAAAACAAUAAAUCAGCAAAUGGUCAUUGUUGACAUAUCCCGUCAUUCUCCGGUAGAACAUCGUAAUGUGAGCCUCAGGGCAACUGGUUCCAUUAUAUCUUUCAAAUUCUGGCAUCUUGAACUUCGGCGGAAGUACUAAGUCCGGGACCAAACUGAGUUCCUUUGCGUCAACUCUGCAAUAAUGAUUAGCACUUUCUAGCUCCUUGAACUUCUCCUCUAUCCAUUUGUACCGAUCCUCGAACUGCUUUGGGAGCUCCUCCCUUACUUUUUCCCCUUCAACCUCAUCGAAGUCAGGGAUCGUGGGAUUUGCCAUAUUGUCUCCAGGGUUAGAGCACGAGCCCGUUGAGAAGUUUACCGGUGCCGAAGUGCCAGCUUGAUACAGAGGUUUAACAUUAAACGAACACCCUUGGUGGAUAUGUUUGAAUGUUUACUGGGGCGAAGCUUGUAGGACAAGUAGAGUCAUCGUUGUCAUUCCCAGUAUCACCCUAGGGCUUUUUCCUUUGUCAGACCCUCCCUUCAGCAGCUGUGUCAGCUGGCUCAUUAUGUUGUUCUGUGACUCCAGCAUGUUUUUCUGGAACUCCAGCAUUUGAUCCCUCAUCUCCUGCUGGAUUCUAGCCAGCUGUUCUUGCAUCUGAGCUUGCAGUUGCUCCUGCAUCUCCUUUUGCAUUUGUUCUAAUUUCUCCAACCUCUGAUCCAUAUCCCUUGUUUUCCUCCGUGUAUAGUAGCGAUGUUCCAGGGUAACUAGAUAAAUUAUCACUAAUUAAUAGGGUUCUUUUGUGUAACUUAAUGUUUAUGAUGCUAUGCAAUGCAAAUGCAUGACAUGAAUACAAAAAGGUGUCAAUCUGAUUCAAUUUUAUUUAGAAUAACUUUACUAAAAGACAAAAUCCUUUACAUAAAAAAUAGACUACAUAUACGGCCUAGCCCUUAUGCCCAGAGCUCUAACUUUUUUAAGAGGUUCAGCCAGCUCUUGGCCUCGGUUCGAUACUGACUCAUAUUUUACACUUAAUACAUCAGCUUGGACGGCCAGGAUUUGUAAAUGUUCUGCCACUUCUCGAAUCUGAACUAUAGCUUCUCCCAUGAGGUGAUCUCUAUCUCGAACCUUAUUCUGAGACCGGUGAAGUUGCUCCUCCAGUUGCUCACUAUUUGCUUCCAGUGAUUCAAUUCGGUGUUCACAAUCCUGUAGCAUAGCCCCAAGUUCUUCUAUCUUCCCCUUCAGAUUCUCGAUCUCACUUAAGCUAGCCUUUAAUUCCAUUACAAAGUUGUGACUACGAUGCUAAUGCAAUGUCUUUUCUAACUCUGUUAUUCGAGCUCUUAACGUCUCAUUUUCACUUUGGCUCUCUGAUGCAGUUCUUUUCAGGGCUUCCUCUCGUGCUCGAGCAUCACAGAACCUCCUCUUCCAUUGAUCGGCCUUAGACUUUUCUUCUUGGAUUUCAUGUUGCCAUUGCUUCGAUGUUUUUCCCAACUCGGUAGUUCUCAUCGACAUAUGCAGCUCCUUGUAAUCAUUCUUCAAACUGUCCAAGUCUUCUUCAGCUUUCCUUUUCCCCUUUCUUAGUUUCUCGGCGUCUAAUUUCUGGACGCCAAUGUCCAAUUUUAGAUAUACCUUCUCCUCUUCGAGUUGCUCUAUAUUUUUCCCCAACUCUGAACUUCUCUUCUCAAAAUCCUGUUUUAUAAUUUCCAAUUCGGAGGGAACCACUCGCAGAUACUUCUCUAUCGGUUGAGCACCCUCUAAACUUGACCUAGGGAUAUUGUCGUUAACUCGUCUACUCAACCAUCCAUCAUACUUAGGGGUCGUCAUCGGAUCUGCAGUCAACCCUUUCACUCGACGAGUCUGAUUCCAAGCAUUAGAAAUCUCUUUAACCCUUUUCUUGUAGUCUCCCUUAUACGAAAAUUUGCAUUGAGCAAGCCCAUGGGUUACCGGUAUGAACUGUCUUGCUGCAUAUUGCCUAAGCACAAGUAAGGGAGCAUAUCCAAUGGCUCCCCAGAUCCCAAGCAAAGGGACCCAAUCGAAACUCCCACAUCGAAAAAGAAUUUUGUUAGGCAUCCACCAAGGUACUUUCCACUCAAUGUCCUCUCCCUGGAGAUUCUGUAGGAGCGCGAUCCAGUUUUCUUCCGAUAUGUCAUCUCUUCUGGGUGUAGCUCCUAUCUCCUUUAAUGGAGAAUGAUUCCCAAAGAAAGUUCGAUAAUGACCUUUGUCUAUCUUCCAAAAAUGACUGUGAAACCAUACUAACAAUAACUGUGCACACCCUAUAAAUCUGCCCUCUCUGGUCCUUCUACACACGUUCAAGGACCUGAAUGUCUCAGUUAAAAUUGCAGGAACUGGUGUGACUCCCUUGUCAAGUCGGUCGAAUAGAUCCGUGACUGCCUCAUCAACAUAUCCCAAUGCCCUAAGGAAGAGCAUCAACCCGUAGAUACUCAAGGCAAAGACGUCAACUUUCUUCUUCAUAGCAGGAUGUGUUCAGAUCAAAUCUCGUAAAUUCUUCCAUGGAAUGCACUUACACUCCCCUUUCUGCUUGAUCCUUGCCGUAACCCAUUGUUCGCUUAUUCCAGUAAUAUUCAUUAGCUUUUUCGAAAACGCCGAAACAUAAGUAGCUCUCGAAUAGGCCUAAUCGACUUGUACCUUCGAACAAUUUAAUAAAGUUGUAUACUCCUCCACCGUAGGUACUAAAUCCACCCUCCUAAACGUGAAGCAGCUAUAUGCAGGGUUCCAAUACUGAGCAAGGGCCCGAAACAAGUGUUCGUCUAUUUCGAUAUUAAGUAGGUAUGGUAGAUCUCCAUAGUUACAGUAGAAUAAUUUUUUAGCCUCAUCAUCCCACUGAUUCCAUAUCUCCUUCAAUUCCUGAUGAUUAUUUUGAGUCACGCUAAUGCGAGUAUAAUCCCAUAACUCAGAUUUUUAUCCCUUGGCUAGGUUGUCUCCCUUCUCUAAUUGUGUUAUCUCUAACCAUUUACGGACAGCCGCAUUAUUUUCUACCUUAUCAAGGAAUUUGUCCCCCAUGACAAGCUUUCUAAUUUAGAAAAUUAAACACAAAUUGACAUAUUUCAAAUGUGGAAUGACAUGCAAAUAUGGCAAAACAAAACACAGCAAGUUAGUAUCAUAUAUCAGAAACAUAACUCAAAGUAAAAAAAAUAGAAACAAGCACCUAUUGGGGGUAAUCACUAGGGUUUAGCGUAGUUCCUCCCAAGAUGGGCCCUUAGGGUUCCUCUAAAUGUGGUUUGGUUCUAGAGUUGAGGUACUUGAACCAGCAGAUUCCUCGAUCCUCACCCAUUAUAGGCUCAUAUAGACCGAGUUCAGUUCAGGGGGAUACAUUUCCCUAUGGCUGCAAGGAGGUGAAAACCUCACGAAGACAUAGGUACGGAUGUAUCCCGAAAGUGAUCCACUAUCCUGCACGGAGGUGAAAACCUCACGAAGGAAAUAGCUUCUCACUCCCACUUAAGAGGUGUGACCACAAUUGUCAUGCAAUGCCAUGACAGAAGAUAUAAAAGAACUUUGAAAAAAAUGCCGGAAAAACAUAACACCAAACAGAUGAAAUGCAAUAAGAGGAUCGUAGACUCCAAACCAAAUUUAACUUUCAAAAAAAGAUAAAAAGUAAUCAAAUCGCGACUUAACUCUCUUAUAGGCCCCCAAUGGAGUCGCCAAGCUAUCGAAACCAUUUUUAAAUUUUGAAAAACGGGGAUCGACUUUAAAAAUAUGAAUAGAGUCGCCACCAAUCCUUUUUGAGGUGUGAUUGGGCGACCCUAGAAUUGAUCGUUUUAAUAAAACAUUUGGGCUUAUUAAAAUAAUAAUUUUUGGUCUGCUAAAUUUGAGAAAACGGGCUCGGGAGUCGGUUACAUACGAGGAAGGGUUAGCACCCUCGCAACGCUCAAAAAUUGGUACCUUAUUUGAUUAGUUAAUAUCUUGAUGUCGAAACUUAAAAAGAUUUUAGAGUACGAUCUUCUUACUUAAAAAAAAUAUAAAUUGGAUAAAAUGUAAAGACCCACUCAUUUCGAAGGAGAAAUAGGCCAUACCCAGUAAGUUAGGGUCUAACACCUCAGACCUUCUGAACUAAGUUAGUCUUUGAUUUUUUUAAAAUUCAUGUAUGAAGGUUCAAGAGAAGGGUAUUUGGUCAUUCGGGACUCAACUGAAAAAUUCGAACUCAAUAAGUUAGAGCUCGAUCUUUCAAAACCCCCAAGUGCCAGGUAUUGCCUUGAUUUUAGAAAUCCCUAUCCUCAAAACCACAAUGCCACACCCAGUAAGUUAGGGUGCAACAUCCUAAAUUCCAAGAAUAGUUUUUUAUUCGAACUUCAUACAAUUAGAUUUAAAAAGGGUACUCAGUUAUUUAGGUUUAACGAGGAAAAUUGGAACCUAGUAAGUUAGGGCACAAUCUUCCCCAGGAUCUUAAAUAUCGAACAUUGCCUUUAUUUUGAAAAUAGUCGAUGAUAAAUCUUUAAAUAAAAUGAAUUUGGGCGGUUGAAACUUAACAAAAAAAAUGACAACAUGCAAUAUGAAAACAGCAAUAUAAUAACCCUAAUAACAUAUAUUAAUACCUAAAAUGUAGCAAGCAUAAAGAAAAUUAAGAACAGUAGUAAUAACAGAAGUGAUGAAUAUAAUAACAUGAUAAAUACAGCAAUGAUUAAAAAAAUGCACAAUGGAAAGGAAGAUAAUAAGCCAAUGAUGAUGUUUGAUAAACAUGUCAAAUUGCAUAUUUUUUGUGCCUAAUUUGGUUUAUUGAUGAACUGAAUCCUGCUAAUUAAGUGUUUUUAUUAUUUAAUUCUUUUCAGGGAUGCAAUUGAUCAAAAGCAAGCUGAAAAGGGGCCAAAUUAGAAGAAAAUUAUUAGAAUAGGCCAAAGCGAAAAGAUGGAGCAAGCCAAGGACUAGUCAUAAAUUUGACUUUGUAAAAAGCCAAAAAUAGGAAAUUCUAUUUUAAGUUUAUUUAUUUUUAAUUAUUAUUAUUUUAGAUUUUAUAUUAAUUUUCUUAAGCUAUUUUUAGUAAACCCUAUCUAUAUAAAUAGGGGGUUUUAGUUCUUAGGAAAUCAUCCAUUAAUCAAUUGUCUUUACAUUCCUAUUUCAUUUUGGAGUUCCAUUAUCCACUUUGUUUUCUUUUUCUUAAUUCAAUUGAGCAUUAGAUUAUUUUGUCUUCUUUUUACAAAAUUUGUCUAAUUCUCUUUGCAAUUUUUCCUAUCCAUUUCCACUACCUUUUUCAUAUAAUUUCUAUCAUUUCCAUAACCUUCAAGCAUGAUUAAAUUCAUGCCACACUAAACCCCUUUCAGCUUUAAGCCGGUGUUAACCCCGUCAAAAUACCUGUGAGUUACGAACCCGAGCUGUUUAACUCCCAACUUUCGAUAUUUAUUAUUUCUCCGGAUUAAGAGUAUGACUUUGUCAACUCACAAAGUCAAGUCAAUACUAAGUCAAAAAAGACGUCGUUUGAGUUAGUGUGGCUAGACGUACAGUUGGAAUUCCGAAAGGAUCGAUUGUCUAAUUGGUCUUCCGUGAACAUAUUGGCGUGCCAAGUGGGGAUUGCUGUUUGGUUCCGUCAAGGGAAGUAGUAACUGGAUUUAAAUGUCUCAAUGUUUGAGGGCAUUGGUUCGAGCUAGGCUCUUCUAGAACGCAAAACUGCUGGAGUUCUAAAUCACGAAUGUUUCGUAGGUUGUUCGAUCGGUAAGGGUUAGUUAUAGGACGUUCCAUAACUAAUUUACACAAGGAAGAGUUGGUGUCCGAGGCUUCCUUUGUAGCUAUAACUAGCUUAUCGAAAAAGAGGAGUUCACCUAAUUUCGAGGAACGGGUCGAAGACGGGAAAACCCGUGCUUAAGGCUGAGCUAAGUUUUAUUGAUUUUCCGUUAAAUUAUUUUGUUAUUUUAUUUUUAUUUCAUCUUUUUAUUUUUGUUUCAUCUUUUACUUUUUACUUUUUACGUUUUCUUGUGUUUAUUUCAGGUUUCAUAUUUUAUUUCCCCCCUAAAUGUCGCGGGCACGACAACUGCCCAGACACUAAUCUGGUCAAGAAACAAACAAUUUUAAGUAAUUCCAGUCUCUGUGGGAUCGACCCUACUCCCUAUACUGCUUUAAUUUGCAAACUAGGUGUAGGUUUAUAUUGGUGGAAUCGACAGCCAUCAGUUUUGGGGCCGUUGCCGGGGACUGGCAACACUUACAAUUGUUUAAAUUACCUUCAUGACCAGAUCUUCAUCAGGAGAUCUCGAAUACGACCCAUAGAUCGAGAAAUCAGUGCGAGCACGACGAAAAGAGAUAGAAGCUCUUAAACGUGCAAGUAAAACAGAAGUUGAGCUAGGACAAGGAAUCCUAGAAUCCGACGUUGAAAAGUUGAGCGAAACAAUUCGUGCAGAGGCAAUUCGACGUGGGAAACAAGUCGAAGAGGUUGAACCUGAGACCGAACCACUCUUUGAAACAAAAAACAACCUCGGUAAACUAGAAAGAAUGGUAAACCGAACCAUUCGUCAACUAGCCGCUGCUCCCAACGAGCAAACACCAUUAUGCAUUAACUAUCCAACCGGAGGAACUCCUUUCGAAUUGAAGUCGGGCUUGAUUCACCUUUUGCCCACUUUUCGAAGCUUGAAGAACAAAAAUCCACACACUCACUUAAGAGAAUUCCACAUGUUCUGCUCAAGCAUGAAACCCCAGGGAGUACCCGAAGAUGAGAUCAAACUUCGGGCCUUUCCUUUUUCUUUAGUGGAUACAGCAAAAGAAUGGUUAUUUUACUUACCUCCCGGUUCUAUCACAACGUGGGAUGACUUAUCUCGUGUAUUUCUUGAUAGGUUCUUCCCAGUGUCACGAGCAGCCGAGCUUAGGAGGGAAAUAGUGGGAAUUCGCCAAUUAGAGAGUGAAUCGCUCUAUGACUACUGGGUGCGGUACAAAAAACUGUGUGCGAGUUGUCCUCAACAUGGAUUGACCGAACAAUCACUUCUUCAAUAUUUCUACGAGGGUUUGCUCCCUAUGGAAAUAAAGAUGAUCGACGCUGCUAGCGGAGGAGCGCUUGUCAAUAUGACCCCUCAAAGGGCAAAAGAGCUAAUAUCCACCAUGGCGAAAAAUUCUCAACAAUAUCGGCCUAAUUCAGAACCGACAAGAUGGGUUAAUGGGGUAAACGUUUCAACUUUAGAAGAUAAAUUAGAUAAGCUUACGAAUGUUGUUCAAUCAUUUCUUACAGAAAAGAAGAGUUUGACCCCAUUAUGUGGAAUUUGUACUACGUUUGAACACCCGACGGAUUUGUGCCCAAUCCUUAACGAUAAUUCAACGGCACAUGUAGAUGCUAUCGGAGGUUUUCCGGGACCUCCGCAAAGACACUAUGAUCCUUUCUCCAACACCUACAAUCUCAGGUGGAAGGAUCAUCCAACCUUAAUUACGGAGCUAAUCCCCGAUAUAAUCCACCAUACCAACCGAGACCUCUGUAACCACCACAACAACAUAAGCCGAGCACAUCUCUAGAAGCUGUUGAGGAAAGACUUGCCGCCGAUGCUGCAAAAUAUCAACAGAGGACAGACGCAUCAAUACAAGAGUUAACUAAUCAAGUUAGUAAACUCUCGAUGGCAGUUAAUCGCUUAGAGUCUCAAGGUAAAUUACCUUCCUAGACAGAGCCGAACCCUUGGCAGAAUGCCAGUGCAAUCACUCUUCGUAGCGGAAAGGUUCUGAAAACAGUACCAACUAAAAGUCAUUGGCAAGAAAAGGAACAGGAAAAGCAGAUCUCCGAUCCAACAACCAGGCUAGAGUCAGAAAUUCAGAGACCAGUUGUAAUGCCACCUCCUUUUCCAGUGAGGCUUGCAAGGGAUAAGAAAGAGAAGGAGGAAAAAGAAAUCCUCGAGACAUUCAGGAAGGUGGAGGUAAAUAUUCAUUUACUCGACGCUAUCAAACAGAUCCCCCGUUAUGCAAAAUUUCUCAAGGAAUUGUGUACUAGCAAAAGGAGGUUAAUAGGUAACGAAAGAGUAAAUAUAGGAGAAAAUGUCUCCGCAGUACUGCAAAAGAAAGUUUCGCCCAAAUACAAGGACCAAGGUAUGUUUGCUAUUUCCUGUGAGAUAGGUAAUGUAGGCAUUAAGAAAGCCAUGUGUGAUUUAGGGGCUUCUAUUAAUGUUAUGCCUUAUUCUAUUUAUAAGUUGAUUAACGCGGGUCCUUUAAAAGAGACAGGAGUAAUAAUCCAGUUGGCGGACAGGUCAGUCAUCUAUCCCGAAGGGCUGCUUGAAGACGUCCUUGUUAAAGUUAACGAAUUAUUUUUCCCUGCAGAUUUCUACAUUAUUAGUAUGGAAGAUGAUAAUUCAACUAAUUCGUCUGACAUUUUGCUUGGAAGGCCGUUUCUAAGUACCGCAAGCGCAAAAAUAGAUGUUCGAAGUGGGACGCUGACCAUGGAGUUUGAUGGCGAAAUUGUGAAAUUCAAUGUCUACGAGGCUAUGGGUCAUCCUAACUCACUAUUGAAUAUUUCUAGCAUUGAUAUUUUAGAUUGUUUAACUCAAUCUUAUUCUGAAUAUCAUGACUUUGAUGAGUUGGAAACUGUCCUUUUCAGAAACAUUGACAUGGAAAUUUUACAUCAUCUCGAGGAAUUCGCAGUCAUUGAAGAUCCGUUGCAAGAAAUCGUCAAUCACUUGGAUAUGCAACCUUCGUUGACAAACCGAGGUAACCAAAUUGAACUAUUACCUUCCCAAACUAAAAUGUUACCCUUAGUUUUACAGCCACCGAUCUUGGAGCUUAAAGCAUUACCGGACCAUCUUAAGUACGUCUUUUUGGGAGAGAAAGACACAUUACCGGUAAUAGUGUCAAACAAGUUAACCAAAGACGAGGAGGAAAGUCUAGUUCGAGUUCUGAGAGAUUAUAAGGAAGCUAUUGGUUGGACGAUAGCCGACAUAAAAGGGCUAAGUCCAUCCACCUGUAUGCACAAAAUUUCCAUUGAAGACAACACGAAACCAAAGAGGGAUGCUCAACGACGCCUUAAUCCACCCAUGAUGGAGGUAGUAAAGAAGGAGAUCCAAAAACUGUUUGAUGCUAAAAUGAUAUAUCCGAUUUCUGACAGUAAUUGGGUUAGCCCAGUUCAUGUCGUGCCCAAGAAAACUGGUGUGACAGUGGUGAAAAACCAGUUAGGUGAGCUGGUCCCUACACGAGUAUAGAAUGGAUGGAGGGUUUGCAUCGAUUACAGGAAGUUGAAUGCAGCUACCCGAAAAGACCAUUUUCCACUCCCCUUCAUCGAUCAAAUGCUCGAGCGAUUAGCCAGUAAGUCCCAUUAUUGUUGUCUCGAUGGGUACUCAGGAUUUUUCCAGAUUCCAGUGGCUCCGGAGGAUCAAGACAAAACGACUUUCACAUGUCCCUUCGGAACAUUUGUGUAUAAACGGAUGCCGUUUGGACUCUGCAAUACUCCGGCCACUUUCCAAAGAUGCAUGGUGAGCAUAUUCUUUGAUUACGUCGAGAAAAUCAUCGAAGUCUUUAUGUAUGACUUCACGGUAUACGGUAACUCUUUUAACGAAUGUCUCAAUAAUCUUGCUAAGAUAUUACAAAGAUGCCUAGAAUUUAAUCUUGUUUUAAAUUAUGAGAAAUGCCAUUUCAUGGUUGACAAAGGAUUAAUUUUGGGUCAUAUAGUUUCCUCAAAAGGAAUCAAGGUCGAUAAGGCAAAAACGGAUAUUAUUAACUCGUUACCUUACCCCUCAUCAGUGAGGGAAGUUUGUCCGUUUCUUGGCCAUGCAGGAUUCUAUAGACGAUUCAUGAAAGAUUUUUCGAAAAUCGCGCGACCACUUUGUAGUCUGUUACAAAAGGAUAAAGAAUUUGAAUUUGACCAGACUUGUAAGGAUGCGUCUGAUGUGCUGAAGCAGAAAUUGGUUUCCGUUCCCAUUGUGCAGCCACCAAAUUGGAACUUCCCAUUCGAAAUCAUGUGUGAUGCAAGUGACCAAAGUGUGGGAGCUGUUCUUGGCCAAAGAAUAGGGAAAGAACCUCAUGUCAUCUACUAUGCUUCGAAGAUUUUGGAUGCUGCCCAAAGCAAUUACACAACGACCGAGAAAGAAUUAUUAGCUGUUGUGUUUGCUUUGGAUAAAUUCAGAUCUUACCUAUUGGGAACUAAGGUAAUUAUCUUUUCUGAUCAUGCAGCUUUGAAAUAUUUAAUAGGGAAAAAGGAGGCAAAACCCCGACUGAUCAGGUGGAUUCUACUCCUACAAGAGUUCGAUUUUGAAAUUCGGGAUAAAAAUGGAUGCAAAAACCUAGUAGCUGACCAUCUAAGUCGAUUACCGAUUCCAGUAGAUGACACACCAUUGAAGGACAACUUUCUAGAUGAAAACCUGUUUUCAGCAAAUGCAGUGCACCCUUGGUAUGCAGACAUAGUAAACUAUCUUGUCACAUGUACUGUCCCUUCAGAUUUGCCAAGGUCUAAAAAAGAUAAGAUAAGAAAGGAUGCACGAUAUUACAUUUGGGACGACCCUUACCUUUGGAAGCAUUGCUCGGAUCAGGUAAUACGACGUUGUGUAGCAGAAACAGAGGUACAGUCUAUCUUAACUUUUUGUCAUUCUUAUGCAUGCGGAGGACACUUUGGACCUAAACGCACCGCACACAAAAUUCUCGAAUGUGGAUUAUUUUGGCCAAACAUAUUUCGUGAUGCCUUUUAUCUCUGUAAAACUUGUGAAAAAUGCCAAAGAGUUGGCAACCUUAGUCGUCGAAAUGAGAUGCCGCUUACUCCUAUUCAUAUUUGUGAAAUUUUUUAUGUGUGGGGCAUCGACUUUAUGGGUCCUUUCGUUUCUUCUUUCGGUAAUUUUUAUAUACUUUUAGUUGUUGAUUAUGUCUCUAAGUGGAUAGAGGCAAAGGCCACUCGAAAUGAUAAUGCUAAGACCGUAGUUGACUUUCUUAAAAAUUCUAUUUUUUCCAGGUAUGGUACUCCACGAGCAUUAAUCAGUGACAGAGGAACACAUUUUUGCAAUAAGCUCAUAAGUGCACUUAUGGAGAAAUAUGGAGUGACUCAACGAAUUGCCACAGCUUACCAUCCACAAACAAAUGGGCAAGCUAAAGUGUCAAAUCGAGAGAUCAUGUCUAUUUUGGAAAAGACGGUUAAACCUAACAGGAAGGAUUGAAGUUUAAGACUGAAUGACGCACUUUGGGCCCAUAGAACAACUUACAAGGGACCAAUAGGCAUGUCACCUUACCGACUCAUUUUCGGUAAACCAUGCCACCUCCCGAUCGAGUUAGAGCAUAAGGCUUUUUGGGCAGUUAAGCAAUGCAAUAUGAAAAUGGAGUCUGCGGGAAAAUCUCGAAAAUUAGACAUCCAGGAACUCGAGGAAAUCAGAAACGAUGCAUAUGAAAAUGCUCGAGUUUAUAAAGAAAAGACGAAGGCAUUUCAUGACAAGUUCAUCACUAGGAAGCAGUUCUCAAUAGGACAAAAAGUGCUCCUAUACGACUCCACUUUAAAAAUCUUUGCUGGUAAGCUUCGAUCCAAAUGGAUAGGACUGUUUAUUAUUACUAAUUUAUUUGCGAAUGGUGCAAUGGAAAUUCAAAGUGAAGAGAUACGAAAGCACUUUAAAGUGAAUGGUCAAUGACUAAAAUCCUUUUUCGAGAAUUUUCAAAUACACACAGUUGAGGAGAUUGUUCUCGAUGAGCCAAAAGUUUAAAUAACAGGUCGUCGAGCUAAUGACGUUAAACAAAAGCGCUUUUUGGGAGGCAACCCAAAUUUAUUUUCAUUUAUUUUUAGUUUAAGUAAAUUAGGAUGUAAAUAAAUAAAUUCUUAUUAGUCAAAUUGAUGUUUUCAGGAAUACAGUGGAAGUGAUUAAUUUCAAAAAGACGAGUAAUGAAGGUGGCAUGGGCACGACUUGCUAAUGUGGUGAUAUUCCUAAAAAAAACCGAUCAUCCACUAAAAUUCCUACCCAAACCCAUUUACCACAUACCCAAACACCAAACCCAAUUUCCAUUUCCUUCAAACCCAAAUAAACCAUCCCAACUACCCACCCAACAGCCCAAUAUCCAUCAACCCAAACCCAAUUAAAUCAUCAACCCAAUACCCAUAUAAACCCAAUACCUAUGAUUGGCCCAAUAACCAACACCAUACCCAAUUACCUUGUAAUACCCCUAGCCGUAUUCAUUGCCGGAAUAGGGUACGAGGCAUUACCGGAGUUUACGAAUUAAAUUUUUUUUAUAUUCAAUAUAGCCCUUUUAUAAAUAUCUAACCUUCCCUGUAAUAUUAAAUCGAGACCAAUCCACAUCAACCAAAUCAAUUCAACAUAUUUUCAUGAUAGAUUCAUGCAUUUAUAUAAGAUAACGUCAUCACAUAUCUAUAACCAGGUUUGUUAACCAUACUAAUGGCUAACUUUACAUUCAUUUCACGUUAACAUUUACUUUGUUAGCUUAUACAUGCCAUUGAUUUCCAAAAUAAAGUUUCUUUAUAUACCGUAAUCCUGAGGUUGACAGUGUGAUGUGUCUCCGACCAAAUCCGACCUCCGAGCUCUUAACACUACAAAACAGGGAAAAAGGAAACGGGGUAAGCACUUUGUGCUUAGUAAGCUCAUGUAACAAGAAUUAUACUUACCUAAUAUUUUCAAUACAAUAUAAUAAACAUUCAUAUAUCCAUUCAAUGCAUUAUUACCCUAACAUGCACAAACUCAACAUUCAAGUUAGUACAAUAAUUUCCAUGUAUCAAUAAUAUAUAUAUACCAUGAUUGAUGUACUCAUCAAUACCAUGAUUUUCAUUCCCUUAUUAUUUUUCAUAUUUAUCCUAUUGAAUUUAUCGGAAUUUCGAUGGAUUUUCAGAGGUACACUUUUAGUGUACAAUUCCGGGUCCGUCAAUUCAUAUUCAUGUGCGCACAUUUCCAUUUCAGAGAGCACACUCCCGCGAACCUCAACCUUGCAGCGGGAUUACCAGUCCAGGCUAAAUCCCCUGCAAUAUAAACUCAUAGAGUAUUGUCGGGAUUACCAGUCCAGGCUAAAUCCCCUGAAAUGACAAUUACUCUAAUGAGCUUGGAUCUGAAUUACCAGUCCAGGCUAAAUUCAGACCCUAAUUCGGAUUACCCGUCCGGGCUAAAUCCAUUUUACACAUAUUCUUCGGGAGGGCUAUAUCAGGAUAGGAUCACCCGUCCGGGCUAGAUCCUUUUUACCGUCAAUUCCUUUUCAGAGAUCCAUCGAAUUUUCCUUUCAUUCAACCGGGAUUUCUUCCCAUUUUAUCAAAUAUAUCAAUGUUUCAUUAAUUUUCAUACAAUGAACAUUCAAAUCAUAUUCACAUCAAUAACAUACAAUCUCAAGCAUUUAAGAAUAUAAUUCAAGUUACACGAACUUACCUUGAUACUUGUUUGUAAACUGUAAAAAUCUAUUAAUCCCGAACUUUUUCCUUUCCUCGAUCUAGCUUCGUAUUUGAAUCUUCUGGAUUUAAAUAAAUAAAUUUAAUUAUCAAUUUAAUACAUUUCAUGUUCAUAUGCAACAUUCUCUAUAAUUCAACUAUUAUUUAUAGUUCAUUCAAAGCUGUCUACUUGAGUCAUAGUCACUAAAUUAUUUAUAACUUGAGCUACGGAACUCCAAAUUAAGAUCCGUUAAUUUUCCUUGAAACUAGACUCAUAUAUAUUUUUACCAUAAAAUUUUAAGAAUUUUUGGUUUAGCCAAUCAGUACAGUUUAUUCUUCAAAUUCACCCCUGUUCUGUUGUCUAACAGUUCUGACCCUUCUUCACUAAAAAUAAAUUAUCUCUUUAUACAGAAUUCAAAUGAUGUUUUUGUUUAUUUCUAUUAAAAAUAGACUCACUCAGAAUUCUAUACAUAUAAAUUUAAGUCCCUAAUUAUUUUUAUUCAAUUUUUUAUAAUUUUUCAAAGUCAGAAUAGGGGAACCCGAAUUCAUUCUGACCUUGUCUCACAAAAUUCAUUAUAUCUCAAAAUUUACAAAUCCAUUGCUUACAAUAUUUCUUCGAUGAGAAACUAGACUCAAUAAGCUUUAAUUCCAUAUUUUUUUAAUCUUCUAAUUCGAUUCCUAAAAUUUUUGGUGAUUUUUCAAAGUUAGUCUACUGCUGCUGUCCAAACUGUUUUAGUGCAAGCUGUUUAUUACCAUUUUUCCCCUAAGCUUUUAAUAAAUGAUAAUUUCGUCCCUACUCAAUUAGCCUCUCAAUUGAGCUGAUUUUUCUCAAUUAACAUUUUAUUCUAUCACCUUAAACUAGUUUACAACCUUUAGGAAUCAGAAUUUCAGCAAUAGACUUUAAUUCCAAACAUUUUCACAAUUAGGUCCCAAAAAUCAAUUUCCAUUGAAAUUGCCUAAUAAAAUCAUCUCAUAAACAAAUUAAAGCUUUAAUUUCAUUCUAUUUCAUCAUAAACUUACAGCACUCAACCAUGGUGACUUUCAAUUUCAUCCAUGAAAUCAAAAACUAAUGAAUUUAAUAGUAGGACCUAGUUGUAAAAGUCUUAGAAACACAAAAAUUACAAGAAAAAGGCAAGGAUUAACUCACUUGGUGCAAAAAUUAAGAAAUACCAGCUUAGAGAACCCUCCUAUGGCGUUUUUAGCUGCUGGAAUUGAAGAGAAAUGAAGAGAAAUCUAGAUAUUUCCUAUUUAGUCCUAGUUUUAUUUAGUUAAUUUUGUAAUAUUCCAAUUUUACCCUUAAUUUAUCAAUUUUUCUGAUUUCAUACCCUUGCCGUCCAGCCCAAAUAACUUUUGAGUCUAAUUGCCUUUUAAAUCCUUUCUCAUUAGACUAAUAAGCUAUUUAAUCACUCUAGCAACUUUUACACCUAUUACAAUUCAGUCAUUUUCAUUUAAUUGACUACCCAAACAUUAAAAUUUCCUAACGAAAUUUUAAUACCACAUUAAUAACAUUUCAUAAAUAUUUAUAAAAUUAUUUUUUACUCGGUUUUACGAGAUAGAGGUCCCGAUACCUUAUUUUACCCAAUUUCUUCAAUAAUUUCUUUUUCUAACUAAUCACUAAAUUGAUAAAAUUUUCCUAUCAAUAUUUUCAUACGAUUUUCCUAUUAUAUAAAUUUUCAAGCAAAAAUAUUGAAAUAAAUUUCUCUUUAAAUCGGAUAUGUGGUUACGAAACCACUGUUCCGAUAACAUUGAAUUUACGCCAUUACAACUCUCCCCCUUUUAAGGAUUUUCGUCCUCGAAAAUCUUACCAGUAAAGAGGUUUGGGUAUUGUUUCCUCAUUGCCUCCUCCGGUUCCCAUGUUGCUUCCUCAAUCCCGUGCUUUUGCCACAAUACUUUCACCAAAUUUAUCUUUUUAUUUCUAAGCUCUUUUGUCUCCCGUGCCAAUAUCUUGACCGGUUCUUCACUGUAAGUCAUAUCCGGUUGAAUCUGUACUUCUAUCGGAGAAAUAACAUGUGAAGGAUCUUAUCGAUAUCGUCGUAACAUAGAUACAUGAAAAACAUUAUGGAUUCUAUCAAGUUCCGGUGGUAAUGCCAAUCGAUAAGCGACCGGUCCAAUUCUUUCUAUGAUUUCAUAGGGCCCGAUAAAUCUUGGACUCAAUUUACCCUUUCGACCGAAUCGAAGAACUUUCUUCCAAGGAGACACUUUCAGAAAUACCUUGUCACCGACUUGAAAUUCAAUCUCUUUUCGCUUAAGGUCGGCAUAUGAUUUUUGACGAUCGGAAGCUGCUUUUAGACUUUCUCGAAUAACCUUUACUUUUUCUUCUGUUUCCCGGAUCAAAUCAACCCCAUGUAUCUUCCUUUCACUGAGCUCUGUCCAAUAUAACGGUGUUCUACAUUUUCUACCAUACAAAGCUUCAUACGGAGCCAUUUUAAUACUAGAUUGAUAACUGUUGUUUUAAGCAAAUUCAAUCAAAGGUAGAUACCUCUCCCAAUUACCUUCAAACUCUAGUAUACAACAUCGGAGCAUAUCUUCCAAUACUUGAAUUACACGCUCAGAUUGACCAUCUGUCUGAGGAUGAAAUGCAGUGCUGAAAUACAACUGAGUACCCAAGGCUUCUUGCAAUUUGUCCCAGAAACGAGACAUAAAUCGGGGAUCUCUAUCUGAUAUAAUGGAGACAGGCACUCCAUGUAACCUGACAAUCUCAGAUAUGUACAGUUCAGCUAGUUUAUCUAAAGAAUAAUCCAUACGUACUGGAAUAAAGUGAGCUGACUUUGUCAAUCGGUCUACAAUCACCCAAAUAGCAUCUUUUUUCCUCGGAGACAAAGGUAGCCUCGAUACAAAAUCCAUAGUGAUUCUUUCCCAUUUCCAUUCCGGUAUAGUAAUUGGCUGAAGUAACCCCGAAGGUACCUGAUGUUCAGCUUUAACUUGUUGACAUAUUAAACACCUUGAUACAAACGCAGAGAUAUCACGUUUCAUUCCCGACCACCAGUACAUUUUUUUCAGAUCAUUAUACAUUUUAUUACUCCCCGGAUGUACAGACAUAGUACUACUGUGGGCCUCGCGUAGAAUCUUCUGUAUGAGCUCUGAAUUCUGAGGUACACAUACCCUACCUCUGAAUAAUAAACAAUCAUCAGAACCAAUCUGAAACUCAGAAGCAUUACCUGACUCACACUGUGCCCGUUUAACCUGUAACUUCUCAUCAUUCUUCUGAGCUUCACAUAUUUGCUGUAAAAAUGUCGGUUUAGCUCUCAAUUUAGCUAGGAUUGAACCAUCAUCAGUCAAUGAUAACCGGGUAUUCAUAGCUCGUAAAGCAAAUAGAGAUUUCCGGCUCAAAGCAUCAGCUACAACAUUAGCCUUACCCGGAUGGUAAUCAAUAAUCAAAUCAUAGUCCUUUAUCAGUUCAAGCCACCUGCGCUGUCUCAAAUUCAAAUCUUUCUGUGUCAUCAAAUAUUUCAAGCUUUUAUGAUCAGUAUAAAUAUGACAUUUCUCACCGUACAAGUAAUGCCGCCAUAUCUUCAGCGUAAAUACAAUAGCAGCUAAUUCAAGAUCAUGUACUGGGUAAUUUCUUUCAUGUGGUUUAAGUUGUCUUGAAGCAUAGGCUAUUACUUUACCUUCUUGCAUCAAAACACAACCUAAACCAUUUAAUGAGGCAUCACUGUAAAUAACAAAUUCCUUACCCAGUUCAGGCUGCACUAAUACAGGUGUUUUCGUUAAUAGGUAUUUCAAUCGGUUGAAACUUUGUUGGCAUUCAUCAGUCCACUCGAAUUUUACAUCUUUCUGCAAUAAUCGAGUCAUUGGAGAAGCUAUCAUAGAGAAUCCCUGUACAAAUCUCCGAUAAUAACCAGCUAAGCCUAAGAAACUUCUAACUUCAGAUACAUUCUUCGGUGGACUCCAAUUGACAAUAGCUGAGAUUUUACUUGGAUCUACCCUGAUGCCUUCGGCAGAUACAAUGUGUCCAAGAAAACUCACUUCUCGAAGCCAAAAUUCACAUUUACUGAAUUUAGCAUACAACUGCUUCUCUCGUAGAAUUUGCAACACAAUUCACAAAUGUUCUGCAUGUUCUUCUUCAUCCCGAGAAUAAACCAAAAUAUCAUCAAUGAAUACUACUACAAAUCUAUCUAAGUACGGUCUAAAUAUCUGGUUCAUCAAAUCCAUGAAUACUGCAGGUGCAUUAGUUAGCUCAAACGGCAUAACUAGAAACUCAUAAUGCCCGUACCUGGUUCUAAAGGCUAUUUUUGGCAUAUCUGACUCCUUUACCCGUAACUGAUAAUAACCUGAUCGAAGAUCAAUCUUUAAAAACAUAGUAGCACCUUUCAGCUGAUCAAAUAAAUCAUCAAUCCGGGGUAACGGGUACUUAUUCUUUAUGGUUACUUUAUUAAGCUGCCGGUAGUCGAUACACAAUCUGAAAGACCCAUCUUUCUUUUUCACAAACAGAACCGGAGCACCCCAAGGUGAAUGACUCGGUCGAACAAAACCCCUGUUAACAAGCUCUUGCAAUUGUGUCUUUAACUCUUUUAAUUCUAUAGGAGCCAUCCGGUACGGAGCUAUGGAGAUCGGAGUAGUUCCCAGAAUCAAAUCUAUAGAAAAUUCCACUUCUCUUUCUGGUGGCAAUCCUGGUAAUUCUUCUGGAAACACAUCAGAAAAUUCACAUACCAUUGGAACUGCCUGUAUCUUUGACUCAAAUACCUUGGUGUCGAGUACAUAAGCCAAGUAAGCAUCAUACCCCUUUUUGACAUACCUCUGUUCUGCCAUUACUGAAAUCAUAUCAGAUAACCCCUCUGUCUGAUCAGAUUUAACCCGGAGCAACUCACCAUUCUGACAUUUUAACACAAUAUAUUUUUGUUUACAAUUUACUACCGUAUCAUGCUGGGUUAACCAAUCCAUACCCAAUAUCACGUCAAAUUUAUCAAAUGGCAGUAACAUCAAAUCAGCCGGGAAACAAUAACCUCUUACCAUCAGUGGACAAUUUUUACAAAUUUUAUCCACUAACACAGACUGGCCCAGGGGGUUCGAGACUUUAACCACAAAUUCAGUAGGUUCAACAGAUAAAUUUUUAACAAUUGCAAGUUUAACACAUAUAUAUGAAUGCGUAGAACCAGGAUCAAUCAAUGCAGUAAUAUCAGUAUCAAGUAAAGAAAAUGUACCAGUAAUAACAUCGGGUGCUGAAGCAUCUUCUCUGGCACGAAUGGCAUAUGUCCUAGCAGGUGCUCGUACUUCAGGCCUACCUAUAGUAUCUUUUGUAGCUCCUCGACUACCACUGACAUUACCGGAUGGUCGAGGUGGUCUGCCCCUCGAAACUAGAUUACUCGACUUCGAUAUAUGUUCAACUUCUUUUUCAACCCUUUCUGGACAAUCUCUGAGGAAAUGGUCAAAAGAACCACAUCGGUAACAAGCCCCACUCUUAAAUCGGCAUUCACCAAAAUGAGCUUUAUUACAGUACUGGCAUCUCGGUUUAGGAGUGCCAACACUGCCAACACUGGUCACUGAUGGAGUAGAAGGCCUUGGAUUAGUGCGUUGAGAACCUCGUUCUUUGCCCGAAUACCCAAUGGCUGAAGUAGAACGAUCCUGAUAUUUCUUCAAUUUCUUUGAAGCAGAAAACUGAGAUUUUCCCAUCGGUCUUUUACUAAAAAUUUGAGCUUCCCUCUCAGCCUGUUUCUUUUCUUUGCUCAAUUCUUCUGCUUUAUAAGCUCUCUCUGCCAAUGUAGCAAACUCUCGAAUUUCAAGAAUUCCGAUCAGUAACUUAAUGUCUUCAUUCAACCCUUCUUCGAAUCGUUUACACAUUUCAACUUCUGACUGUACCCAUUCUCGAGCAUAUUUACUCAAUCGAACAAAUUCUCUUUCAUAUUUAGAUACUGAUCUAUUGCCCUGUUUCAGCUCAAGAAAUUCUUUUCUUUUCUGGUCAAGGAACCUCUGGCUGAUAUAUUUUUUUCUAAACUCGGUCUGAAAGAAUUCCCAUGUAAUUUCUUCUUUCGGAACAACUGAAGCUUUAGUAUUCCACCAAUGGUAAGCUGUAUCUUUUAGCAGUGAGACGGCACAUUUUAGACAUUCUUCUGGUAUACAAGAUAAUUCUUCCAGAACCCGAGUAGUAUUUUCUAACCAGAAUUCAGCCCAUUCGGAAUCAUCAUCAACUGCUACUCGAAAUUCUUCGGCCCCAUAUUUUCGAAUUUUAUCUACUGGAGCUUCCCCUUUUCUGACAGAUUCAGUACCUGUACCUUGUGGGAUCUCGGGAACCGGUGAAGGAGCAGGAGGGGGAGCUUGAACUUGCUGCACUACAGGGUUAGUUCUUAAGUAUUGAUUAAACCAUUCAUUCAUCAUUUGAAAGAAGGCUAUUUUUGCCUCCUCCCCUCGACCCUCUGUCUCGGGCCUUCUACUGCUAGUUUCUUCUCUUUGUACUGAAGCCGGAGCAUGACUCCCAGCUUCCUCAGAUUAAGCUCGGUCGGAUGACAUUACUAUAAGAAAAACACAUUUUAAAUGGUCAGGAGAUAUCACACUAUCAAUAAUAAUUUAAAUGGCAUGUAUAGCUAAUCCCGUAUUUGCUACAUCGAUCCUAGAACCGGCUAAAUCGUAGCUCUGAUACCAAUAAAUGUAAUACCCCUACCCGUAUUCAUUGCCGGAAUAGGGUACGAGGCAUUACCGGAGUUUACGAAUUAAUUUUUUUUUAUAUUCAAUAUAGCCCUUUUAUAAAUAUCUAACCUUCCCUGUAAUAUUAAAUCGAGACCAAUCCACAUCAACCAAAUCAAUUCAACAUAUUUUCAUGAUAGAUUCAUGCAUUUAUAUAAGAUAACGUCAUCACAUAUCUAUAACCAGGUUUGUUAACCAUACUAAUGGCUAACUUUACAUUCAUUUCACGUUAACAUUUACUUUGUUAGCUUAUACAUGCCAUUGAUUUCCAAAAUAAAGUUUCUUUAUAUACCGAAAUCCUGAGGUUGACAGUGUGAUGUGUCUCCGACCAAAUCCGACCUCCGAGCUCUUAACACUACAAAAUAGGGAAAAAGGAAACGGGGUAAGCACUUUGUGCUUAGUAAGCUCAUGUAACAAGAAUUAUACUUACCUAAUAUUUUCAAUACAAUAUAAUAAACAUUCAUAUAUCCAUUCAAUGCAUUAUUACCCUAACAUGCACAAACUCAACAUUCAAGUUAGUACAAUAAUUUCCAUGUAUCAAUAAUAUAUAUACCAUGAUUGAUGUACUCAUCAAUACCAUGAUUUUCAUUCCCUUAUUAUUUUUCAUAUUUAUCCCAUUGAAUUUAUCGGAAUUUCGAUGGAUUUUCAGAGGUACACUUUUAGUGUACAAUUCCGGGUCCGUCAAUUCAUAUUCAUGUGCGCACAUUUCCAUUUCAGAGAGCACACUCCCGCGAACCUCAACCUUGCAGCGGGAUUACCAGUCCAGGCUAAAUCCCCUGCAAUAUAAACUCAUAGAGUAUUGUCGGGAUUACCAGUCCAGGCUAAAUCCCCUGCAACGACAAUUACUCUAAUGAGCUUGGAUCUGAAUUACCAGUCCAAGCUAAAUUCAGACCCUAAUUCGGAUUACCCGUCCGGGCUAAAUCCAUUUUACACAUAUUCUUCAGGAGGGCUAUAUCAGGAUAGGAUCACCCGUCCGGGCUAGAUCCUUUUUACCGUCAAUUCCUUUUCAGAGAUCCAUCGAAUUUUCCUUUCAUUCAACCGGAAUUUCUUCCCAUUUUAUCAAAUAUAUCAAUGUUUCAUUAAUUUUCAUACAAUGAACAUUCAAAUCAUAUUCACAUCAAUAACAUACAAUCUCAAGCAUUUAAGAAUAUAAUUCAAGUUACACGAACUUACCUUAAUACUUGUUUGUAAACAGUAAAAAUCUAUUAAUCCCGAACUUUUUCCUUUCCUCAAUCUAGCUUCGUAUUUGAAUCUUCUGGAUUUAAAUAAAUAAAUUUAAUUAUUAAUUUAAUACAUUUCAUGUUCAUAUGCAACAUUCUCUAUAAUUCAACUAUUAUUUAUAGUUCAUUCAAAGCUAUCUACUUGAGUCAUAGUCACUAAAUUAUUUAUAACUUGAGCUACGGAACUCCAAAUUAAGAUCUGUUAAUUUUCCCUGAAACUAUACUCAUAUAUAUUUUUACCAUAAAAUUUUAAGAAUUUUUGGUUUAGCCAAUCAGUACAGUUUAUUCUUCAAAGUCACCCCUGUUCUGUUGUCUAAUAGUUCUGGUCCUUCUUCACUAAAAAUAAAUUAUCUCUUUAUACAGAAUUCAAAUGAUGUUCUUGUUUGUUUCUAUUAAAAAUAGACUCACUCAUAAUUCUAUACAUAUAAAUUUAAGUCCCUAAUUAUUUUUAUUCAAUUUUUUAUAAUUUUUCAAAGUCAGAACAGGGGAACCCGAAUUCAUUCUGACCUUGUCUCACAAAAUUCAUUAUAUCUCAAAAUUUACAAAUUCAUUGCUUACAAUAUUUCUUCUAUGAGAAACUAGACUCAAUAAGCUUUAAUUCCAUAUUUUGUUAAUCUUCUAAUUCGAUUCCUACAAUUUUUGGUGAUUUUUAAAAGUUAAUCUACUGCUGCUGUCCAAACUGUUUUAGUGCAAGCUGUUUAUUACCAUUUUUCCCCUAAGCUUUUAAUAAAUGAUAAUUUCGUCCCUACUCAAUUAGCCUCUCAAUUGAGCUGAUUUUUCUCAAUUAACAUUUUAUUCUAUCACCUUAAACUAGUUUACAACCUUUAGAAAUCAGAAUUUCAGCAAUAGACUUUAAUUCCAAACAUUUUCACAAUUAGGUCCCAAAAAUCAAUUUCCAUUGAAAUUGCCUAAUAAAAUCAUCUCAUAAACAAAUUAAAGCUUUAAUUUCAUUCUAUUUCAUCAUAAACUUACAGCACUCAACCAUGGUGACUUUCAAUUUCAUCCAUGAAAUCAAAAACUAAUGAAUUUAAUAGUAGGACCUAGUUGUAAAAGUCUUAGAAACACAAAAAUUACAAGAAAAAGGCAAGGAUUAACUCACUUGGUGCAAAAAUUAUGAAAUACCAGCUUAGAGAACCCUCCUAUGGCGUUUUUAGCUGCUGGAAUUGAAGAGAAAUGAAGAGAAAUCUAGAUAUUUCCUAUUUAGUCCUAGUUUUAUUUAGUUAAUUUUGCAAUAUUCCAAUUUUACCCUUAAUUUAUCAAUUUUUCUGCUGAUUUCAUACCCUUGCCGUCCAGCCCAAAUAACUUUUGAGUCUAAUUGCCUUUUAAAUCCUUUCUCAUUAGACUAAUAAGCUAUUUAAUCACUCUAGCAACUUUUACACCUAUUACAAUUCAGUCCUUUUCAUUUAAUUGACUACCCAAACAUUAAAAUUUCCUAACGAAAUUUUAAUACCACAUUAAUAACAUUUCAUAAAUAUUUAUAAAAUUAUUUUUUACUCGGUUUUACGAGAUAGAGGUCCCGAUACCUUAUUUUACCUAAUUUCUUCAAUAAUUUCUUUUUCUAACUAAUCACUAAAUUGAUAAAAUUUUCCUAUCAAUAUUUUCAUACGAUUUUCCUAUUAUAUAAAUUUUCAAGCAAAAAUAUUGAAAUAAAUUUCUCUUUAAAUCGGAUUUGUGGUUACGAAACCACUGUUCCGAUAACAUUGAAUUUACGCCAUUACAACUCUCCCCCCUUUCUAAAAUAACCCAAUUAAAAAAAUAACAAAAAUAAAAAUUUAAACACCCAAAAUCCCUAAUUUCCCAAAAUUUUCUCAUCUUCUUCAUCUUCACUCAAACAAAACCCAACCCCAAUCACCCUAGCCACCGUCGACCACCGCCAUCACUCCUUUCGCCAACCAAUCAUCACCAUCGUAGCACCUCUCCACACCCCACCUCGUGCCGCGCCACCGUCGACCUCGUUCCGCACCACCGUCGACCGCGCGCCCACGCCACCUCCACUUUCUUUUCUUUUCUUUUCCUCUCCAACUUACCCACGUCAUCCAACGCCUUUUCCACCGUCAAACCAUAGCCGAACAAGUCCUCAACGACCACGUCGCACUAUCGUCGCCGACCAGAACCCCCACUGCCGUGCACCGCCGCACAUUGCCCCCUAACCCCUAUUUUUAUUCUUCUUGUUAUUAUUUUUCUUUUUCUUCUCUUUGAAACACCCAACCCAUCACCAAUCAUCAAAACCGACACCCCCAUCAUCACCAUCUAAAAAAUCAGCCAAAAACGCACCACCCAUCCUCACCGCCACCGUCGCCGCCGUCCCCACUGUCGUGCGCCGCCGCAACUCGUCACCACCGUAACCUUCUGAAAUGUCAAUUUUGGACGCUACGACCGAGACCAUGGUUCGCGCUCGCAACCAAACGGCUGAUAACAUACCGACUUCACUCAACCGAAAUCAGCACCAAUUCUCCGCGCCUCCUGUCAUUGAGUUAGCCGACGACGACACUCCUCCACCUCCUCCGAGACGAACGGUUGCCCAACCAAGAGCCCACCGACGACGAAGUCUAACCCCGGCCGACACAAGCACUUCGGGCAGUCCAGAGGAAGUCGAAACUUCUAACUCCAUGUCGAGCCUACACCCACUGUUGUUGAACAAGUCUCUCAACGCCCAACCCGAAGUCAUCGACGGUCGACACGUGAGCCAUCGACGCCCCUGCACAGCAGUACUGAAGCUGCUGAACGAAAUUCCCCACCCGACUCGCCUAACGAGCACGUUCGACCACCCUGAGCAAAUCAACGCAACAGACGUAGUUGAGCAAAUGUUAUUCUUACUGAUAGUCGUUUGCAAGGAUUUCUAGAGUUUUCGACAUCGGAACAGCAAACACGAUACAACACCAUCCGACAACGCUCGCUUCCGGUCUGUAAGCAAAUCGAUUUCCCUACUCUUGAACUUCUAGAUAUUCAUGAUGCAGUGCUCCAUUAUUUUGAUGCUAUUGGUUGGACUCUAUUUGCUAAUAUUACUUGUGAUGCAUAUUAUGAAUUAGUAUAUGAGUUUUAUACCACAUUUAGCUUCAAUAUAAAUGCAUUGCAAACUGUUGAAACACAAAAUAUAGUGUGCUUUCAUUUGCUUGGAAAAGACUUUCGGAUGUCUGUUUCAAAAUUUAACAUUGCCAUGGGUUUCAUCGACGCUAAUGACAUUCAAUCUGAUGCCUAUCAUUCUGCUCUUUUAGAUGUUCCCAAUGACUUCGAUGCUCAGCAUGUUUAUCGGGUUUUAACUAAUUCUGACCAAUUUUAUAAUCCAAAGACUACAAAAGAUUUAUGGGUGCAUGAGCCUGUUUUAAAAUACAUACACCGAUUUUUAGCAUUUUGUUUUUCAGGUAGAAAUGACGCAUCAGCUGCUUUGACUAAGACUGAACUGUUCUUUUUGUGGUGCAUGCAUUCGGGUAUUAAAGUUAAUUUAGGAUAUUGGUUUGCACGAAAUUUUCAUGCCGUUUUGAGUUACAACUGUCCACUUAUACUUGGAUCAUUCAUUUCAAAUUUAGCCUCUCGACUUUUUGAGUCUAAAAUUGAUUUCGCAACCUUCACAUGUGCAUAUCGUAUGGACCACCUAGAUAAACAUUGUUUGGAUUCUAUGGGAUUGCUUGCCGGCACCCCUACUCCGUGUUAUUUCGUUCCUCCAGGUACACGGGCUGCUCGGGAAAAUAGAGUUUUUCACAAACAUCCGCACACUAAUACGAGAGAGCAAGAGGAUCACCCUUUGACUGUGGAAGCCCGUUUAAGUCGAAUCGAAGCUAGACUUGAAACAAUGGAAACACAAGUCGCCACCAUCCUCAAUAUCCUGCAAAGUCGCGACGCUCAACACCAAUGAUUUCAUUAAAAUACACGGGGAGUGUUCUAAACUUUUUCAUUUUUAAUUUAUUUUGAGCUGCUGACUUUAUUUUGCAUGCUUGAGGACAAGCAUAGUUUAAGUGGGGGGUUGGAUUGAUAUGUUAAUUUUUGCUUCAUGUCUUUCUCUUUUGCAUGUGAAUCUUACGAUGAAUUCUUUCGAUAAUUUAUUCAACAUUUGAGCCUUAAAACCUCAUACUUAAUCGAUUUAAGCAAUUGGGCAAAUUUUGAAUUAAAUGUUUAAGUAUAUAGAUUGGUCGACAUUUAGGUUUUAAAAUUGGUAUAUGUAGCUAGAGUUUUUUCGCAUGAAUUGAUUGAUUGAAUAAAAUAUGUUUGCUUGUGCAUAAAUAAAUUAAUAAAGGUUCAGGCUAUGAAUAAAGGUUCGAAAACGUGACUGAAUUGAGUAACCGGGGCAGGUUGCUUGGGUUGUCAUCUUGUCUCGCGUAAAAAGGUUCGAGUGACAAGUCGAUAACUUACAAACAUUCGGCUAGCUGAACACCCCAUAAAAUUAAAAAAAAAAAAGAAAAAAAAGAAAAAAUAAUACAUAAUAAAUAAAGACUGUUUGAACUGAGUAACCGGGAUAGGGUGCUUGGGUUGUCAUCCUAGUUCGCGUAAAAAGGUUUGAUAUUGUCUAUUAAUUUUCUGAUGCAUAGUUAAUUAAUAAUGCCAUGCAAAUUAUGGGAUUCAAUCUCAAUUUAGCGAAAUUGUUUAGUUGACAUAUUUCAAUUUUAUGACACUUGUUGAUUAAAAUGUAUAUUUUGAACAUUUAUUUCUUUUUGCCUAUGUUGUUUGCAUUGAUUAAGGAUAUGGAAUAGGGGCUCGAUUUUUAAUAAAUUGUGGAAUUGUUUCUAAUGUUUGAAAGAACAACAUGCUUGAGGGCAAGCAUGAGCUAAGUAGGGGGGAUUUGAUAAACAUGUCAAAUUGCAUAUUUUUUGUGCCUAAUUUGGUUUAUUGAUGAACUGAAUCCUGCUAAUUAAGUGUUUUUAUGAUUUAAUUCUUGUCAGGGAUGCAAUUGAUCAAAAGCAAGCUGAAAAGGGGCCAAAUUAGAAGAAAAUUAUUAGAAUGGGUCAAAGCGAAAAGAUGGAGGAAGCCAAGGACUAGUCAUAAAUUUGACUUUGUAAAAAGCCAAAAAUAGGAAAUUCUAUUUUAAGUUUAUUUAUUUUUAAUUAUUAUUAUUUUAGAUUUUAUAUUAAUUUUCUUAAGCUAUUUUUAGUAAACCCUAUCUAUAUAAAUAGGGGGUUUUAGUUCUUAGGAAAUCAUCCAUUAAUCAAUUGUCUUUACAUUCCUAUUUUAUUUUGGAAUUUCAUUAUCCACUUUGUUUUCUUUUUCUUAAUUCAAUUGAGCAUUAGAUUAUUUUGUCUUCUUUUUACAAAAUUUGUCUAAUUCUCUUUGCAAUUUUUCCUAUCCAUUUCCACUACCUUUUUUAUAUAAUUUCUAUCAUUUCCAUAACCUUCAAGCAUGAUUAAAUUCAUGCCACACUAAACCCCUUUCAGCUUUAAGUCUGUAUUAACCCCGUCAAAAUACCCGUGAGUUACGAACCCGAGCUGUUUAACUCCCAACUUUCGAUAUUUAUUAUUUCUCCGGAUUAAGAGUAUGACUUUGUCAACUCACAAAGUCAAGUCAAUACUAAGUCAAAAAAGACGUCGUUUGAGUUAGUGUGGCUAGACGUACAGUUGGAAUUCCGAAAGGAUCGAUUGUCUAAUUGGUCUUCCGUGAACACAUUGGCGUGCCAAGUGGGGAUUGUUGUUUGGUUCCGUCAAGGGAAGUAGUAACUGGAUUUAAAUGUCUCAAUGUUUGAGGGCAUUGGUUCGAGCUAGGCUCUUCUAGAACACAAAACUGCCGGAGUUCUAAAUCACGAACGUUUCGUAGGUUGUUCGAUCGGUAAGGGUUAGUUAUAGGACGUUCCAUAACUAAUUUACACAAGGAAGAGUUGGUGUCCGAGGCGUCCUUGGUAGCUAUAACUAGCUUAUCGAAAAAGAGUUCACCUAAUUUUGAGGAACGGGUCGAAGACGGGAAAACCCGUGCUUAAGGCUGAGCUAAGGUUUAUUGAUUUUUCUUUAAAUUAUUUUGUUAUUUAUUUUUAUUUCAUCUUUUUAUUUUUAUUUCAUCUUUUACUUUUUACUUUUUACGUUUUCUUGUGUUUAUUUCAGGUUUCAUAUUUUAUUUCCCCCCUAAACGUCGCGGGCACGACAACUGUCCAGACACUAAUCUGGUCAAGAAACAAACAAUUUUAAGUAAUUCCAGUCUCUGUGGGAUCGACCCUACUCCCUAUACUGCUUUAAUUUGCAAACUAGGUGUAGGUUUAUAUUGGUGGAAUCGACAACCAUCAAUGUUAGAUAUAGUGAUGCAAGUAAAAAAAAGAUAAUAAUUAUAGUAAAUUAGUAGUAGUGUAAAAUAAUAAAUAAUAAUAGUUUAGUAUAAAAAUAGUGACCAAUAAGAACAAUGGUAUAUAUAAAAAUAAAUAAAUAAAAAUAUCAUAAUAGGUCUAUUGAUAAUUAUAUUUGAAAAAAAAACUUUAGUGAAAAACAAAUAUAAAAAGUUAUAAAUAAUAAUAAUAAAGUAGUAGUAGUAAAUAGUAAAAAUAAAUAAAGUAUAACAAGCAAAAUAUAGUAAGAAUAACAAUCUAUAUUUAAAAUUAUUAACCUUUAAUAAUAUAUAUACAUAUAUAUAAAUAUAUAAAUGUUUAAGAUAAAGAGUACAAAAAAUGAUUUUUUAAAAAAAAUUAAUAUAACAGAUAAUAUAAUAAAUAUAAUAAAAAUUUAUACAUAAAAUAAUUAGUUUUACUUUUAAAAUAUACAUAUAUAAUAAGCAUAUAACAAAUAUGUAAAUAAGUAAAUAAUAUAAUAAUGUGAAACAACUCAAAUUGAUUAAGUUAAAUAAAAAUGAUAUAAAACAAAAUUUUAAAAUAAUAAUAAUAAUAAUAUAAUAAGUAUAAUAGGUAAUAGUAUAAAAACAGUAUAAUAAAUAGUGGGAUAGAAAAAACUAAAAAACCAGUAGGAUAUAAUAGAAUAAAAAUAAUAAAUAUUACAAACAAAAAACAAUUAAUUUUAUGUUAAAAGUAUUUAAAUAAUCAAAAUGGGGCUUAAUUGAAAUUAAAAUGGGAGUUUUUAGCCAAAAUCGGAAUUAAAAAAGGUUAGGGGGACCACGUUGGACGCGCAUGUGAACUAGGGGGACCAAAAAUGGAAAAUUUUCUUUUGCCCAAUGUACAGCAUUUAAUACAGGACUAAAAUGAAGAGGCGCGCAAAUAUUUGGGGCCAAUUUUUUUUUAAAAAAAAAAGUAGCAUAAAAGGACCCAAUCUAGUGGCCACACGCAAACGAGGGACUAGGUGCGCCAUAAGCCCAAAAAAAAUUAAACGGUCCACUCUCUUUGUAAUUAAAACAAAAAAAGUUGGCUGUCUGCCACUAACACUAAAAUUAAAGAAACCCCCCAUUUCUUUAAUCCCAUUCUGCCGAAUUCAAAAAAGAAAACCAAGGGGUUCGGCCCCCUUUCUCCUUCUGCUAGGGCGCAGCGCCCAUCGUCGCAGCGCUUCUCCUCCCCUGCGCGCUCAUCGGCGACCGUCGGAAACCAGGUAAGGCCUUCCUAAAAUCUUUUUAUUUUUUAAACUCUGUUUUUCAAAAAUACAAGAUAGAUCCACAAAAAGCUCUAAAGAUUAAAAAACUAAAAGAAAAGAUUGUAACCACCUGAUUCUAUUCGAAUGUAUGAAAGCUUUUACUCAAAACUUGCUGUUUUCGUAUAUUUCUCUCUGAUUUUUGUAGUAAAAAAAAAACCGAUCGCUUUACAUUGUUUAGAAUGGCUUUUAUAGCAUAGAAAAGCAAAUAAAAUCUUCUAUUGGUUGCUAUCUGUUUGGUUCCUGUUACAGGUGUUGUUGCGGAUAUCUCGGAGGCACGAGGCGUGACAAAGAGGGACUGCUGGUAGCGCACGUCUCGGAGGUGCGGUGGAUGGUGGAGUGGGACGCUGGUGAGAGGCGUGCGACGCGAGGGCUAAAGCAACAGCAUUAGGUUUCUGUUUGUUUGGGCCUUGUUUGGGUUUAUUUUUGGGCCUGUGUUUUAGAUGUAAAUGGGUCUUGGGUUUGGGAGCUUUGGGCCCGGGCAUAAAUUUGGUCCUUCAACCCUUUUUUGUAAGAGUUUGAAUUCAGCACACCAACUUCAUUCUUGAUAAGAAAAUCUCAAAUUUAUAGUAUUUUAUCUGAUAAUUAGCUAAAAAUAAAUAUAUUAAAAAUACGAAUUUAUCUUGGGCUUAAUUGUUUUUUUUGAAAAAGUUUAAGGGUUUUUUUAUACAUUUUAAAAGUUCAAGUACCCACUUGAGUGUAAAAAAAAAAAGCAGGACUUACUUACUUUUUUCAAAAAAAAUUUAAAAGUAUUUUUUAUACAUUUUAAAAGUUUAAGUAUAUAAGUAAGUGAAAAACUUAAUUAUUUUUUUAAAAAAUUUAAAAGUUUUAAAAUUUCCUACAGAGCCAAAAAAACAAUUAGUCUCAUAAUAGUUUCCAUGGAAUGUAAUUAAUGCAAACUUUUUAAACGUUUCAAUUGCCUUUUCAACGGCUUAAUUAAUGGAAUUAAUGGCUUUCACGCAAUUUAAUUUCAUGCAUUUAUCUUGUUUUUUCUCGUCUUCCUUUCUUUUUAUUUUUCCUUAGUUUCUUCUCUUCUUUUCAUCGGUAUCGAUAACUAGAUUACUUCAAAAACCACAUCGAUCUUGGUAAAGAGAAUGCCGACAAUAAAAAAAGAAAAAUAAUAUUUUUAAAAAAAAAUUUAAAUUGAUGCCGACAACGUAAACGACGACACUUAUUAAAAUAUAUUUUUUUUAAAUCUAAAAAUACACAUUUCUUUUAAAUGUAUUUGAAAAAAAUAUAUAUAUUAAUAUAGACAUUAAAAAAACAAUUUUUAUCUACCAGAAAAUCAUGGGGCAAUGAUUACGGGAUGAAGAAGGAUAGUGCAGAUGGUAAGAUGGUCAACACCAGCAUGUAUUGCAAAAAAUAAAUCAUUUUCAUACGAAAUUUUACAUUUGAAUAUUUUUAUAAAUAAUCAAUUUAUUUGGAUGAAUUAGGAAUAGAAAAGCCUAAGCGAACCAAGACAAGGUACAAGUUGACCAAACAUUUCUAGCUACUCCCAUAAUGCAGGAUAUUCGAAAUUUCCUCUCUUUUACCACCUCUAUUGAUUUACACUUUCAUGCUUGUAAUUAUAUUAUACAGGCUUUAAUGUAUCUGAAAAGAAAAAGACCCAUUCUUUUCUUAUUUUAUUUCAUGGUGGCGGUCAAUCGUCAUGGGUUGAACCAUACAGGCAAUUUCCCUUUUCAAAUCAAACCGCCUCUGAAAACUUAGCAGGGUUUUCCAUGCCUUUUAAAUACCCCGCCCAAGACCUCACAAUUCAAUCAAUUUCUUUUCUUUUCUUUUCUCUUCAAUAUCAUUCUUUCAACAUAGAAAAAUAAACCCAUAUUCUUUAGCCAAUUACAUAGCCAAUCUACUUGCUUCAAUGGAAACAUCAUCUGCAAACUCAAACUACAAUAUGUUACUAUUGUUCCAUGGUUUUUCGUGCUAUUACACCGUUAAAAGCUAUGUCUCAAGAUAUUGGUCAUUUUCUCCACAAUCCCAGACUUCAGGUUGGGACCUGAAGAACCAGAAAUCUGGGUUUUCAAGCAAGGAAGUUUUAUCUGGUGGUGAGAGAUUAUGCAGAAAAGAAGUGGAGAUUUUGAUGGGGAACCUGGGGAUUUUUUGCAGCCAAGAAAGUGAAGAACAGUUGAAUGAAUCAUACGGUUGUGAGGAGAUUUCAAGAUUGUUUGAAAAAGAGCCAAGCUUGGAAGAAGUGAAGUAAGCUUUUAAUGUUUUUGAUGUAAAUAAAGAUGGG
Molecule: long non-coding RNA, 93746 nt
Filed under: Gossypium barbadense (sea-island cotton)
Lineage: Eukaryota; Viridiplantae; Streptophyta; Magnoliopsida; Malvales; Malvaceae
Description: long non-coding RNA (GBAR_LNC004681)
Source: RNAcentral